AAGCUACUAUCAUCCUCUGGAAGCUUUGGAACAGGAAGAGUCUGAGUCCCCUCAAAAACCUCAAUGGUAGACACCCCGAACAUAUCAAAUGCUGAAACAGGCUGAAGCUGAACAAUGCUGGUAAUCUGGCUCAUGGUCAUCAUGUCCAUCUCAUCUCGGUACUCAUCAUGGGAAACAACUCCAUCAAUCAUCUCAGUAGAAUCAACCAUCACCCCAUCACCAGUGAUCUCCUCUGGAAAGCAUAGAGACAACAUGCUAGCUCGAUCUGGAGAAGUGGGAGUAAUCGUCAAAGGGAAAGGAGAGUCGGGGGCCCCAUCACUCAACUGUAGCUGGUGAAAUAGAUGCUGAAGAUCGGUCUCUCUAUCUGUAUGAACCACACUAUCAAUCUCCUCUAGACGAGGUCGAGUCUCUGAUCCUCUGACAAAGUAGUCAGCCAAACUCAUCCUAUAGGGUCGAAUAGGAUAAUCAAAUGGUGUGUGGGAUAAACGGGCUCUCACCCUCUCCUUGCGCAGCCGCGCCAUGUGACGGUAGUCGGCCUCAGUAGGGAUGAAUCCAAGUCCAAAUGUCGUAUCAUGGUCAAUGGCAGCUAUGAACUCGCUCGGUCCCUGCUGACGUCGUCCUAACCCCAUGCCAGGUAGAAAGGUCAUACCCCUCAUCAUAUCGAGGACCACUGUGCUGCUGUGCUGAUCAAAUGACAUAGCCACAAAAUCUCUACAAAAAUCCUCAAUCUCGAGAGUCUGUAUCUCAUCAAAAGUAAACCCAGUCAGAAGUAGGUCGUCCUCACUGUGACUGAUCUGAAGUACUGGCUCAGAAGCGACAAAUAUAUCCCUGGUAGAGCGAACUGUGACGACCUGCCCAUCAUGAACAAACUUCACCUUCUGAUGAAGGGAAGAUGGAAUAGCCCCGGCCCUGUGAAUCCAUGGUCGGCCCAGAAGCAGGUUGAAGGAUGUGGGAAUCCUCAAAACCUGAAAUAGGAUGGGAAAUGUAGUCGGACCAAUCAUCAACUCUAUCAUCAGAGUACCCAUGACCUCCCUCUUAGUACUAUCAUAUGCUCUGACCGUCUGUGUAGAGGUACCGAAGUCUGAAGGUGCAUAACCAAGAGCAAUAGCAGUAGCCAAUGGGCAAACGUUCAAGGCUGAGCCAUUGUCCAAUAGGACGGAUGGAACUCUGUGGCCUGAACAACCAACUGUAAUAUAUAAAGGGUGUGUGUGGUCUGAACCCUCUGGUGGUAAGUCAUCAUCUGAAAAUACAAUGCAAGUGGCCCUGCCAGCCGUCAUCAUAUGAAUCAGUCCCUCCGGGGUAGUGGUGGUCUCUACGCGGAUCUGGCUCAAAGCCCGAAUCAAUGCAUCUCUAUGAGUACUAGAAGAUGCCAACAAACUCCAGAUAGAUAUGCGGGCCUGUGUACUCUGUAACUGCCUCAAUAUCUCAUCAUCCUCUCUCCUGACCUCCUCAUGAGAAACCGCGCCAUCAAAUGGCCUAGCUACUAGAGGUGGGGGCUGAGCUACUCUCCCACUACGGGUCACAAUCUGUACAUCUCUCCCCUCUAAAUCAUCGUCAUCUAACCAUAGGAUAAAUUGGGCGGGCGGGCCCUGAUGUGCUGUAAUCAAUGGUGCAAUAGAAGUCAACUCAAAUGGUAUCCAAUCUGGAAUCAAACUGAACGGAGUAAAAGUCUGAGAACCCACUGUGUCAACCUCAUAACCAUCAUCCAAAACAAUCGGCUCUGGCACUCCAUCAUCCCAACUCAUCAUGUGUAUGCUGUCAUCCUCUACAAAAUCUAUAUGAUGUAUACCACCCGGGGGUGGUGGCACUGCAUGUGUAGAGUGAGCCGGUAGAGGGUUCGUGGUUACACUUGGCUGCCCCAAGUUAACCAGACCCUGAUCUAUCAAGUCCUGUAUAGCAUGUCUCAAGGCGGCGCAAUGAUCUGUGUCAUGCCCUGGGCCCUGAUGGUAGGAACAAUGUAGAUCCAUCCUGAAGCGUGGUGGCAUAGGCUGGGGUACAGGCCUAGGUGCCAACUGAGUCAACAAACCACCCUCCAUGAGCUUUUGGAAAGCUCGACUCAAAGGCAUACCUAGCUGGGAGAACUGUCGUGUCGGCCUCUGUACAAGAGGAAUAGUAGUCUGUGGAGCUCGAGGCCGAGGAUAUAAGGUAGGAGGCCUCUCCGAGACCUGUGCAGCAAAAACAGGCUCUGGGGUCUGGUGUAGGUAUGUAGGAAUCAUGGGCCUGGGUGGUCUAUACUGAGCAUAAUGCUGCGGGUAAUAGGCUCGUGAAGUCUGCCCGAAUGUCUGAUAGCGCCUGGGAGAUCUCGAUCCUACUGAACUGAUAGCACUCACAUCUCCUGGUCUCUGUCCUCCUAAGGGCUUCUUCCCCUUUGAAUCGUAAGGAGAAGACUCGGGCCACAACCCUCUAGCGAUGCCCUCCUCUAUGCCAUACAGGGCCUGUACCAAGGAUCCAAAAUUCGUAUGAGGAAAUCCCAUCAAAUGUCUAGCAAAUCUAGGUUGUAAACUCCUCAAAAUCAUACUAAUCUGGUCCUUCUCGGAAGGACGAUCAACAAUCUGGGCGAUCUUCUCCCUCCAUCGGGAGAUAAAUGAAGUAACCGACUCAUCUGGCCCCUGUCUCAAGGCCUCCAACUCUCUCCUCGAGACAUCAAUGACAGUGUUAAACGCGAACUGUCUCAAAAACUCUUGGGCCAAGUCAUCCCAAGUCCUACGGCGUGAAGCGUCUAAAGAAGCAAACCAACGUUGUGCUGCACCACUCAAGGACAUGGGAAAAAGCAUAAUCAAAUGGGCCUCAUCCAACCCGUGGGCCCUCAUCACACUACUGUAUAACCUCAAAUGAAUCUUAGGGCAACCUAUGCCCGUAUACCUCUCAAUCUCUGGCAUCCUGAACUGAGUCGGUAAACUGACUACCGGUGCUCCAUCAAAAUCAUCCCAACUGAUGUCUCCAUCCGAAACCCUCAUCUGUCUCAUCCUCUGCUCAAGUCUAUCCAUACGAGCAUGUGCAUCCUCUGAUGCCUGAAUGGGUGCUACAACAGGAAGUGGGGUAGCAUCAGUCUGACUAUGUAAAACAUACGGUGUCGGGUGUGGAACUGGCUGACUGAGUGGAGGGGGUGGUGGUGCCGUAGAGUCAUACUGUGCACCAUCCUGAGGUGGGGCCUGCUGCCCGUCUAUCCUCUGGCCAAGGCCGGCUAUAGCCUCCUGAAUCGAAGCCAUGGCCGCAGCAAACUGGUCAACUGUGACUACCUAGGAGUCCAUAUCUCUUUGAUCUACUCUCUGGUCUGGCUGAUCUGAUACUCUGGUCAACCUGCCUCUAACUCUAGUCCACGAAGGCGAAUCCAGACUGGGCGCCAAAAAAUACUCCUAUAAACACGGAAACACUAGAUGAGACGUUGUACAAGGGUAACUCUGUAGAAAUCGACUAAAAGGUAAUCAAGCAUAUAGCCCAUGUAUACUCAAACUGAUACCCGUAUCUGAUCAUACCAAAAUGGGACUAUGGAGAGGGUAAUCGAACCCAAUUGUAACCAAGGCAGCUCUGAAGGUCCACAGAUGCACCCACGUGUAAGAGUGAAAUCCUAAUUGGGUCUAGGCUAGCCUAUAAGGUUGUGGUGGUUCUAUAAGAUAAAAAAAAAAGGGUGGAUUAAAGAAUCCCUAGCAGAAGCGAUCGUACCCUCCGGCGGUACGCAACCCUCUGCACGCCUCCAAGGAGACGGGGUGCUUCCAUGCAAGGUGGUCAUCACCUCCACACAUGCACUUCCUCGCGUUCCCAGGGGGUUUCUUAAGGGUGAAGGCUCUCCCAUCUCUCAACACUCAAGGAUAAUCUAAAGUGCACGAUGAAGAAUGUGGGUGCAUCCGAAAAACCUAAGAUCUAAAGUGAGAUAGUGAACAAAGACAAGCAAUCAUACAAUCAUGCAAGAGAAAGGGUUGUCAUGCAACAAGCAGUCAUACCAAGCAAAUAAGUAUCAUACAAUCAAAGUCCUAUCUAGCAUACGUGAGAGUGAAUCAUGCUGAAGUGAGCAAGCAAUCAAGUGAUCAUCCAAGGCAAUCAAACAUGUUAAGAUAGCAAACCAAACAAGCAAGCAAAUCGAAUCACCUUGCCUAAAAAGGAGGUACCCACUAAUCGACCAAUUAAACGCCACAUUUUCCUCAACUAGUGUUCAAGCUUGAUCCUCAAAAUCCCCAGUGGAGUCGCCAAUUUGUGGACCCGCAUUUUUCACGUGCGUCCCCACUCGAUCGGCGAGACUCGCUUUUCAUUUAUGAAAAAUUGAUUUUUGAAAAAAAAGUUGGAGUCGCCACUUAUUUUAUUUUUUUUAAAAAGGGAAAAUAAAACAAGAAAUAAAACCCUAAAAAAAUGACUCCAUAAUUUUUGGAAAAGCGUGUCUUUGAAAAACCCGAGUCUAAGUCCGGGGAUCAGGUUACUUAUUGGGAAGGUACCUCUAAGAGGUAGCACCCCUCUAAGCCCUAAAGAGGUCUCUACUGACUAAGUUAAGGGGAAUAUGGCAAUUAAUCGGUUAAUUAUGGAUACCUAAGUAGGCUAGGUGAUUUCAAAAAAAUUUGCAUGCUAAACAAGAUCAAAUCACAAUAAAGGAGAGUUAGGGUGCGUACCUGGACUGCCUCUCAAGCGCUAUCAUAAAACAUCAGAGUUAGUAUAGAAGUAUAACACACAACAUGUAUUUAAUCAUAGUGAAUCAAACAUACAUCUAAACACCUAAGGAUUAUCAAACAUAUGCAUACUUCACAGUGACAUGAUUGUUUACAAAAUUUAGAAAGUAGGUGAUAGGGGGGGCGUACCUGGAUAGCAUAGAUAACUUACAAUGCGCUUCCAUAAGACAUGAGGGAUUAGAUAAUAAUAAAAUAAAGAAACCCUAGCAUGCUUGCUAUCUAAUUAGCAUAACAAAAAUUAUCAAAGUAUAUGAAAACAUUAAUUAUCACACACAUCUUGUAUACAAUUUCUAAAAAAAAGAUAAGACAUGAUUUCAACAAGUGUCAAAUGUGGCAACAAAAAUAAAUUUUGAAAAGAUUUUCUUAUGUAGGGGUUUCACCAAUUCCCCAAAUUAAUAUACACGAAUUUAACUCAGAAUUAUCCCAUUUANNNNNNNNNNNNNNNNNNNNNNNNNNNNNNNNNNNNNNNNNNNNNNNNNNNNNNNNNNNNNNNNNNNNNNNNNNNNNNNNNNNNNNNNNNNNNNNNNNNNNNNNNNNNNNNNNNNNNNNNNNNNNNNNNNNNNNNNNNNNNNNNNNNNNNNNNNNNNNNNNNNNNNNNNNNNNNNNNNNNNNNNNNNNNNNNNNNNNNNNNNNNNNNNNNNNNNNNNNNNNNNNNNNNNNNNNNNNNNNNNNNNNNNNNNNNNNNNNNNNNNNNNNNNNNNNNNNNNNNNNNNNNNNNNNNNNNNNNNNNNNNNNNNNNNNNNNNNNNNNNNNNNNNNNNNNNNNNNNNNNNNNNNNNNNNNNNNNNNNNNNNNNNNNNNNNNNNNNNNNNNNNNNNNNNNNNNNNNNNNNNNNNNNNNNNNNNNNNNNNNGGCUUGUUUUAAUGAUCCAAAAAGCUGUCAAAACACUAAAACUAGCCACAAAUAUGAUUAGAAGUCAUUGCUAGGUCCUUAACAUGCCAAUUGGGAUAAAGAUGGAGAACUACUACACAAAAGUGCUUAAAACAUAAUGAAUUAAAGGUGUAAAAUAGCACUUUUUGGGUAGUAAUCAGUCAACCUGUUAAUACACCAAUAGAAAAAUGUCUGAAAUUGUGUGUUGAGCCUAAUCAAGUAUCAACCGAUAAGGGAAGAUACAAGAGACUUGUGGGGAGAUUAAUGUACUUAGCUCAUACAAGACCAAAUCUUGCUUAUGCAUUGAGUGUAGUGAGUCAAUACAUGCAUAAUCCUGGAGAGCAACAUAUGAAUGCAGUCAUGCGUAUUUUGAGGUAUUUGAAGAAUGCUCCUGGGAAAGGAAUUUUGUUCGCUAAAAAUGUUGAUCAUCAGAGUAUAGAAGUAUAUACUGAUGUCGAUUGAGCCGGUGUAGUGGAUGAUAGGCGAUCUACAUCUGGUUACUUUACCUUUGUAGGUGGUAAUCUUGUGACAUGGAAAAGUAAGAAGCAGAAUGUCGUCGCCCGUUCAAGUGCAGAAGCGGAAUUUAGAGGUAUGGCUCUAGGACUUUGUGAGGCAUUAUGGCUAAGACUCCUCUUACAGGAUUUAGGUUACCUAUCUAGGCAACCAAUCCGAUUGUUUUGUGACAAUAAAGCCGCAUGUGACAUUGCUCNNNNNNNNNNNNNNNNNNNNNNNNNNNNNNNNNNNNNNNNNNNNNNNNNNNNNNNNNNNNNNNNNNNNNNNNNNNNNNNNNNNNNNNNNNNNNNNNNNNNCUUUAACGUGAUGAUUAAAAAAUAAAUAAUUAAACAAAUGUGAGAUUGCAUUACCAUAUUAAAGAAAACACGUGUUCAAGCAAAUAAACAAAUCAUCCCACUCACUCAAUACAAAAAUCCAAACUAAAAAUGGUACACCAAAACAUCACCGAAUAUAAUAACUAAACAAUUAAACCUAAAAAAUAGUAUUCUUGCUGCCAUAUUAAUGAGCACGUACUGGACCAAUAAAACAACCCAAUAUAAUAAUCCAAACAAACAUCAAACCAGACUUUUAUAUUUUUUCAAAGCAACCCCACAUAGAAACCAAACUUACCUGGCAGCUAGGUGCGUGGAUUGUCCUUCUCAAGGUGGCAGCCGUGUAAGUGGAUUUCCUUCAGGUGGAGAUGCGUGUUGAAUCUCCCGUCAAAGGAGUGAUGCGGCUGGUUCUCAAUGGAUGGUGCGGCUAUGGUGAGUUCCUCUUCAACUUGCAGCCGUGUGGGUACCCCUGGAGAGGCCAAAUCUCAGUGCAUGGUGCGGCUCCUUCAAUGCAUGGUGCGGUUCUCUGAUGCAGUAAUGCUUUCCGAAACUUUUCUGGUGCGGCCCACCUCUGUUCUAAAACACGGAUUGAUCCUUGCCCAAACAACAACCUUUAAUCCCUCUGAAACAUGGACUGAUCUCUUCAAACAGCAACCCCCAAAAUCCUUUCAAAACACGGAUUGAUCUUUGCCCAAACAGUAGCCUCUAAUCCCUCUAAAACAUGGACUGAUCUUUCUCCCAUAGCAGCCCCUAAUCCCUCUAAAACAUGGACUGAUCUCCUUUGAAAACAGCAACCCCGAAUCCCUCUAAAACGUGGACUGAUCUCCUUUGAAAACAGCAGCCCGCUCUUCUCCUCCCUCUGAAAAUCGCAGCCUCACCUUUCCUCCACCGGACUGAUCACUCCUCUUCUCUCUGAAAAUCACAACCUCACUCCUUCUCCCCUCCUGACUGAUCAUUCCUCUUCCCUCUGAAAAUCACAGCCUCACUCCUUCUCUCUCUCAAUCGUCUGUCUUUUUUUCCUUUUCUUUUCUUUUCCUUCCUCUUUAGUACCCUGCCAACAUGGGAAGACAACUCACCAGCCCGGAAAAUGAUCUUUCUUCCCCUUAAUCACGCGGCUGCACUCUUCCUUUUCAGACCACUUUUUUUUUCUUUUCUUGAACACAACCUCACUUCCUGUCCACAUACAUGCUGCACCCUCUUUCCUUUCACUUGCCAAAACCUAGCCUUCUUAAUCUUCUUCCCAUAAUCAUCCUGUUGACUCCACCGACCACCUUCAUCAUGCUGAUCUUCUUCCCAUAAUCAUCCUUUCCCAUAAUCAUUCUUUUUAAUAAUCUUUUUUUCAAUAUGGAGUAUGUAAAAUCCCGGGCAACAAAACAAAAUAUAACAAAUAAAAAAAUAGAAAAAAUAAGGGUUAGAGUAAUAAUAAAAAAAAUGUGACUAAUAAUUAAAAAUUCAAACUAUGUCAUUUUAAAAGAAAUUUUAAAAAUAUAGAUCACAUGCAUAACUAAAAUGAAUUAUCGACUCAAGCAAUUCCCUAUCAAAAUAAAUUAAUAAAUAGAUAAAUAAAAAUGAAAUGAAUAUGAUUAUUAAGCUCAUGCAAUGUUCUAAAAAAUAAGUAAAUAAAUGAAUAAAACUAAUAAAUAGAGAAAGAUAAAAAAAACAAAAACAAAAUCAAGCACAUGCAAGCCAUACGAGCUAUGCAACCAUGCAAGCCAUGCAAAACAUGCAUCCAUGCAAAAAAAAUGAUCUAAAUGGGUCUAAUGGUAAUGACUAAUGGGCCAAGUGUGCCUAAAUGUGCCUAGAGUGCAUAAGUGGGCCAAGGGUGCCUAAAUUGGCCUAAGGUUACCUAAAUGGGCCUAGGGUGCCUAAGUGGGCCUAGGGUGCCUAAAAACUAUCCUAAAAAAAAGCAAGAAAAGCCUAAGUCUAAGUUAGGGCUGCCAAGGGUCACAAUAAGGGGUCAGAUAAUCCCUCAACCAAAGUCUCCGAGAUGGCUUAGAAAAAAUAGGCUACACGAGUAUUAAUGGGCCACCAGGGAAUUGCUAUAAACGACAUGUGCGAGGAAGACAAAAUAGAGGGUCUACACCACCCACUUAAUUUUAAUGUGGAAAUAUCAUUCUCCCACUUAGCCCACUAAACUGAUUAUGAAAACUAUAAUAUAUUUAGUUUAUAUAUAAAAUAUAUACUGGAAAAUAAAUUUGACACGUGAUCACGAUUUCAAUAAACUUAGCCAAUACAUCCAAAAUCAUUUGCCAUAAUACUGAAUCAAUUUAGAUGAUAAAUGCGAGUCAUGGCGGUCACAUGACCAUAAUAUCAUGUUUCCUUCCAUGCACCACACAUUAAUAACCCUUACUAACCCAGUCCUUAAUGCCAAAUAGCCCCUGUAAUUUGUCUUGUCAGGACAAUUCUUGUUUAUCAAACAAUAAAAUGUGCACCCAUAAUUGAAAACAAGAAUAAACAGAAACAAUUUUAAUGCGCAAAUUGUCAAUUACAUAACCACCAUUCAUUAUCAUACACAUUAUGGAUUACUCAAAAGACCCAUCCUCAUAACAUGUUCCAAAUAUGCCUUUGGAGGUAAUCCUUUAGUUAAUGGAUCAGCAACCAUAAGUGUGGUCCUAAUAUUUUCAAUUGACACUUAUUGUUUCUGGACUCUUUCUUUAACAACUAAAUACUUUAAAUCCAUGUGUUUCGAUCCACUAGAAAAUUUGCCAUUCUUAGAGAAGAAAACAGCUGCAGUGUUAUCACAAUAUAUUCUCAAAGGUUUAGCAAUAGAGUCGACAACACCAAGCCCUGAGAUAAAAUUCCGCAACCAUAAAGCAUGACUUGAAGCUUCAAAACAAGCAACAAACUCGGCCUCCAUCGUGGAUGAAGCAGUAAUUGAUUGUUUUUCACUCUUCCACGAGAUUGCCCCAUUUGCUAGCAUAAAGACAAAUCCUGAAGUUGACUUUAAGCUAUCGAGACAACCACCAUAAUCAGAAUCCGAGUAACCGACAACCUCUAAUUGUUCUGAUCUUUUAUAUGUGAGCAUAUAAUCCUUUGUCCCUUGUAAAUACCUCAUCACCUUCUUUGCAGCUUUCCAGUGUUCGAAUCCUGGAUCACUUUGGUAUCUUCCUAACAUGCCUACAGCAAAGCUGAUAUCCGGUCUUGUACAUGUUUGAGUGUACAUCAAACUCCCCACAGCUGAUGCAUAAGGAAUUUUCUUCAUUUGCUCUCUUUCCAUGUUAUUCCUUGGGCACUGCAUUUUACUUAAUUUGUCACCUUUCAAUAUAGGUGCAAUACCCGAUGAACAUGACUGCAUAUUAAAUCUCUCUAAAACCCGAUCAAUAUAUCCUUUCUGAGAUAAACCUAGCACUCCUCGAGAUCGAUCCCUAAAGAUCUCAAUGCCAAUAACAUAGUUUGCCUCACCCAUAUCAACCAUAUGAAAGUUUUUAGAGAGAUAUUCCUUGGUUUCACGUAAUAAACCAAGAUCACUGCUGGCAAGCAAAAUAUCAUCCACAUACAGUAUCAGAAAUAUAAACUUGCUCCCACUAACUUUCAGAUAUAUACACUGAUCAACAAUGUUCUCUUUAAAUCCGAAAGAUGUAAUGGUAUUAUUGAACUUAAUAUACCAUUGUCCGGAAGCUUGUUUAAGACCGUAAAUGGAUUUCUUUAAUUUGCAAACUAGGUGUUCAUUUCCUUUCUUUGCGAACCCUUUAGGUUGUUCCAUAUAGAUAUCUUCAUCCAAAUUCCCAUUUAAGAAUGCAGUUUUCACAUCCAUUUGAUGUAACUCUAAAUCAAAAUGAGCUACAAGUGCCAUAAUGAUUCUAAGCGAAUCUUUCUUGGAAACUGGAGAGAAGUUAUCUUUGUAAUCGAUACCUUCCUUUUGAGUGAAACCUUUGGCCACAAGUCUGGCCUUAAAUCGUUCGAUAUUGCCUUUAGCGUCGCGCUUUGUCUUAAAGACCCAUUUACAGCCGACGGGUUUACAAUUAUUAGGCAAUUCGAUGAGAUCCCAGACACCAUUGUGGGCCAUAGAUUUCAACUCUUCAUUCAUAGCUUCCAUCCAUUUACUAGAAUCAUCACUUUCCAUGGCUUGUGAAAACGAAACCGGAUCCUUCCUUAUCCCAAUAUCAAAAUCAGAUUCCUGUAGAUACACCACAUAAUCAUCUGUAAUGGCAGGUCUCCUUUCUCUUUGAGAUCUCCUCAAAGGUGCCGGUUGUGGUGGCUCUACAGCAUUUUCAAUGGCAAUAUUUUCUAGUGGUAAUGAACCAUCUCUAUUAUUUUGCUCAUUAUCCUCAACUUGUUGAACAGGUUGAGGAACAAUAAUUUCUUGAGGUAAAAAAGGUGGUGGGAUAUCCACUCUUAUCUCCUCAAUAUCUACCUUUCUUGGUUCAUUACUCCCACUGAUUUCGCCAUUCUCUAGGAAUCUGGCAUUACCGGUUUCAACUAUUCUCACACUAUGGUUAGGACAAUAAAAUCUAUACCCUUUCAAUUUAUCCGGAUGGCUCAAUGAAAUAUCCAGAUACCGUUCUUGAAUCAAGCUUUUUCUCAUGUGGGUUAUAGAUUCUUGCCUCCGCUGGACAACCCCAUAUAUGUAUAUGUCUCAAGCUAGGUUUCCUACCAGUCCAUAACUCGAAAGGAGUUUUUGGGACUGCCUUACUAGGAACUCUGUUCAAGAUAUACAUUGCUGUUUUUAAGGCUUCACCCCACAAUGAAAUAGUUACAGAAGAGUAACUCAUCAUACUCCUAACCAUUUCCAUUAAUGUGCGAUUACACCUUUCAGCAACACCAUUAUGCUGUGGCGUACCAGGCAUUGUGUAUUGAGCACGAAUGCCAUGCUUUUCAAGGAAUUUGGCAAAAGGACCAGGAUUUUGUCCUGAUUCAUCAUAUCUGCCAUAAUAUUCACCGCCUUGAUCUGAUCUCACAAUUUUAAUCUUUUUAUCUAAUUGUCUCUCGACCUCUGUUAUGAACAUCUCAAAUAUGUCAAUGGCCUGAGACUUUUCAUGCAUUAGAUAAACAUAACCAUAACGAGAUAGAUCAUCUAUAAAGGUGAUAAAAUAUUUCUCUCCUGUGAAACAUGGAACAGAGAGUGGUCCACAAAUAUCUGUAUGAAUUAUCUCAAGGAGCUCAUUACUUCUUGUGGCACCUUUCUUUGUAUGUUUAGUUUGCUUUCCCUUUAUGCAAUCCACGCAUACAUGAAAAUCAGUGAAGUCAAGAUUUUGUAAAAUUCCUUCCUUCACUAAUCUUUCAAUUCUUUCCCUAGAGAUGUGCCCUAGUCUUCUGUGCCACAAGAUUGAAGAAUUUUCAUUAAUUAAGCCACGUUUUGAACCAACAUUUGAAUGCAGGGUUAUCAAAGCUUGUGCAAAUUCAUGAUUCAAGGAAAUUUUAUAUAAACCAUCACAUAAAAUACCAGAACCAACUAUAACAGAAUUCAACAUCAAACUUAAUUGUCCAGAACUGAAUAAAACAGAAUAUCCAGUAGCAUCUAAUUUAGACAAGGAAACUAAAUUCCUAGAGAUAGAAGGUACAUAAAAAGUGUUUAAAAGAUCCAUCCGAUGAUCCGUCUCUAAUAGUAAGCGAUAGGUACCAACAGCUACCACUUCAACCUUGAGACGGUUUCCCAUAUAGAGGAACUUUUCACUUUCCUUUGGUUUCCUGGUUGUAAGGAAUCCCUGCAUUAAAUUAGUCACAUGAGUUGUGGCUCCAGAAUCAAUCCACCAAGUAUUUGAAGGAACUUCAGCAAGAUUAGAUUUAUAACAUACAAAAGAAAGAUUUAUACCUCUAUUUUCGAACCAAGCCUUGCGCUUGAUACAGUCCUUCUUCACAUGCCCUUUCUUGCCACAAAAGUAGCAACUUACAGUGAAUUUUCGAUCAUGACUCUGGCUACCUUCCCCAGGUCCGCUUUUCUUAGGUGGAAAGUUCUUUCCCUUUUUGAAUUUUCCUUUCUUCUUCGUGACUCCAUGAGUUACAGCAAAAGCAAGAUUAUGUCCUUCUUGUCUUAAUCUCACUUCCUCUUGUAUACAUUUACUGGUGAGCUCAUUCAAGUUCCACUGAUCACUGUUAGUAUUAUAGUGGAUUUUGAAUGGAGCAAACUAUGAUGGAAGUGAGUUAAGGACAAACUGUACCAAGAAGGACUCAUCCAUACCCAUACCUAGUGCCUUAAGCUUUGUAGCCUUUUCAGUCAUGUUUAAAAUAUGUUGCUGAAUACCUUUCUGACCAUCAUAUUUCAUGGUGGUCAAUUCAGCCAUCAAUGUGCCUGCAAGGGACUUAUCAGCACGUUUGAAGCGCUCCUCAACAAAUUUCAGAAAUUCCAAGGCAAACUCGGUUUGAGGGAGAGAGGUCUUGAUAUUAUUGGCAAUAGUCAUUCUCAUAAACAUCAGACUAAGUCUGUUUGAUUUUGCCCAGGCUUUUGAUUGUUCCACCUGCUCCGGAGUACUGUCAUCCGUAGCUUCAGGAGGUUUAUCAGAUAUUAAAGCCAAGUCAAGAUCCAAUACACCCAGUGAGAAUUGAACCCUUUCAUACCAUUCAGAAAAGUUUGACCCAUCAAAAAUAGUCAUUCCAGAUGCAAGAGAGUGUAAUGAAGUGGGAACUGUACAAAAUAGAACAAUGCUCACAAUAAGCUUCAAGUAUAAAAUAAAAAACAAUGAACUAUUGAUAUCAUUAAAAUUCUCCUUUGGGUAAAUUUUAACAUAUCCAGUGUUCACUUGGAGGGAGCUUAAAACACUUUACUAUUUUGUGUCAUUUAUAUGUUACCUUUGGGUAUCCAUUUUACUUUUCUAAGCAACACAAAAUAAAAACAUUAAUUAAUAAUUAGCAGAAAUUGACUCUCCUUUGGGUUAGUCUCAUUCUCCUAAUUAUAAAGAAAAUUAUUAAGAAUUUUACAAGUCUCCCUUUAUUCUUUUAUGCAAUUCAAUAAAUACAAGGCUCACUAAUUUAGGUUACUUUGGCAACUAUCCAAAUUAGUUAACCUUAUAUUUAUAAAUUGUCUUUAGAUAAAAUAUUCACAAGAUGAAAUUAAUUCUUUUAUUUGAGUUAAAAAACAAGGAAAUAGUAUCUAUAAUAAUCAACAGAUUCAAUAAUCAAUCAUAAUAUAGUAUCUUUAAUAAUCAACAGAUUCAUUAAUCAAUCAUAUUAUAGUAUCUUUAAUAAUCAACAGAUUCAAUAAUUAAUCAUAAUAAAAUCAAAGAAAUCUGCAUUCAUUGAAUAUACUAAAGCUAAUACUUGCAUUCCUCAUAUAUAAUAAUAGUAAUUUCACAAAUGUACAGAUUCAAAUCAUAUAAUAAAUCAAUUAAGAUCUUUGGAUUAGUGCCUGAAAUGNNNNNNNNNNNNNNNNNNNNNNNNNNNNNNNNNNNNNNNNNNNNNNNNNNNNNNNNNNNNNNNNNNNNNNNNNNNNNNNNNNNNNNNNNNNNNNNNNNNNCGGAGUACUGUCAUCCGUAGCUUCAGGAGGUUUAUCAGAUAUUAAAGCCAAGUCAAGAUCCAAUACACCCAGUGAGAAUUGAACCCUUUCAUACCAUUCAGAAAAGUUUGACCCAUCAAAAAUAGUCAUUCCAGAUGCAAGAGAGUGUAAUGAAGUGGGAACUGUACAAAAUAGAACAAUGCUCACAAUAAGCUUCAAGUAUAAAAUAAAAAACAAUGAACUAUUGAUAUCAUUAAAAUUCUCCUUUGGGUAAAUUUUAACAUAUCCAGUGUUCACUUGGAGGGAGCUUAAAACACUUUACUAUUUUGUGUCAUUUAUAUGUUACCUUUGGGUAUCCAUUUUACUUUUCUAAGCAACACAAAAUAAAAACAUUAAUUAAUAAUUAGCAGAAAUUGACUCUCCUUUGGGUUAGUCUCAUUCUCCUAAUUAUAAAGAAAAUUAUUAAGAAUUUUACAAGUCUCCCUUUUUUCUUUUAUGCAAUUCAAUAAAUACAAGGCUCACUAAUUUAGGUUACUUUGACAACUAUCCAAAUUAGUUAACCUUAUAUUUAUAAAUUGUCUUUAGAUAAAAUAUUCACAAGAUGAAAUUAAUUCUUUUAUUUGAGUUAAAAAACAAGGAAAUAGUAUCUAUAAUAAUCAACAGAUUCAAUAAUCAAUCAUAAUAUAGUAUCUUUAAUAAUCAACAGAUUCAUUAAUCAAUCAUAAUAUAGUAUCUUUAAUAAUCAACAAAUUCAAUAAUUAAUCAUAAUAAAAUCAAAGAAAUCUGCAUUCAUUGAAUAUACUAAAGCUAAUACUUGCAUUCCGCAUAUAUAAUAAUAGUAAUUUCACAAAUGUAUAGAUUCAAAUCAUAUAAUAAAUCAAUUAAGAUCUUUGGAUUAGUGCCUGAAAUGGCACUUUUGAAGAGCCUGAAAGGUGGUGCCUGAAGCGCACACGGCACUGCAAACGGCAAGAAAACAGCGCCUGCAAAUAGCGCCUCUAAUGGCGCCUGCAACCAGGAGAUGGCGCCUGAAAACGGCGCCUUCAAUGGCACCGGCAAUGGUGCCUGCAACCAGCAGAUGGAGCCUGAAAAAUGGCGCCGACAAUGGCGCUUGAAAACAGCGCGAUGGCGCCGGAAAUCGCGCCUGAACUGGCGUCGAAAAUCGCGCCUGAACUGGCGCGUGAAAACUGUAAGAUGACGUCUUCAAUGGCGCCGGCAAUGGCACUUGGACUAGGGCCGGAAACCAGCGAGAUGGCGCCUGGACUGGCGCUGACAAUGGCGCCUGCAACUAGUGCGCAAACGGCGAGAUGGCGCUCUGGCAAUGGCGCCUGCAAUGGCGCCAGAAAACGGCCAGCAAUGGCGCCUGAAAGUGGCCAACAAUUGCGCCUAAAAAUGACCAGCAAUGACGCCUUCAAAUGGCCAGCAAAGGCGCCUGAAAAUGGCCAGCAAAGGCGCCUGAAAUGGUGCCUAAAAAUGGCCAGCAAAGGCACCUAAAAACGGCCAACAAUGGCGCCUGAAAACGGCGCCUGAAAAUGGCCAACGGACUGACGCCAAACCAGCGCCCCUCACUGGCAUAGAUCCAAUCAGCAUUGCAAGGAAAAAUAAAAAUCUUCCUUCUAUGCGUUAAGCUGGUCUUUUGUUUAUUUUAUUAAUUUUAGUGAGACGAAUUAAUGUAAGAUAAAUCUCAAAAAUCUAAUCUUUUAUAAAUCAAUGAUCUGAAUAUUUAAAUUCAAAACCUUGCUCUGAUACCAAUUGUUGGACUUUAACACGGAAAUUAACAUACAAUAAUCCAGAUCAUUAUGAUUCAAACUCGUCUUUGAUGAUAAAUAAUAAUAAAAUAAUAAAAACCAGUAAUUAACAAAUAGAUCACAUACCAUUUGAAGAAGACGCAGUCAUGAGAGAUUUCCCUUCAACUUAUAGAUCUUGAAUCCUUGAUCUCUUCUUCUCCUUAUCAAACCUUAAUACACAGAGUUAUUUUCUGUAAUUGAUGGAAAAAGCACACACUCCACACAUGAAGGGUUUUCUGUAUAUGUCUUUUAUUGAUAGGAAAAGAGGGCCAAGAAUACACGUUCAAAAACCGUUCUGAACGUGUCAAUCAAAAUAACUGUUAAUUAUCUCAAAUAAUAAUAUUAAAAUUAUUAUAAUUUACCCACUCCAUCAAUGGUAAAUAUCUAUAACAGUUUAAAGAUAGUGGAUAUUAUUUAAUUGGCUAAAUACUAGGUUAGUGGGCCACCCACUUAAUUUUAAUGUGGAAAUAACAAUGGCACCAAGAGAGGGAGGCGUAAAAUGAUAUGGAGAGGAAAAUAAAUAAUCAUAGACAAAAAUUAUCAUACUACUUUCUAUUAUUUUUAAAAUAUAGAGAAACAAUUAUAAAAAUUAAAAUUCCAAAUUUAAAAAAAUUUAACUCUUCAGAUAUUAAUAAAAUGAUUCUAAUAAACUAAACAAAUAGAUUAUCUUUGGUUUUAGAAAAUUUGAGGGGAAAUGUGAGAUAAAGAAAAUAAAGAGGAAGUGAAAGAAAAAAAAAUGUUAAGGAAAAUAAAAAAUAAAUUUAAAGUCAAUAAAUUAUUUGUAUAUAUUUUUUAAAAUUCAUUUUACUUAUUUUUCUUUAUGGUACAAGGAUUAGAUAAUUUUAAAAUAUGUAAAAUUUCAAUUAAUUUUAAUUAUAUUUGAUUUUCUUUUAUAUUUUUUAUAGUAAAACCAAACAAGAGAAAAUAAUUUAUUUUUAUCAUUUUUUCUCUUUCCUUUGCACUUUUCGGGAACCAAAUAUAGCCAUAGAGUUUUAGUCAAAAUUGUUUUCCUUAAGUCUUCAAAUUUUAUCUUACUCAUUAUCAUCGUCAAACAAUGUUUCUGUUGAACUUGCAACUAUGUCUAUAAUUUCAUUUUUAGAAGGAAAAUAAAAAUGCGAGUAUAAUUUUUUUCUUCCACCAACUUGCUAAUAUAGUGAAAUAUGACGUCAAUAUGUUUGCUUUUUCUAUGAAAAGUUGGAUUCUUGGUGAAUGCAAUUGUUGACUUAUUAUCACAAAAGAUUUGUACUAUAGGAACUUCUUUUGAGUAUUUCUUAAAUAAGAUCAAAACAUUCAAUACAACCAUAUUGCUACAUAUAUGAUUCCUACAACCUAUCUCCAAAAACCAAGUAUUUUUUGUUUUCUUCCUUUGCAACAUUGUUUGCUAAUAAUAACGUAUCUAAAUUUGCACCCUUAUCUUCUAUAAUAUUAGCAUGAAAAUUUAAUCCAUUCGAUCUUCUACCUUUACAUUUGGACUUGUAAUGACCUUUUUUUUUUUUUUUUUUUUGUAGUUUAAAUAUGAAAUUUAUUAUUAUUAUUAUUUUGAGUUGAAAUGUUUCACUAAAAUUUCUUACUCCUUUUUCUUCUAAUCUAAAAUUUCCUCAUCUUCUAUUUUGUGAACUCUAACAUUUUUUACUUGAUUUACAAUUAUUUUGAGACUUCUCUUUUUCUUUUUUAAGACUUAGUUGGCUUCGCCACUUCAAUAUGAGACCUGUGAUUUAAGCAUUAUUCAUGGGCUUGUAAGGAACCCAUCAACUCAUGUAAUAUUAUGACACUAAGAUCUUUAAUUUUUCAAUUGUUGUUACCUUCUACUCGAAUCAUAUGAUUAAAGUUCAAAGAAUUGAUUGAUAAGAGCUAAUAUCUAUGAAAAAUAAUUACAAACUCUUUCCAUUUUCUCCAUUUAAAAAGAUCAAAUUGCAUUCUUAAAGUUUAUAGUUGAACUUUCUUCACCUUUUCUACUCUUUGUAGUGUUUAUUAAGAUGUCUCAUGCAUGUACCUUUUGAUUCUAUUGAUUGAUAGAUGGAAAGAUAAGCCUUCAAUUCUUUUUCCUUGGAAUUUAUCAAAUAAUUCUUUUGUGCUUGUGUAAGUUUUGCUUGAUCUACUUGUAUGAAAACUAUGCUUGGAUUGUAUUAUUGUUGGUUGUUUGCAUCUUUAUUAGUCGAGCUUUGAUUACCAAGUCUAAGGGACCAAAAAAAAUACACACACACAUAAAAAUAAAAACUUCCAACACAAGACAUUAAUAAAAAUCUAAUUAUAAUAAAAACCAAGCUUAUUUUAAAUCAUAAAAAUAAAUUAAAUAAAUAUAAUUUUAAAUUUAAUUAGAACGCCUAUAAUUUUGCUAAAGUCUAAUUAGCUAGCCAAAGCAUGAUUGAUCUUUAUCUAAACACCCAUUGAACUUUAACAAUAUUUCAUAUAUAUGGGUUUGUUUGGUUACUGUUUUUAAAAAUGGUUUUUCAUUUUUUGGAACUGAAUAUUGUUUUCUAAUUUAGAGAACAUGUUUGAAUUUUUUUUGACAUCAAAUAGUGUUUUCUUUUCAAAAUUUCUUUAGAGUAUAAUAGUUUGUUUGGUUAUGUGAUUUAAAAAUAGAAAACUAUUUAAAUUUUUUUUAAUACAGUUUGAUUGUUGUUUUACAAUAAUUUUUAAAAACAAAGUAAAAUAAAAAACAAUUUUUAAAGAACAAGUAAACUUUAUUUUCACCGAUUUUUAAAAAUAAAAGGAAAACAUGACCCCGUUUGUCAUGUUUUCUUAAACUUGUUUUUAAAAUCAAUUUUAAAGUUAAAUAAUAAAAAAUAAUUUUUAAAAACAGGUUUUAGAAAAUAUGGCCAAACAGUCCCUAAGUUAUUUUUAAAACUAAAUCUAAAGUGUUUUUAAUUGUUUUUAUAAAGUUUUUGAAGUAAUAAUUAAAAAGAUAGUGAAUACUUUAAAAAUAUUUGUAUUAUACAUAAAUGCAUAAUAGAGAAUAAGUAUAGAAAACAGUUCUUUCAACCUAUUUUUUGAGAAUCAUAUUUAAAAACAUGGCCACGCGGGCCUAUUUCUCCCAUGGCAUAGCUUGAAUGAGUGUUCCUUUAAGCUCUUGCAUGAUGAAGCAUUGAUCGACCAAAGCAGACAUGCCAAAAUACUAUAACAAAGGAAUUUUAUGAUUUCAGAUAUUAUUUAAAAUUAAAUAAUAUUUGUAAAAGUUGAAAAUUUUAAAAACUUGUAAAAUUGACUUAAUUAUGGUUUGUGCAUGUUAUAUUUUUUUAAAAAUAAAAUAAAAUGUAGUGUUUUUUUUCUUAAUUCUAAAUAGAACUUAAAAUUAAAUAGUAAUUAAUGGUGUUAAGUAUUAAGUCGUUUGUUUUUAUAAUAUUUUAUUUUUAUUAAGCAUUAAAAAAAAAAUUCUCACAUGUUACUUUUUUCAUUUAGAGAAAGUCAAAUAUUUUGAUUUUUUUUAUUCAGUCAAAAAUUAAUUUAUAAUAAGUCAUGAAAAAAGUUAAAAAAAAAAAAACAAAUAACCUAAAUUUGAUAGCAAAUUUCUUACAAUAAAAAACUAAGAGGGCAUUUAUUUUUUCGGUUUUUCUUAUUAAAAAAAAUUUGUUUUCAAAAUUUAAGUUGUUUGUUUUUUUUUUACUUUUUUAUAACUUCUAAUAAACUUUUUGUUGAAUUGAAAAAACCAAAAUAUUUGAAUUUUUUUAAAUAAAAAAAUAAUAUGUUCAUUUUUCUUUAUUUUUUAAAUAUUUAAUAGAAAUAAAAUAUUUAAAAAAUAAACAACUUCAUAUUUAACAUUAUUAAGUAUUAAAAUUUUAUUUAGAAUUAAAUAAAAGAACAAACACUACCUAAGAAAACGAACACCCUCUAAAUUUGGAGACUCACAAUGUCCAUGCUUAUGAAGGAGUUUGGAGCUAGUCGGUUUCAUUAAAUUUAUGGAGGGUCAUGUACCUGAAGAAGUUUUAUUGCUUCAUUCAGUGUUACACGUGAUAAAUGACUGAGACAAAGCAUGGGUCUUUUCUCUGUUUUUUACACCUAUAUCCGUUGUAUCUCUUUUUUCAUUUUUUUAUCUUUAUACUUUUGUGUGUUGAGAUAUUAGGAAUGCUUUCCUUAUAUCAUUCUUUCCUUAUAUCAUUUAGUGUUGAGAUUUUAGGAAUAUUGAGAUACUAGGAAUAUUGAGAUAUUAGGAAUAUUGAGAUAUUAGGAUAUUAGUUGUUAUUUCCUUAUAUCAUUCUUUCCUUAUAUCAUUCUUUCCCAUUCUUAGAAUGGUGAUUACCCUCUAUAUAUACUCUGUACAUGAAUGAAAAAACUACCAUUUAUCAAUUUGAAGAUGGUAUCAGAGCCAUGGAACUAAAAUCCUGGAUAUUUUGUCGCUAUGGUAGUCCGACAGCGAUCAACCAUCCUAAGACAAGCCCUAAUAUUGAUAAGUCAACCUUCAAAUGCACUCACUUCAAUAAGACUGGUCCCACCAGUCUGGAUAUCCCACAAUUUCAAAACAACGACUCUUGGUAUGACCAAGAAAACAAUAAGGAACCGAAGGUUUGAACCAUGGACCUUUAGAUCAUGUUUAGGCUAUCAACACUUUGUUAUUAAUUAUAAUAAUCGUGAUCAACGGAAGAAGGAUUCCAAGAAAACCGCGACUGCAACUGUUGCCGAAAUAAAAACAGAGGCUAAUGUUGCUGAGAAAGCCUCUGCAUUGGUAGUCGCUACUGAUCAUGGUGGUAAGUUUUUAAAUACUUUUACACCUGUUAUUAAUAGUGCAUGGAUAAUUGAUUCUGGUGCUACAGAUCAUAUGACUUUUGAUUCUAGACAGGUUUUACCCCUUAGACCUUCCUCACAAAAAAUUGUUUCCACAGCCAAUGGUAACACAACCCCAGUCAUUGGGGAAGGAUCCUUAACUCUUACUGAUACUUUGAAUUUGGAUUCUGUUUUAGUUGUUCCAUCUUUAGAUUACAAUCUUUUGUCAGUUUCUCAAAUCACUGCAACCUUAUCUUGUAUUGUCAUUUUUUGGCUUGAAUUUUGUGUGAUUAAGGACAUCCAAACAAGACAGACGAUUGGUUGUGGUAUUAAACGGGGAAAACUCUAUUACUUGGACUUGCAGUCAAAGGAUUCAAAUAAGUUGCAACAAGCCUUGAUGGCAAAUGAAUCUGAGGGGGAGAAGAAAAAGUCUGAAAUUUGGUUGUGGCAUCGACGUUUGGGACAUGCUUCCUUUGGUUAUUUAAAAAAAUUGUUUCCUAGUUUGUUUGCAAAAAGUGAUAUUUCUGGUUUUCGUUGUGAUAUUUGUGAAUUGGCUAAAAGCCAUCGUGCUUCGUUUCCGUUAAUUUUGAAUAAAAGUCUGUUUCCUUUUAUGGUUAUACAUUCUGAUGUUUGGGGCCCAUCCAAAGUCCUAACUUUGAGUGGCUCACGUUGGUUUGUUACUUUUAUUGAUGAUUGUACCAGAAUGACAUGGUUAUGCUUGAUGAAGACCAAAGAUGAAGUGAACUUGUUGUUUCAAAAUUUUCAUAAAAUGAUUGAAACUCAGUACAAUGCAAAGGUUCGGGUUCUGCGUAGUGAUAAUGGUGGAGAAUAUCAAAGUUCUGAUCUUCAAAAGUAUUUGGAAGGACAUGACAUCAUUCAUCAGACUACUUGUUCCAAUACACCCCAGCAAAAUGGAGUCGCUGAACAAAAAAAUCGACACUUGUUAGAGGUUGUUCGUGCUUCCUUGAUAGCAGCAAAAACACCGAUAUCUUAUUGGGGAGAAGCAAUCACAUCUGCCGCAUAUUUGAUCAAUUGGGUACCUUCUAGCUCAAUUAACUUUUAAACACCUCUCCAAGCUCUUACUAAUGUCGUAGUUGCCCCAACUGUCCCAAAUCUACCUCCUCGUGUUUUUGGUUACGUGGCAUUUGUGCAUCUACACAAGCACCAACGCACCAAGUUAACUUCCCAUGCAUUGCAAUGUGUGUUUGUUGGAUAUGCAUUACACAAAAAGGGAUAUUGAUGUUACCAUCCUCCAACUCGACAAAUGUAUAUUACAAUGGAUGUGGUGUUUCAUGAAGAUUCAAUGUAUUUUUCAUCUAAGUCUGAACUUCAGGGGGAGUACCAUAAGGAAAUUCAGACUCUCGAUUAUGAUUAUCAUAUCUCUGAAGAAGAUGAAUCUGGACAAUCUGAACUAGUGAACCAGGAAGUGGGUGAGUUGGAUAUGAGUGGUCAACAAUUUGGGUCCGAAGAUGUCUUCACUAAAAUACCAAACCAAUCGUCGUCUGUUGAGGGUGUUCUUAAUUUAGAACCUGAUCCAUUCAUGAAACGGUUACCACAUCGUCAUAAUAGAGGUAUUCCUAAACCCACAUAUGAACCUGAAUUGUCUACUAAAGUCAAAUAUCCCAUGAGCAACUAUGUGUCUACCCAUCGUUUGUCUGAAUCAAAUAAGUCAUUUGUAAAUCAAUUAUCUACUGUAGCUAUUCCUAACAGUGUGCAGGAAGCCUUAGCUGAUCCAAGGUGGAAAGCAGCUAUGAAUGAAGAGAUGAAAUCAUUGCAGAAGAAUGAAACAUGGGAACUCGUAUAAUGUCCACCAGGAAAGAAGCCAGUUGGGUGUCGUUGGAUCUAUACUGUGAAGUACAAGGCAGAUGGUAGUAUUGAACGAUUUAAAGUAAGACUGGUAGCAAAAGGGUACACUCAAACUUAUGGAAUUGACUACAUAGAGACAUUUGCACCUGUAGCUAAGAUUAACACAAUUCGAGUAUUACUGUCUUUAGCUGUAAACCUAGAUUGACCAUUACAACAAUUCGAUGUGAAAAAUGCCUUUCUGCAUGGCGAGUUAUCUGAAGAAGUAUAUAUGGAUCUUCCACUAGGAUGCAUGGUGUCAGAAAAGCAAUGUCAGAAGGUGUGCAAAUUGAAGAAGUCAUUGUAUGGGUUGAAGCAAUCCCCGAGAGCAUGGUUUGGAAGGUUCACAAAGUCAAUGAGAGCUUUUGGCUAUCGUCAAAGUAAUUCAAAUCACACUUUGUUCCUAAAAAAGCAACAUGGUAAGAUUACGAGACUCAUCGUAUAUGUGGAUGACAUGGUAGUUACAGGAAAUGAUCCUGAAGAAAGAAAAGCUCUGCAAAAUUAUCUAUCUAGAGAAUUCGAAAUGAAAGAUCUAGGUCAUCUGAAAUACUUUCUUGGGAUUGAAGUUUCUCGAUCAAGUGAAGGAAUUUUUCUGUCUCAAAGAAAGUAUGCCUUAGAUCUUUUACAGGAGACUGGAAUGUUGGGAUGUCAACCUGUUAAUAUACCAAUAGAAGAAGGUCUGAAAUUGUGUGUUGAGCCUAAUCAAGUAUCAACAUAAGGGAAGAUACUAGAGACUUGUGGGGAGAUUAAUGUACUUAGCUCAUACAAAAACAGAUCUUGCUUAUGCAUUGAGUGUAGUGAGUCAAUAUAUGCAUAAUCCUGGAGAGCAACAUAUGAAUGCAGUCAUGCUUAUUUUGAGGUAUUUGAAGAAUGCUCCUGGGAAGAGAAUUUUGUUCACUAAAAAUGUUGAUUAUCAUAGUAUAGAAGUAUAUACUGAUGCUGAUUGGGCCGGUGCAAUGGAUGAUAGGCGAUCUACAUCUAGUUACUUUACCUUUGUAGGUGGUAAUCUUGUGACAUGGAAAAGUAAGAAGCAGAAUGUUGUCGCUCGUUCAAGUGCAGAAGCGGAGUUUAGAGGUAUGACUCUAGGACUUUGUGAGGCAUUAUGGCUAAGACUCCUCUUACAGGAUUUAGGUUACCUAUCUAGGUAACCGAUCCGAUUGUUUUAUGACAAUAAAGCCGCAUGUGACAUUGCUUAUAAUCCAGUACAACAUGAUCGUACAAAGCAUGUCGAGGUGGAUAGAUUCUUCAUUAAGGAAAAGUUAGAUGAUAAGAUUGUGGAAUUGCCUAAGAUUCAAUCAGAAGAUCAAUUGACCGAUAUCCUUAUCAAAGUUGUCUCAAGUCAAGUGUUCUCAAAAUUUUUAGACAAGUUGAGCAUGUGUGACAUCUAUGCACCAACUUGAGGGGGAGUGUUGAGAUAUUAGGAAUAUUGAGAUACUAGGAAUAUUGAGAUAUUAGGAAUAUUGAGAUAUUGGGAUAUUAGUUGUUAUUUCCUUAUAUCAUUCUUUCCUUGUAUCAUUCUUUCCCAUUCUUAGAAUGGUGAUUACCCUCUAUAUAUACUCUGUACAUGAAUGAAUGAAAGUAUGAAUGAAAAAACUACCAUUUAUCAAUUUGAAGAUUGUGUACACAUGAAUUAACCCUAUUCAUAAUAGCAGUUAGAUGGUGUUUGUUUUUUUGGCUUUUUGCUUAAAACAAUUUAGUUUUAGAAUUUAGGUUGUUUGUUUUUCUACUUUUUCAUGACUUAUUAUAAACUUUUUACUAAAUAGAAAAAGCCAAAAUAUGUAGCUUUUUCUAAAUAGAAAAAAUAACAUAUUGAUUUUUUUUACUUUUUAAUACUUAAUAGAAAUAAAAUACUACAAAAACAAACAACCUAAUAUUUAACACUAUUAAGUAUUAAGGUUCUAUUUAGAAUUAAGUAAAAAAACAAACACCACCUUAGUUUAUUAACUUGAAUGAUUGGUGGACGCUAUUCAACCAUGCUUGAUAAUAAUGCUUAUAACACGGCCCCACUUUUUAUAUGGACAAACUAAUUACCUUAAACUUCUCUUACCUUAUAUUGUAAGAGCAAAUAAAGUAAAUAAUGGAAGAAUCUCCUAUCAAAUGUAAUAAUAUAUAAGAGCAACCACCUACCUUUAUUAUGUCUUGUCAAAUGCUUAUUUUAUAUAAAUAACGGAGGAAUUUUCAGUCAAAUGUAAUAAAACACAAGAGCAACCACCUACCUUCAUUCUGUCUUGUCAAAUGCUUAUUUUAUAUAUUUGACAAGACAAGACAGAAUGAAGGCGGGUGAUUGCUCUUUUAUAUAUAUAUAUAUAUAUAUAUAUAUAUAUUCUUGUCAAGUAUUUGUUUUAAUAUCCAUUCUUAUUAAAACAUGAAAAGUUGAAUAUUAUGUAUAUAAUGAAGAAAUAUUGAGAAAAUUAUUAUAAAAAAUUAUUAAAAAAAACUUCAAAAAAAUGAUAAAAUAAAUAAUAGUAAAUAUUUUGAAAUUGUUUUAUUGAAAAAAAAUAUAUUAUAUGAUAUAAUUUAUAAUAUUCAAUAAUAAUAUAAAAAACUUGAAAAUAUAUUUUAUAUUAAUCCAUCUAUUUUGUAUCAAUCUAUCUAAUUUAUUUAGGAAUUUAGAUUUUUUUUUUUGGAUUCAACCAAUAUGCAAAAAAUAUAAAGAAAGACCUAAAAAAAAAAAUUAUAGUGAUAAUUUUUAUAUUUUUAAUAAUAAGUUAAAUGAAAUUCAAAAUAAAAUAAUUAACAUUAAUUGAAUUAAUUUCCUUAUUAAAGUUUUAUUUUAAUAUUUCACAUUUUUUUAAAAUAAAAUAUAAAAUACAACAUAUAAAAGUUUUCUUCCUAUAUAUAGCAUGAAUGACCAUAUGAUUUCAACAUCGUGGCUCCAUUCUGUCUUAUCAAAUACUUGGUAUUUUCCACUUUAACUUUAUAUAUAUAUAUAUAUAAAGUUUUAUUUAAAAUUAAAUAAAAAACAAACACCACAUAAGAAAACAAACACCCUCUAAAUUUAGAGACUCACAAUGUCCAUGCUUAUGAAGGAGUUUGGAGCUAGUGGGUCUCAUUAAAUUUAUGGAGGGUCAUGUACCUGAAGAAGUUUUAUUGCUUCCUUCAAUGUUACACGUGAUAAAUGACUGAGAUAAAGCAUGGGUCUUUUCUCUCUUUUUUACACCUCUAUCCGUUGUAUCUCUUUUUUCAUUUUUUAUCUUUUUAUUUUUGUGUACACAUGAAUUACCCUAUUCAUAAUAGCAGUUAGGUGGUGUUUGUUUUUUUGGUUUUUUGCUGAAAAUUAUUUAGUUUUAGAAUUUAAGUUGUUUGUUUUUUUACUUUUUCAUUACUUAUUAUAAACUUUUUACUAAAUAGAAAAAGCUCUGUAUAUGGCUUUUUUUAAAUAGAAAAAAUAACACAAUAAUUUUUUUUUACUUUUUAAUACUUAAUAGAAAUAAAAUACUAAAAAAACAAACAACCUAAUAUUUAAUACUAUUAAGCAUUAAAGUUCUAUUUAGAAUUAAGUAAAAAAACAAACGCCACCUUAAUUUAUUAACUUGAAUGACUGGUGGAUACUAUUCAACCAUGCUUAAUAAUAAUGCUUAUAACACGACCACUUUUAUAUAUGGACAAACUAAUUUCCUUAAACUUCUCUUACCUUUUUUUUUGUAAGAGCAACUAAAAUAAAUUACCGAGAAAUCUCUAGUCAAAUGUAAUAAUACAUAAGAACAAUCACCUACCUUCAUUCUGUCUUGUUAAAUAUCUAUUAUAUAUAUAUAUAUAUAUAUAUAUAUAUUGUCAAAAGUAUUCUGUCUUUAUCAACUUCUUAUUAAAACAUGAAAAGUUGAAUUUUAUGUAUAUAUAGAGUAAUAUUGAGAAAAUUACCAUAAAAAAUAUAAAUAGAUUAAAAUUUAUAAAAAUAUUUAAAAAAAAACUUUAAAAAAUGAUAAAAUAAAUAAUAAUAAAUAUUUUGAAAUUGUUUUGUUGAAAAAAAAAUUAUAUGACAUAAUUUAUAAUAUUCGAUAAUAAUAUAAAAAACUUGAAAAUAUAUUUUAUGUUAAUCCAUCUAUUUUGUAUCAAACUAUCUAGUUUAGAUAUAUUUAGAAUAUAUAAGAAAUGAUGAUAUAUUCAUUUUUUUUGUUUAUAAAUAUUUAUAAUUUUAUUUAGGAAUUUAGAUUUUUUUAUUCAACCAAUAUGCAAAAAAUAUAAAGAAAGACCUAAAAAAAAUUAUUGUGAUAAUUUUUAUAUUUUUGAUAAUAAGUUAAAUGAAAUUCAAAAUAAAAUAAUUAACAUUAAUUGAAUUAAUUUACUUAUUGAAGUUUUAUUUUAAUAUUUCAUUUUUUUUUAUAAAAUAUAAAAUACAAUAUAUAAAAGUUUCCUUCCUAUAUAUACCAUGAAUGCCCAUUCUGUCUUAUCAAAUGCUUGGUAUUUUCCACCUUAUCUUCUCUUUUCUCUUUGCUAAUGGUGUACGUUAAUGACAAGGAUAUAGAGGAUAAGGACAAGGCCAUCCUCCCACGCAAGACCAACCCGAAAAGUUGUGUAUUCAUGUGUACAUGGACUUGUUAAUUUUCCAUCGACUCAAACACAGAAAGCAAAUGACAAAACAAACUCCUUUGAUGAACAGGCUCAGGAAUGCUCUUCCCACAACUACACCAAGUCAUGAAAAAAUUUCAAUCUUUGUAGGAUGACCAGAUCGAAAAAUUAAGUAAUUAUGCACCGACUUAAAAAAUUGUUUUUUCGUUUCUAAGGACUUCUGAUGGUAGCUUCAAGCCGGGAUGUGUCUUUUAGUCAUGGGUUUCUAAUGGUUGGGUGGUUUUAGAGGUGUUUGAUAAAACUCAAUAUUUAUUAUUUAAUGACUUAAGUUAAACACUUUAAGUUAAACUAUAAUUAAAAAUAUUGAUUUGAAAUUUAUUAUUUAAUUUUUACUUUAAAAAUUAAGGUUGUUUGAUAAAAUUAACUUAAAAUUUAUUAUAAAUUAUCAAAUUGAUAUAUUUAUCAUCAUAAAUUAUAAUUAGAGCAAAGAUGUCAAGUAGCAGUGAAGGCCGUGAAGUAACAAAAAAGAUUAUGGAAGUAAUUAAGGUAAAUAAGAAUAAAAAUAUAAAUUUAAGAAUAAAUUAAUUAUUUUUAUUUAUUACUUUUUGACUUUAACACAUAUCAUUAAACUAUUUUAUCAAUCAUAUUUAAUUUAUUUAAUGAUUUAAAUUAUAUAAUUAAAUCACUUUAAGUUAUUAAAUUGAUUUAUCAAACACCUCCUUAGUAUUAAUAUCACCUAACAUUCUGACUUUAAAGGUUAGGUUUAGUUCAAUUGAGUUGAUAACAUGACUGAAUACCUAAAAUCGGAUUGGAUGGCUGGCAAUCCAAACCGGAAACAAACCCAUUUUGAGUUCAACCAGAUGAAGCUUACAAAAAUAUUAAAAUUAUAUUUGGGUUAGGAGAGGUGGGGCUAAUUCCAUGGCUGGCUACCAUGCUUGAAUGAUGAUUAUGAUCAUUAAUUAAUAUUAUUUCUACUAUAUGUGGUGAUGCUAUCGUCAGAAUUCUUGAUAAUUUUGGACUCUUACUUUUGGUAAUUGUUAGGGUCAAAAAUCAAGACUUGAGCAGUGCUGGAGCUUUGUUGGGCCAGGAUUUUUGUUUCAUCGUCUGCAUUCUAUGGCUUAACGCCAACUAAUAUAUAAAAUAAUAAUGAAAUUAUUGUAACUUGUACGGACGUUUACUUUUCUUUUUCAGAAUAAUAUUAGCACCUAGUAUGAAUCCUAUUGAUUUAAUCAACCUUUACAGUUUCUUCACAGAUGAUUGAAACUGGGCCAGAGCAAGACUUAUAUUGCCACAUAGAGAAAAAAAAGGGGCAAAGAAUAUCCCUCCCCUCAUCUCUGUCUUCUUUCUGCUUUAUUUUCUUUUGUUUCCUUUAACUAUUUUAUUCUCAUAUGGCAUCUUUAUUGAACUCUAUAGUAAAUUCCUCUUCCUCACUUUUUCCUUAUUAUUGCAAUUGUUAAGAAACAUGAUUUGUAUAUCGAGUUCAAAUACUAUUAACUUAAACUUUUAGAAAAAUUAAUAAUUCAAUAUGAUAUCGGAACUUGGUUUAACGGGAGAUUUCAGAUUUGAUAUUUUCUCUGCAAUUUACAUUCCUGAUUGAGCAAAGCUUUCUAAGGGUGGAGCAAAAUCUUUCAAAACAUGAAUUAAAAAAAAAAAAAAGAUGGAAAGAAAAAUAGGACUCUUCUUUGGCCAAAAAGGAACAUCAAAUACAGGUUCGCAUGAUGAUGAUUAGUUUAUGUUAUACAUGGUGAAAGUGUAAGUGGGAUGGGUGUUAUGCUUAAUACAACAGAAAGAUAACGGAGCCAGAUAAAAAAUGACAAGAUCGAGAAGGAACUCCAUGUACUUGGUUUACCAAUUGGCCAGCAGUUGAGAAAUAAGUUUUUGAUCUAUAUGUAAUAAAAAAGUGCUGAUUUUAAUAUUUGAUCAGCUUGGGAAGAGCCAAUCAGCUUAGAUGAACCCCAGAUAGAAUUCCCCUAGCCAUCUCUAUGGCAUGAAGAAUGACCACUGCAGUGGAUAUUGGCACACUUAAUGUGGUGAGUGCCAAAAACCCUAAAGCCAAACUGGGCCUAAUAUUCAUCAAGUAAGAUUGCAGCAACCCCACUGCUUCGCAUACAUCUCCAUUGUAACGUUCAUAAUAUCGCUUCUCCCACUCCAUCCAAUCCGAUGGGGGUGAUUCACUCGUCUCCAACAUCUUCAUUUCCCGAAUACGCAUUCUCAGCACAAUCAUGUUUUCAUCCACCAGCUUGCCUCCAUAAUCUCGUCCACUUGUUCCGUUACUCGCCGCAACGACCUUCCGCACAUGUUUUUUCCGGCAAGACCGCACAGGAGGAAAAGGCAAGGUGCCGAGGGUAGGAGAAGAGAGGGAGGUUGAUUCCAUUGCUGUAGUAGAACUGAUUUGCAGUGCAAUUGAUACGAUGUGAAGGAAGAUAGGGUCAUAGGAACACACUUAUAUAAGGGUCCAAAAUUGUGAUUAUUUCAUGAGUUGAAAUCUUAAGGGCUAAGGGUUGGAGCCAAAACCGUGUGGGGAGACACAUGGCAUCAUUAUGUAGUGCAACGCGGGCUGCUGCCGUGUGGUCUAGUCCAGUUGAGUAAGAUUGAAUUCAACUCUUGGGGCCAGACUUCAGAGCAAAAAAGGACGGCCUUGUAUUAUAUAGAAAAGACACAACGAUGAUUUGACAAUAAGAGUGGCUCACAUCUCACAUGUUGAGAUGCUCUCACAUCUCACAUAGUUGUAUUUGAAUAUAUUUUAUUUUAAAACGUUUAUAUAGAUUAAAUGACUAUAUUAAUAGGUUAAAUCAUGUCAAGAUAAAUAUUAAAUUUUACAUUUUUAAAAAAUAAUAUUUCAAAUUGUAAUUUAAUGAUGUACCAUCUAUAUUAAAAUUGGAAAUAAAUUUUAUAAUAAAUUAAUAAAAUCUUUAUUUAUUUUUCUAUAUUUUUUUAAUAGAAAAUUUCAAUAUUUAAAUAAAAAAUAAUUAAUUAUUUUUAAUUAAAUUAAUGAAUUAUAAUGAAUAAAUUAUAGUUAGUUUAAUUUAAUUUUUUUAUUAUUUGAUAAACAAACAUAUUUUAUUAUUUAUUGAAUUUUAAAAACUAAAAUGCUAAUCUUAUUCAAAUAACAUUUAUAUAUACUCUCCCUCAUGCCUUUUUUUGUUCAUAGUUUGAUAUUGGUAUGAAAGUGGGGAUAUUUAUAAAUAUUGAAAAAAAAAAGUAAGUCUUAAUAUUGUGACACUUGUUAUAAUUAGAAAAUAAGUAUGUUUUAAAUUUAAAAAGUUAAAAUUUAAAUUUGGUAAUUUUACUAUCACUAUUAUUUGUAUGUGACGAAUAUUUUUUUAUUAAAAAAAUGAAAAAGAAGGAUGUGAUUGAGAUUUCCGUUUAUCAAAAAUAUUUAUUUUAUUCAAAUAAGUGUAUUUAUUUUAUAUUUCCACUUUUCCAAUGUUAUUCUAACAAAAUUAAUUAAAAAUUGAUUUACAAGAAUGAUUAUAUAGGAAUUUUGUAAUCAACCUAUCUUUAUAAUUCUGCAUAAAUAAAGAAAUUAUUUAUUAAAAAAAAAAAGAGUUGGGUAGAAUUUUUGUAGUUUUGUUUUACUCAUGUGGGAAAUUGGAUAAGAAAACUAUAUAUAUAUAUAUAUAUAUAUAUAUAUAUAUAUAUAUAUUUGUAGACCCCCAUUUUGGGGCACUUUCUUUCUCACCUUUCAUGAAGGUUAUUUGGCCAGGUGGCACGAUCCCGGGAGACCAUGUGGCGUCUUUGGAGAGGUUGACAGAGAAUCAGGUUAGUGCUUUGAGGAGCUAUCAGAAUUCGACACCUGUAAAGGGGAUUUGGAAAGCUGCAGACUGUAGAGGUAGGGGACCCCGAGCUGAGAGCAGGAGGUCGUCUGCAUGAGGCGUGCAGCAGCGGGGAGAGUGGUUGGGCAAGCCAUGCUUGUUGACCGGUGAAUAGGAGGGCAGAAGAGUGGCUUGCAAGAGAGGACACCAAGAAAGAAAGGGAGAAGGAGAAAAGGGGAAGAUUUUUUUUAGAGAGCUUGGUUUUAGGGAGUGAGGGGAGGAGAGCAUUUGAGUUUUCCUGGUGUUUGGCUGGAGAUAUUUGAAAAGGAGGAGAACGAGAGGAGAAAAGAGGUCCUGAUCUGGGCAUCUUCAAGAAAAGGUCAUAAAAACAGGGGCUUGAAGUCAGGUGAGCUUCCAUCUGCGAGGAAGCUUUUCAGGUAUGGACCCUGUUCAUUACCUUCUCUAUUUUGUUUUUGGAUAUCGAUAAGAUUCUAUUUUGGUGUUUGGAUGCGAGCAUUGGAGAUUUUAUUAUGUUCUUAUGGAAUCUGAGUUCGUUUGCCCCCAUGUUGUGCUUGAUUUCUAACUUGGCUUUCAACUUGUUUACACCGACUAUUUUAAACUGCUCUCCUCUGUUUCUUGAUUGUUUGUGGGUUAUCCUCGAUGCCUGGAGUAUACUUACUCAUUCCCUCUGUUUUGGAAAAUUUUGAGGGAAGAUUCAUCACAUGCUUUUGAUUUGUGGGGUCGUGUCUGCAUUUCUUUUUAUUUAUUUAUUUAUUUAUCAUUGCAUCCGGAAUUCUGUCCGACUGACAUCCCACCUUCUACGGAUGUCUCACAUCCGGAAUUCUGUCCGCCUACGUCCCACCUUCUUUGGAUGUCUCACAUCAGGAAUUCUGUUCGCCAACAUCCCACCUUCUUCGGAUGUCUCACAUCCGGAAUUCUGUCCGGCCGCGUUCCACCUUCUCUAGAUAUCUCGCAUCCGACUCCUAACGUCGGAUGGGAGAGGAGGGCGAUUCAACUUCUCCGGUCAAACAUGUCUGGAUCCUCUAAUAGCGCUUACCCAGAGAGCAUCUAGUCGACAAUUCAGAUUCCCCGGACAGCUUGGCUCGUUAGACACUCGUGAUUCGCCGGAUCCAUUUCCGCCCGCAAUCUUCUGCUCCUCUUGUUUUUAAUAGGCAUGAAUGUUUUUUUUCAUAAUUCCGGAGUAAUGGAAUCUAUGAUAUUAAUUCAUGCAAAAUAAAAGGGUUUUGGUGGGAGCCCGACAUGUGUGACUUUAUAAUUGAUUGAUUGAUUUAGUUGCCAUGCCCGACUAUUUCUAUUCUGCCCUAUGACAUGCUUGAAAUUAUUCUUUAAUUGUGCACUGACCUCACUUCUUGAUAGCGCAUUGUGGCUCGUCACCCAGGUACGUUAUCUAUUCCUAUUCUGGUAUUUCUAUAUGCAUGUUUUGAUUUUCAUAUGUGCAUGAUAGUUCUGGGUAUUCACUGUUUUACUCGUCUAUUGCCAUGAUUGCUUCAUUUUAUUAGUAGAGACCCGACUUUAGGGACUUAAAGGGGUGCUACGGUCUAUACCAUACCUUCCCGAUAAGUAACCUGACCCCCGAACCCGAUCCGGUUUUUCGCAGACCGCCUUUUCCAAAAUAAGGAGUCACACUCAUAGAUGGUUGUAUACUUAUGUAGUACUCCCAUUGAUUCAUUAUUUUUUUUCAUCAAUUUUCAUCUUCUCAUUCAUUUGGUCAUCCAUAUUGUAGAACAUCUGUGAUGUCCAUGAUCUUUGAGUUUCUUUAUCUACUACAUUGUGGAUCUAGAGGCAUGAGGAUUAUAUUAUUAGGAUUAUUGAGCUUAGUUUCCCUUAAUUUCUUUCACCUUAUUAACUUAGCCUACGUUAUGUCCCAAGUCUUAAGACCAUCCUAAGGCUAUGACUUCAACAUUGUGAUUGAUAGCUCACACAUGGGCAACAUUUGAGAUUGGUUAAAGAUCACUCGGAGCAUGAUAGAUGAGGAGUUAUGAGAGAGUUUACAUUGGGGCAUAACUUUCUCAUUGAUGAUGGUUUUUUGAGAUGAUAAUCUAUAUUGGGGCAUAUCUACCUCAAAUAGUUUAUAAUGAUGCAUAGCCUUCUCAUUAAUGAUUGAUUUUCGAGAUGACAACUUAUACUAGGGCAUAGCCACUUCAUUCCCUCUCAUGAAGCAUGGUGGAUCAAGAGUUGUUCGGAUUAUAUUAACAUAUAUCCAUUUUUUGAGAUGUGGGAGUAGAGUUUGACCUUGAUUUGAUAGUGCAUACUAAGGCAUAACCACUCUGUUUGAUUCCCUACACUGGGGCAUAUUCGUCGUUUAUAGGUGAUUUGGUACCUUUCAUAUUGUAGUAUGAGAAGACUUUGGGGAGUAGAGGUCCAUCUUGAUCAGAUUGUAUCUAUUGUGAUAUAGCCAUUCCAGAUAUUACCUUACAUCGAGGUAUGAUCAUUUCAGAUAUCAUGUUGCAUAUCGGGGCAUGCUCUUCUCGUUAGUGCUUGGUUUUGAAGAAGAUUGCUUUGUUAAAGGUUUACCUAUUUUGGCUCAUUUUGACUUGACAUAUUCACACUAAGGCAUAGCCACUUGACAGAGCAUUAUUAUUGGAGCACAACCACUUUGUUAGAUUCCCUACACUAGGGCAUAGCCAUCAUUUGGAGAUGAUAAGAUAUUCCCUAUACUUGGGCAUAACCAUUCUCUUGGAGGUGAUCAUACAUUUUUUUCAUAUUGAGGUAUGAGAUAUGAUCGAGAAAUAUUAAUUUGAUGUCUUUUAUAUCAUGGCAUAGCCAUUUGAGGAAGUAUUCAAACUAGAGCAUAGCCACUAUAUUGAUUUUCUCUGACAUUGGGAUCUGACCAUUUUGCUUGAGGUUUUUCAUGGGUUGUGGAGAUGAUGACGCCUUGGAUUUAGUCUUCUCAGCAUACCUGGUUUGUUUCAGACACUCACUUUGCAUUUGUUUCCUACCUUGGAUUUCUUCACACUUAUAUCUUGUUUUGAGCCCACCCAUCUCAUUUCAUGAUAUAUGACCUUAUCCAACUCUCCUAAUCAGAGGAGAAUGUAGACUAAUCUCGAGUUCCCUUAGUUGGACUUCCAUGUGCCUUUUGGCCAUCGGGUUCAACAUCUCCCAUGAUUGUAGGGCCUGUUAGAUUGUCGAUGGGUUUGUGAAGAUGUUUUCAUUUUGGUAGUUGGCAUGUCAUGACUUGAUGUACAUUUAGACUCAAAGUUUUGAUUAGCUUUACUUUAAUCCAUUAGUUGGUUUGUUUUGAUAGCAUAGUCCCAAGACGCAUGAUUCUGCAGAUUUGUUCUAAUUGAGGAUUAGACGUGUUCAUCUUAUUGUUGAUAGUUGUAUCUUGGAGUGUGUUAGUUAUUUAUAACAUUUUGUACCUUUUGUCAUUUCCUUUUUCAGCCUUGUGUUAGUUGUCUUUUGGUUUUUGCGACCACAGUUUUGAUAUCUUCUUAGUUAUCUUUCGAACUUUGAGUUGCACCAUUAGUUCAUCUUUGUCUCAACCUCUAUCAGUCUCGAGCUAUACCUUUAGGUUUCCAUUCUACAUUGGUCGCACCUUUAGGUAUUUUUAGGUUUUCUCUCUUUUCACCAUGAAUUGGCUAAAGUUUUAAGGUUAGAUCAUCUUCUUGGCCUCAGGCUACGUCUUCAGAUCAUCAUUUGGCUUAGAGCCACAUUUUGAGCAUUAUCUUAAUCGUCUUUUCUAUCAAUGUGCUUAUGUUUUACUAUCACAGAUCUAACUCUUUUACCUUCCCUUGUUUUCUCUUAGUGUCGUGUCCCAACUAUCUGACAUUUCCUUUUUAGUUUCCUAUUCGUAUCACACCUAGAUUGUCUGGUAUUUCCUUUUUAGUUUCUUGUUAGUGUUGCGCCCUAACUAUCCUACAUUUUCUUUUUAGUUUCUUGUUAGUGUCGCGCCUUGACCGUCCGACAUUUAUUUUUUAGUUUACCAUUUGUGUCGCACCUUGAUUAUUCGACCUUUCCCUUUUAGUUUCCUGAUAGAACCACACACCGACUGUUUGACAUUUUCUUUUUAGUUUCUCGUUCGUGCCGCGCCUCGACUAUUCGACCUUUCCUUUUUAGUUUCCUAUUAGUGUCGUGUACUAACUAUCUGACAUUUCAUUUUUAGUUUCUCGUUUGUGUCGCACACUGACUGUCUAACAUUUCCUUUUCAGUUUCUUGUUAGUGCUGCGCCCUAACUGUCUAACAUUUAUUUUUUAAUUUCCUAUUUAUGUCGCUCCUCGACUGUCUGACCUUUCCAUUUUAGUUUCUUGUUAGAUUCGCAUCCCAACUGUAUGACAUAUUUUUUUUAGUUUCCCAUUCGUGUUGUGCCUCAACUGUUUAACAUUUCUUUUUUCGUUUCCUGUUAAUGCUGCACCCUGACUGUCUGACGUUUCCUUCUUAGUUUCUCGUUCAUGCCACGCCCCGACUAUCCGACCUUUCAUUUUUAGUUUCCUAUUAGUAUCGCGUCCUGAAUGUCCGACAUUUCAUUUUUAGUUUCCCAUUCAUGUUGCGCCCUGACUGUCCAACCUUUCCUUUUUAGUUUCCUAUUAGUGUUGCACCAUGACUGUCCAACAUUUCUUUUUUAGUUUCUCAUUUGUGUCUCGCCUUAACUGUUCAACCUUUUUCUUUUAGUUUCUCGUUCGUGUCGCGUCCCGACUAUUUGUCAUUUCCUUUUUAGUUUUCUGUUACUGUCGUGCCAUGACUGUCUGACAUUUCCUUUUUAGUUUCCCAUUCAUGUCGCACCUUGACUGUCCAACCUUUCCUUUUUAGUUUCCUAUUAGUGUCGUGCCUUGACUAUCCGACAUUUUUCUUUUAGUUUCUUGUUCAUACCGUGCCCCGACUGUCCGACCUUUCAUUUUUAGUUCCCUAUUAGUGUUGCACCUUAAUUGUUCAACAUUUCUUUUUUAGUUUCUUGUGUUCCUUUAGAGUGGUGCCUUGACUAUUCAGCCUAUUUAUGUCUCUUAGAGCCACACCCUGACUGUUUGGCCUUUCUAUGUUCCUUUAGAGCCGCACCCUAACUGUCCCACCUCUUUUAUGUUUCCUAGAGUUGCACUUUGGCUGUUCGACUUGUUUAUGUCAUUUAGAGUUGUGCCUUGAUUAUCCGACCUUCCCGUGCUCCUUUAGAGUGACACCCUGACUAUCUUACUUUCUUUAUGUUUCCUGGAGUCACACCUCGACUGUCUUUCUAUUUAUGUUUCUUAGAAUUGUGCCUUGACUAUUCGGCUUGUUUAUGUCAUUUAGAGUCGCGCAUUGAUUGUCUAACCUUCUCGUGCUCCUUUAGAGUCACUCCUCGACUAUCCGACCUUUCCUUUUUAGUUUCUUGUUAGUGUCACGCUCUGACUGUCCGACAUUUCCUUUAUGUUCCCUAGAGUUAUGUCUUGAUUGUUUGACUUAUUUAUGUAUUCUAGAGUCGUGCCUUGAUUGUCUGACCUUCUCGUGUUCCUUUAGAGUUGCGCCUUGACUGUUUGACUUUUCCUUUUCUUUUUAAAGUCAUGCCCUAACUGUACGGCCUCUUUAUGUUUCCUUUAGUAUCAUGUCAUGACUGUUUGACCUCUUUAUUUGACAUUAGGUCACUCCCCCAGUCAUUAGUUUCAUUUUCUUUCUUUAUCUCAUUUUUGCUCACCUAUUCACCUCUUUUGAUAGCUUGGUCCUUGGUGUUUUACAUAGAUAUUGUCACUAUCCUAUUUAGUCGAGCCCUCCUUAAGAUCCAUGUGGAUUUUUCAUGUUUCCCUACUGGUAGAUCGAUGAGCAUAUUUCGUGACCUUAGAAAGGUCACAUCGUGCUGGGACAAAUUUGGUGGUCUUUCUUGUUUUUUAGCAGAACCCACUUUGUUUUAGUUGUGUAUACACUUACUUUACUAGUGGACUCUACUGAAAAGGGAUAUAUUUGUAAACCCAAAAAUUUGUCCCAAUUUUAUUUUUAUAUUAGUUUUUGGUUUAAUUUUAUUCUAAAAUUUCAAAUUUGAUUAUAUUUAAAUUUUUUUUUUGGCCACUCACACCCUUUAAUUCUUAAUUUUUAUUAUUUUGUUUUAUUUUUAUUUUGUAUUUUAUUUAUUUAUUAAUUAUUAUUAUUAUUAUUUUCAUUUUCUUAUUUUCUUUUUCAUUUUUUCAUUUUUUUCACUUUCUCAUUUCUCCUUUCUCUUCCCACCAUUUUACCACCUACCCUACCCUCACCCACACUCUCUCACCUACCCAUUCUUCUUCCAAUUUCCCACAACCAAAGACGCUUUCUUCCCCUUCCCCUUCACUUUUUUUUUUUUUUUUCCACUUUUUCCUUGGUUUUUCUUUCUCCCUCCUACACUCACACGACGUCACCAUUAGACUAUCUUUUCCCACUUUAUUUCUUUUUUUUUUUUUUUCCCAUGAAACCCACAAUACCCAGACCCAAUGCAUCUUGCUACCCAACCUUCCAUUGCACUUAAGGCUUAAAACUUGUGAGGUAAAAAUUUUAUUUUUAUGUUGUUUUAUUUUGCUUUGUUUUUAUUAUUAUUAUUGUGGUUAUUUAUUGUGGGCUCAUUUUUUUGUUUUGCAUGAGCCCAUUCCACUACUAGUAUUAUGUUGGCUAAGCAUGGAUUUAUGACACGUGGAUAACCAAAUUUCAUGGAAGAAAAAAAUGCUCACAAAGACUAUAAAUGGGGCAUUGAGCUUGUUGUAAGUUUGUUUGGGUAUAUUUUAUUUCUCCACUUUUAUUUAAUUUCAUUUCUAUUGGUUCCUAUAAAUAUUUUUUUAUAUAUAUUUAUAUUUAUUGGACAUAUAACAGUUGAUAACUCAGAAAUUUUGUUUUAAUAAAAGAAAUAGUUCAAUAAUCAUGUUUUAAUAAAAACAAUAGUUUAUUUUUUUUAAAAGGGGUUUUAUUAAUAAAAAUUUUAAAAAUUAUUUUUAAGAAAAUACGAAAAACAGUUGUUAAUAAAAUUAAAAAAAAAAUUGUUUUUAAUAACUACUGUUGAGAAAUUUAUUUGUUUAAUAAAAAUUGUCCAUAAAAUUGACUUUUAAUAAAAUUGCCCAAAAAGUAAUUUUUUGAAUAAAUUCUCUUUUCUUAAUUAGAAUGAAAUUAAAAGUAAUUUUUUAUAAAUAGAGUUUUUUAAAUAAUUUUUUUUAAUAAGAAUAGGAUGAGAGUUUUUUUUUUUUAUAUUAAAUUUGUAGAAUCGUUUUCUUAAUGAAAUUGAAUUAAUUUUUAAAAUAAAUUUGUGAAAAAAAAUUAUUUCUUUUGUAAAUAAUCAAAUUGAAAUACUUUUGCAAAUAAAGUUGUAAAAUUUCAUUCUUUUUCUAAUAAAAGUCAAAAUCUUUUCAUUGCCAAAUUAAAAUUUUGUAAUAAAUUCUUUUGUUAUUUUCUUGGAAAUUGAACACCAAAUAAAAUUAAAUAAAAUAAUUUGUUGCAAAUAAAUAGAAACUUUUUAUUCAUAAAUAAAUAAAUUGAAAUCAUUUUUUUGGAAAUAAACUUCUUUGAAAUUUAUUGAAAAAGUAAUUUUUGAAACAUUUUUUUUAUGAGUUUAAAAAAUCAAUUUGCAUAUUUCUCUUAUCAUUUAUUUUGUACAUUAUUGUAAUUUGAUUUUAUGAUUAUUUUUCUGUUUAUUGAUUUGUGUUUGUAAUCUUGGUAUCUAGAUUAAUUAAUUUAUUGUUAUGAUUCUCUCAAUUCGUUUAGUAGAGACCAUAGGUAUAUGAGUUUAGACGGGUGUUACGGUUUUUCACCGUACCUUCCCAAUAGGUAACUUGACCCCCGAAACUAGACUUGGUUUUUAUAGACAUGUCUUUUUUUUUUUUUAUAAGUCAUGUAAAGUUUUCUUUUUUAUUUUAUUUUCCCUUUUAAAAAUAAACUAAAAUAAGUUACGAUUCCAACUUUUAAAAAAAAAANNNNNNNNNNNNNNNNNNNNNNNNNNNNNNNNNNNNNNNNNNNNNNNNNNNNNNNNNNNNNNNNNNNNNNNNNNNNNNNNNNNNNNNNNNNNNNNNNNNNUAAAUGAAUUCAAAAUAAAAUAAUUAACAUUAAUUGAAUUAAUUUACUUAUUAAAGUUUUAUUUUAAUAUUUCAUAUUUUUUUUUAUAAAAUAUAAAAUACAAUAUAUAAAAGUUUCCUUCCUAUAUAUAUAGCAUAAAUGACCAUAUGAUUUUAGUGUCUUUAUUUUGAGCACUUGGCUCCAUUCUAUCUUAUCAAAUGCUUGGUAUUUUCCUCCUUACUUAUCUUCUCUUUUCUCUUUGCUAAUGGUGCAUGUUAAUGACAAAGGAUGUAGAGGAUAAGGACAAGGCCAUUCUCCCACACAAGACCAACCCAAAAAGUUGUGUUUUCAUGUAUACAUGGACUUGUUAAUUUUACAUCAACUCAAAUACAGAAAGCAAAUGACCAAACGAACUCGAUCCCUUGAUGAACAGGCUCAGGAAUGAUUUUCCCACAACUACACCAUGUCAGGCAAAAUUUUCAAUCUUUGUAGGCUGAUCAGAACAAAAAAUUAAGUAAUUACUGCACCCACUUAGAAAUUGUUUUUUCAUUUCUAAGAACUUCUUAUGGUAGUUUCAAGCCAAGAUGUGUCUUAAGUCGUGGGUUUCUUUCAAAUUUAGAUUUGUUUUCCAUCCUCUACAUAGCAUAAAAGAUCAAAUAGUUGGGUGGUCAUGGUGUUUGUUUUUUUUUUUUAUUAAAUAUAAAAAAAAUUAAAAUAUUUGAUUUUUUUAUUUAAUCAAAAGUGAUAAAUUAGUAUCAACUAAUAUAAAUAAUUUAAAUUUAUUAAUAAUAAAUUUACUUUAAUUUUAUUGACUGAUAUUAAUAGAUUGUUUUCAAAUCGAAUAGAAAAAAUUAAAUAUUUUAAAAAAAUUUUAUUUAAUUAAAAAACAAACAAGAAAAUGUCACCUAGGGUUACUGCUUAAUAGGUUAGUUUAAGCUCGAUUGAGUUGAAAACAUAACUGAAUACCUCAAAUCUGAUUGGAUGGCAGGCAAUCCAAAUUGGAAAUAAACCCCAUUUGAUUUAAACCAGAUCAAGCUUACAAAAACAUUAAAAUUAUAUUGGAGUCAGGAGAGGUGGGGCUAAUUCCAUGGCUAGCUACGAUCAUUAAUUAAAUAUUAUUUCUACUAUUUGUGGUGAUGCUAUCGUCAGAAUUCUCGAUAAUUCUAGACUCUUACUUUUGUUAAGGUCUAAAAUCAAGAUUUGAGCAGUGCUGGAGGCGAAUCAUAAUGGGGAGCUUUGUUGGCAUCGUCUCCAUUCGAUGGCUUAAGGCCAACUAAUAUAUAAAAUAAUAAUGAAAUUAUUGUCACUUGUACGGACGUUUCCUUUCUUUUUGAGAAUAAUAUUAGCACCUAGUAUGAAUCCUAUUAAUUUAAUCAACCUUUACAGUUUCUUCACAAAUGAUUGAAACAGGGCCAGAGCAAGACUUAUAUUGCCACAAAGAGAAAAAAAANNNNNNNNNNNNNNNNNNNNNNNNNNNNNNNNNNNNNNNNNNNNNNNNNNNNNNNNNNNNNNNNNNNNNNNNNNNNNNNNNNNNNNNNNNNNNNNNNNNNUUUUUUUUAAAAAAAAUUUUACCCCCUAAAAAAAACCUUUUAAUUUUAAAAAACCUUCCCAUUUUUUUCCAAAAUUAUGAAACCAGGGCCAAAAAAAAAUUUAUUAGGCCAAAAAAAAAAAAAAAAAAAAAGGGGGGGGGGGGGGGGGGAAAGAAUACCCCUCCCUUCAUCUCUUUCUUCCUUGGGCUUUGUUUUCUUUUUGUUUUCGUUUUUAACUAUUUUAUUCCCGCAUCUUUGAACUCCAUAGCAAAUCCUUCCUCCUUUUUUUUUUUUUUUUUUCUCAUUAUUAUUACUAUCGUAAAAAAAACAUGAUAUAUAUAUAUUGAGUCCAAAUUCUAUAAACUUAAAUUUUUAAUAAAAUUGACAAUUCAAUAUAGAAGCUCUCGGGUUUGUCCUUCUUUCCAUAAUUUGCAUUUCCUUUAUUUAUUAAAAGCUUAAACUUUAAUUCAUAUGGGAUUGAAGCAAAACCAUUCAAAACAUGAGUUAAAAAAAAAUAAAUAAAUAAAUAAAAAAAAAAAAUAAAAGAAAAAUAGGACUCUUAGCCAGAAAAAAAAAAGUACAUCAAAUACGGGUUAGUGCGCAGGAUGAUGAUGAUUAGUUUAUGUUAUACAUGGUGAAAGUGUAAACGGGAUGGGUGUUAAAGAUAAGGACCCAGAUAAAAAAUGACAAGAAGGAACUCCAUGUACUUGGUUUACCAAUGCUCCAGCAGUUGCGAAAGAAGGUUUUGAUCUAUAUGUAAUCAAAAAGUACUGAUUUUAAUAUUUGAUCAACUUGUGAAGAGCCAAUCAGCUUAGAUGAACCCCAGAUAGAAUACCCCUAGCCAUCCCUAUGGCAUGAAGAAUGACCACUGCAGUGGAUAUUGGCACACUUAAUGCGAUAAGUGCCAAAAACCCUAAAGCCAAACUGGGCCUAAUAUUCAUCAAGUAAGAUUGCAGCAACCCCACUGCUUCGCAUACAUCUUCAUUGUAAUGAUCAUAAUAUCGCUUCUCCCACUCCAUCCAAUCCGAUGGGGGUGAUUCACUCGUCUCCAACAUCUUCAUUUCCCGAAUGCGCAUUCUCAGCACAAUCAUGUCUUCAUCCACCAGCUUGCCUCCAUAAUCUGGUCCACUUUUUCCCGUACUCGCCGCAACGACCUUCCUCACAUGUGUUUUCCGGCAAGACCGCACAGGAGGAAAAGGCAAGGUGCCGAGGGUAGGAGAAGAGAGGGAGGUUGAUUCCAUUACUAUAGUAGAACUGAUUUGCAGUGAAAUUGAUACGAUGUGAAGGAAGACAGGGUCAUAGGAACACACUUAUAUAAGGGUCCAAAAUCGUGAUUACUUCGUGAGUUGAAAUCUUAAGAGCUAAGGGUUGGAGCCAAAACCGUGUGGGGAGACACAUGGCAUCAUUAUGUAUUGCAACGCGGGGUGGUGCCGUGUGGUUCAGUCCAAUUGAGUAAGAUUGAAUUCAACUUUUGGGGCCAGGCUUCAGAGCAACAAAGAAAGGCCUUGUAUUAUAUAGAAAAGACACAAAGAUGAUUUGACACUGAAGUGAGCUCACCAUGAGGAGAUGCACCGAAAAAGCCUUGUGGUCCAGAAUCCAGAUGAAGCCCGGUUGGUUGUAGGUGUAUGUCAAAAGUUGAUACGACAAUUGUGCUUAGGGCCAAAAGUUGAUAUUGGAACAAACUUUACUUCAUACGAAGUAAAUUGGAUUCGUACAUUAAUUUGUUAAAAUACAAAAAAACCAAUGUGAUUAAUAUGAAUAAUGGUGGAGUCAAUACAAGGGGCAUAUACACUCAUUUAUUUAUUUAUUUAUUUAAACCAUUAGAUUAUUAAGAUUGUUUUAAAAAAUGAAAAAUAAAAUAGAAAUUUUGUCCAUGUAAAAAAUUAAAUUUUAAAAGACUAAAAAAAUACUUUGAAUUAAAUGAAUAACAUUUAUUCAACUACUAAUGGUAAUUAAUAUACUAGAAUUUCAAUAAAUUUUUUAAAAAUAAUAAUUUUUUUCUCUUACAACUAUUAUCUUAAUUUAUUUUUCAUUAAUUUAAGGUUGGUUAUUUUUUAUUUUGAUUUUAAAAAUUUUAGUAUUUUUUAAAAAUUUAAUUAAAUAAUAACUCAUAUAUAACUAAACUAUAUAAUUAUAUUAAAUUAUAUUCUAUUUAAUUUUGAAUAUGAUUUACCGUUACCUGAUGGUUCUCAUUAGGAAAUUUUUUAUUUAGUUUAAAUUAUAAAAGAUAACAUGAGUUAUUAGAAUAUUUUAAAUUACAAUAGUAACAAUUAAAUUCUAAUUAAUUAUUUUGUAUAUUUUACUUUAAAUUUUAAUGAUUAUAUGGUUCUUAUCUACCAUGUGAUAAAUAUUUUUUUUUUUUUUUUUAUAAAAUAUCAUUUUAAACUUAUUUAUAUUUAGUUAUUAGAAGUCCUAAAAUUUAUUAGAAAAAUUAUUGAAUUCUUUAAAAAAUUUUAAAAAUUCCUUUUACUAAAAAAAUAUAAUUAAUGAGACUACUUAACAAUAUAUCUGAUAAGAUUUCUUAAUAUUAUUUUAAUUCUUUUAAAAAAUUACUUUGAAUAUUUUUUUGUUAAUUUUAUUAUAAAGUCUAAACCUUUUUUUAUCUACCGAUGUUAUUUUGGUUUUUUUAAUAUGAUAUAUUGUGUACAUUCAUAACUAAUAUUUAAUAUCUAAAAUUACUUAAUUUAAUAAAUAAGAACAUCUUAUUGACUACAAAUAUUUCACAAUAGUUAUUAUAGUGCUUAAAAUUUUCGUGGUCGGCCACUUGAUUUUUAAGGCAUUUGUGCUUCUUAUUCAAAGCACUUGUACCAAUGGUAUAAGACGUGUACAAGAGACCUUAUUACGGAUAUUCUUCAAUCAUUUCUUCGCGAUAGCUCUUUAGAUACAAAUAAUAAAAUAAAGGGAAAUAUUAUUUGCACACUUACACAUAUGACACGCAUGCUACUUUCAUUUUUUUUUUUUUUUUUUUCACAUUUGCACAUUACGUAUGAGAUAUUUGUGCUAAUUAUACAAUAGAGUUGUGUCAUUGCAAUCAUGGAUUAAAAAGUUGGGAUAUUUUACCAAAAUAUCAGACUUGGAAGGUGGUCGAUAGGAAUCGGUUGUUGAUUACUGAUUGGAAUAAAUUUCAACAAAAAAUAAAAAAUUUUGGUGAAAUAUCGUCAAUAUAUCAUACUAAUGAAGGACCAAAAUUUCAAGAAAAAUUAGACUUGUAUACCCGCAUGGGAAGAAAUUUGGCAAAAAAAAUCGUCAAAAAAUUGGUCAUGUAUAGUUGAUAAAUCAAUGAUUUUUUUUAAUUACCAAUUUUUUUUUAAAUCCAUGUUUCUUGUUUUUCUAUUUUUUUUUUCUUUCUAAUUUAUCUUUUAUUUUAAAUUUACAUUAACCUUUUAUUUUAUAUUAUCAUUUUAUUUUUAAUUAUUUUUCAUAUUUAUCUCAUUUAUCCUAUUUUAAAAAAUUACUAUUACUUCACUUUUUCUUUUACAUAUAUAUAUCCUUUUAAUUUUAAAUGUUUUUUUAAAUAUAAAAAAUAUAAAUUUAUUCAAAACUUGUUAAAAUAUAAAAAAAAAGUUCUAAUAUUUUAUAAAUUAAAAUUAAUUUGAUAAGAUAAAUUAUUAAUAUAAUUAUUAAUAAUUUUAAUUAGUUAAAUAAAUUGAUGUUAAUGGUAAAAGUUUGUUAUCUUGUAAUAAAAUUUUAAAUUUUAAAUUUUAAAUAAAAUAUUUUAUAUAAAUCAAUUUAAUUUUUUUAUUUAAAAUAUAAUAAAACAUAUAUUUUUAAUAAAAAUAGUUUUUAAAUUUUAAAUAAAUGAAUAUCAAUAUAUUAAAGGAAUUUAAGCUAUGUUUUUUUUUAAAAAAAAAUUGAUAAACAUUAUUCUUAAUCAUACUUAUGUUAAGUAUAUUUAUAAAAUUACUUCAAUAUGUGUAUUCUUACUUAUUUAUAAUUUUUUUUAAAAUAUUUUUAUGAAUUUUGAACGAUUUCUAUUUUUUUCAGUACCAAUAUUUUAUUGAUAUUAUUUUGAUCAUAUCCGUAAAAUUCAAGUACAUCCGUAUUUACCGAAAUUUUCAUCAUUGAUUGCAAUAAGAGACAUCUUUUCGAUCCUUCUCUUCUUGGAAUUUGAUUAAGUUUUAUAAUAAAUUAAUGAAAAAUAUCAUUUAUACAAUUAGACAUGUGUAAUAUGUGUAAUAACCCAUAAUUCAUCUUAUUAAAUAUAUUUUGUAUGACAAGUCUAAUAAUAAUAAUAACAAUAUGAAAAUGGUCAUUUAUGUAGGAUCCUUCUCGAAUCUGCCACGUGGCUCCCUCUCGCUAAAUCACGCGGAUAGUCCCCUUUGUGGCCCAUGGCAUUACUCAUUCCACCCGGACAGAAGUCAUCGCUCAUUCCACCCGGACGGAAGUUCUCGCUCAUUACCACCCGGACAGAAGUUCUCGUUCAUUCCACCCGGACGGAAGAUAUCACUCAUCCCACCCGGAAGGGAAUUCUGCAUGGCCGACGUUCCACCUUCUUCGGAUAUUUCGCAUCCAGAGCCUCCGGUGGAUGGGAGAGGAGGACGAUUCAACUUUCCCGGACAAACAUGUCCGAAUCCUCUGGUAACGCUUACCCGGACAGCUUACCCGAACAGCUUGGCUCGUCAGACGCUCGUGAUUCGCCGGAUCCAUUUCCGCCCACAAUCAAAAAGCAACUCUGACAAUAUUGACGACCAAGUCUCCUGAACUGUCAUUCAUCUUCAAAUGCAAGAUACAUUCGACAAGACAUUCCCAAGUCUUUUCAAGUCUCCUGACACAUCCCUGAUAUUUAAAGUCAUAAAUUGAGGCGACAUCCACCGCCUGAAUACCUUCCUGACAACCGUCACCUUACACCAAAAACGUCAUGAUUACUUCGCCACCUUAUGAGCCGCAAUCAUGACGAUGGGACCUGCUAGCCCAGCAAGUACACCUUCUCUGCCUUAUAUAUAAGCUUGAAGGUAAUUCUCAAAGGGUAAGCAAUAGAAAAAUCGCUGAGGAACACUCCCGCAAUUGCUUUUAAACAACUUCCUAAAUACUAACUUAGGCAUCGGAGGAUAUGCCCGGAUAACCCGUCCAGACAUCUUUUUGCAGGAGGAAGGAGGAAUUACUACAACGUGUUGAUCGAGAUUCUGCUGCUGGUAAUUACUAUUAUGGCAGGGGAAUUUUGCCAUCAACAUUGGCGCCGUUUGUGGGAAACGUCUUUUCUUCUCAAUAAAUCCUAUACCUUCCAACUAUAAAGAUGACUUUACCCUCAAGAAGUCGUUCUUCUGCCAGAGGUGACAAAGGUUACUUCGAAUGGCAAAAUAGUAUGGAAAGACGACAGUGAGAAAACGAACGGUAGAUGCAAAUUCUACUCCAAGAAACAAAGAAGCUUAGGGAAGAAAACAAUGUCUUGAGGAUCCGAAGCUCUCCCCAACCUCAGCACUAUCAGCGGAGGUAGGACCCCUGUCGCAACCAAGGAGCUCCAUUCCCCCGAGAGGCGAGCCCAACCCUCGAGGCACAUGAAGCAUGGCCUAGCGAAACCUCGGUGCACACUCACCAUGUACGACGAGAUGAAAGUUCAGGCUCUACUUGAGUCUCGUCUAAGAGACAACACGACAAAAGGCCUCAAAUAUUUGACGCAAUGGGCGCGCGUCUGGGACCCCAAACACCCUGCAAAAACAGGCCUCACACCACCAUAUCGCUGGAUGCACACUCCGAGCCUUCAAGCUCGCCUACUUUACAAGGACAUGCCGCCCGCUCACCUGUGGCGCGGGUUGGUAAAAAUCCCUCGCACCUAGCCCCUCCGGGCUCUAUCAGCAGGCGCUUGGACGACAUGCUCUCCACGCCUUUCAGCUCUCGUAUCAUUAAAUAUGAACCCCCACGAGGGUUCAUCGUCCCGAAAUUCUCCACGUAUGAUGGAUCCAUCGAUCUCUUUGAUCACAUAAUGCAUUAUCGGCAGCUCAUGACCAUUGACAUAGGGAAUGAUAUGCUGUUGUGCAAAGUUUUCCCAGCCAGCCUACAAGGCCAGGCUCUUUCGUGGUUUCAUCGACUGCCCGCGAACUCGAUUGACAAUUUCCGGGAUCUAUCCGAGGUCUUCGUGGGGCAGUACUUAUGCUCAGUCAGGCAUAAGCAAAAUAUCAGCACCUUGCAGAACAUCAAAAUGCAAGAAAAUGAAACUUUGAGAGAGUUCGUGAAGCGUUUCGGACAAGCUGUCUUACAAGUAGAGUCAUAUAGCAUGGACGCAGUCUUCCAAAUUUUCAAACGGAGCAUAUGCCCAGGGACCCCCUUAUUCGAUUCCCUUGCCAAAAAACCUCCUACAACAAUGGACGAUUUAUUCCGACGAGCAAGUAAAUACUCCAUGGUAGAGGACGACGUCCGGGCCGCUACACAGCAGGUCCUAGUCGCUCGCCAAGCUGUGAGAAGCGAAGCCACCAGAAGCUUCAAAGCACCUAACCAUCCUAGGACAUCCAGCAAGGGGCAAGAUGAGUGACGCCUGCCGCUCAUUCGAACACUUCUGACCACGUCAUACGAAAAACUGCUUUCUAUGAUUUGCGAUCUGCCCGGAUUCAGAUGGCCGAGACCCAUAAGAUCGAGCCCCUCAGAGAGGGACCGCAAUAAAAGAUGUGCAUAUCAUAAAGAUCAUGGGUACUCCACUGAAGCAUGCAGAAGUCUCCAUUAUCUAGUGGAUGAUCUCCUAAAUGCAGGACACCUAAAGCAGUGUAUUCGCGCAAUGCCGAAAAAUGAAGAAUCCUCCCAUGGUCAAGGCUCACGCGCCCUAGCGGCUCGUGUUAGAGCCAUGAUCAACUACAUACACGGAGGACCCUUGGAUGACGAGUACAGUUCCAAAAGAAAAAGACAGAUUGUUGCGGGCAGCCACUGUUCGAGAACACAUAAGCUCCAUCCGGCCAGGAUUAGCCAGCGGAAGCACCCACCUCAUAAGACUCUGUGUUGUCCGGCCCACUCUGGUCCAUCCUCGGGUGGCAAACCCUGGGCACCAGAGGCCCUAUAAGACUUUGCGCUGUCCGGCCCAUUCCGGUUGUGAUGCCCCUGACUGACACAGUUCGGUGGUACGGCUGGGCACUAGAGCACAAAACGACUGUCCGGCCCAUUCCAGCUGUGAUGCCCCUGAUUGGCAUUCCCGGGUGGCAAACCCCGGGCACCAGAGCAAAAAAGGCAGAUGGUAUCAAGAGGGCAACAAUAAGGGGUAAGAGCCUUGUCGCCACCAUGAGUUCGAAUCUUGGGGACGUCACCCACAAGGGCCAAAUAAACAAAUGGCCCCAUAAGACUUUGCGCUGUUCGGCCCAUUCCGGCUGUGAUGCCUCUGACUGGCACAGUUCGGUGGUACGGUUAGGCACCAGAGCAUAAAACGAUUGUCCGGCCCAUUCCGGCUGUGAUGCCCCUGACUGGCAUAGUUCGGUGGUAUGGUUGGGCACUAGAGCACAAAAUGACUGUCUGGCCCAUUCCGGCUGUGAUGCCCCUGAUUGGCAUAGUUCGGUGGUACGGCUGGGCACCGGAGCACAAAAGGCACUUAGUUGGGCUAUCUCAUCCUUAGCCUCGUGCAGGCGGGCUGCUGUAAAUUCCUCCCGGCUCUUAGCCUCUUCUAGCUCAAUUAGGAGAGCCUCGUUGGCAUCCUGAGACCUCUUUAGAGCUUCGGCACUCUUCUCAGAGGCUCUCCGGGCAGCAGAUAAGUUUGCUUCGGCCUACUCUAGUCUCAAGCGCAAUUCCUCCUCGCCGUCCAUGUGAUAGGAGACAAAGGCCUUCAUGUGAUUAGCAAUCCGCAGUAGGUCUGAAAAUAACUCGCGUUGUUGAACCAUGCCGCAGAUACCGCUCACCAGUUGUAGAAAAACCCACAACGAGGAAGUGCCACGUGCCAUUGGUCUCCAUAUGAAAGAGAAAUUUUGUAAAGAUAGCAUUUUUUAUCCCACAUUUUCUGCACAUAUCAGAUAAGCGAGAUAAAAGGGGGCAUUGUAGGAUCCCUCCCGAAUCUGCCACGUGGCUCCCUCUCGCUAAAUCACGCAGAUAGUCCCCUUAACGGCCCGUGGCAUCGCUCAUUCCACCCGGACGGAAGUUCUCGCUCAUUUCCACCCGGACGGAAGUUCUCGCUCAUUCCACCCAGACGGAAGUUCUCACUCAUUCCACCCGGACGGAAGAUAUCACUCAUCCCACCCGAAAGGGAAUUCUACACGGUCGACGUUCCACCUUCUCCUGAUAUUUCGCAUCCGGAGCCUCUCGUCGGAUGGGAGAGGAGGAUGAUUCAACUUCCUUGGACAGACAUAUCCGGAUCCUCUGGUAACGCUUACCCGGACAGCUUACCCGAACAACUUGGCUCUUCAGAUGCUCGCGAUUCGCCGGAUCCAUUUUCGCCCACAAUCAAAAAGCAACUCUGACAAUACUGACGACCAAGUCUCCUGAACUGUCAUUCAUCUUUAAUGCAAGAUACAUUUGACAAGACAUUCCCAAGUCUUUUCAGGUCUCCUGACACAUCCCCGAUAUUUAAAGUCAUAAAUUGAGGCGACAUCCACCGCCUGAAUACCUUCCUGACAACCGUCACAUCGCACCAGAAACGUCAUGAUUACUUCGCCACCUUAUGAGCCGUAAUCAUGACGAUGGGACCCGCUAGCCUAGCAAGUACACCUUCUCUGCCUUAUAUAUAAGCUUGAAGGUAAUUCUUAAAGGGUAAGCAAUAGAAAAAUUGCAGAGAAACACUCCCGCAAUUGCUUUCAAACAACUUCCUAAAUACUAACUUAGGCAUCGGAGGAUAUGCCCGGACAACCCGUCCGGACAUCUUUUUGCAGGAGGAAGGAGGAAUUACUACAAUGCAUUGAUCGAGAUUCUGCUGCUGGUAAUUACUAUUGCGGCAGGGGAAUUUUGCCAUCAACAAUUUAGGCUUUUCCUAAUGAUUAAGUAGUAAAAGUGAAGUGUUUGUCAAUUUUGUUUUUUCCUAACUUGGUCUCAUCAUUUCGCUUAUAUGCGUUUCAGUGCUAUCACUUAAAUGAUUCACAUAAUAUUUUUUAAAUAUUUAAAUAAUAAAAAAUAUAUUAUUUUAAAUUAAAUUAUUUUUUAGAUUUAAAUAUUAUUACUUAAAUUUGUUGAUGAAAAACUUAUCAUAAUUUAGUUUUGUUCUUAAUUUAAUUUGUAACAUGAUUUAUUUAAUUUUAAAACAUGUUAAAUAUUUGUACCCAAACUUAUUUAGAUAAACAUUAUUUUUUUUAAAAAAACUUUUAAACAUAAAAAAUGUUUAAAAAAAUUUGAUUUAGAUAAUAUCUUUUUUUUAUAUAUAGAAAAAUUAUCAUAAUUUAAUUAAAAAUAAUAACAUUUCAUAAUGAUAUAAUUUUUGACUUCUUAAAAAACCUAUUUGGAAAAAUAUUAUUUUUUUAUUUCUUAAAAAUAAAAAAUACAAAUAGCCAUUGUUCUAAAUUAAUUUGUUUUUUCAUGUAUUUAUUAUUAUAUCAAUUUAAUAAUAUAUAAAUGUUUGAAUUGAUACCUACCUCUCCCUUAUAUCCUCAUUUAUGUCAUUAAUGUCUUUUGAGUUGAUACCUAUUGAAAAAGUUAAGAAUUCUAUUUUAUAUGUAGACUUGCUCUUAAGCGGUAGACUUAUAUUCACAAAGUUAAACAAAAAAAAAAAAUUCCUCUUUUUGACUCUCUAUUUUCGAUCUCCUUUUUUUUUUUCCCUCAUUUUGAGAUUUCUCUACUCUCUCUUAUUUUAAGUUUAUUUAUUUUUUCUCUAUUCCUUUUUUUUUUUUUUUGGUUAUUUUUCUCAUUUUGAGAUUUUAUUCAGUUUUAUGUGACUCAUUAUUUCCUCACUAUCUAUAUUUUUUUUAUUAUGAAAUAUUAUUUGGUUUUAUAGAGUUCACAAAUGAUAGAAGUUAGCAUCAUGAAAGGACUUAGGCUUCUCUUCACAAUUAUGAUCUUGUUUAUGAUUGUUACAAUAUACCAAUACUCUCUCCAACCUAUGAUUGGCUUUCCUUUCGGUAUGUAAUCUCCUCAAUGUCAUGAAACAUUAAGUUUCCAAACAUUGUGAUCAUUUUGAUUUUUCUCUUCUAAAUCUCAAGAAGCAUUGAGUUUAUGGAUUGAUUUGCAAAUUGAGAGUUUUAUUAUUAUUAUUAUUUUUAGAAUUGUAUUGAAUUGUUUAUUUUAUAAAUAAAUACAUUUCAAAGUUAUAAUAAAUAUUUACUUCUAAUAUCUUUAUUCUAGUUUAGUUAUAGUUAUUUUAUUCUAUCAAUUUGAAAAAAAAAUUUAAAUUUUUGACGAUUUAUGUAUAUGGUCUUAACAUUUUUCCUAUAUAGAAAGGUAUGUUUUAGAAACACUAAAUGAUAAAAAGAUAUGAUAGAGAUAUAAAGAGAAAAAGUUGGGAAGAUAAUGUGACAAAUAGUUAUUUAUGUAUUUUAUAUAUUUAUUUGUUAUUUUAUUUAAUUUUAAAAUAUUUAAAGGAAAUAAUUUUUUAUCAACUACCCUCUUUACUUUUUGAAUAAUGAAAUAUGGUUAAAAAUAAAAAUUUACAAAGGGAAACUUGUAUUUUGGGAGGCCCAUUUGAAAAUAAUAUGGAUUUCAAAACCCUAGAAUAGGAAAUAUGAUAUUCAACCAAUAAUAUAAAAAUUAAUAUGGUUCUUGUGCACUUUGUGCUGAGUGGACUUUUGAUACCCACUUUGCCUUUGCCCAAUCUCCAUGUUAGCAUCCAGGUUGAGAUAGCAGGCAAAAGGGUUAAAAAAAAAAAUUACAUAAAUUUCCUUAACAUCUUUCCUUUUACUUUCUUACCACCCGUACUGAAGCCAAAGACCCCUAAAAUUGAAACCAUAAACCCUCUUUGAUCUUCCUCUAAAUCCAAAUAACCUAAAUGUCGUGAAACCCUACCUAUGAUUUUCUCAUAUAUCCCCAAAAUCCCUAUAAUCCUGGAAAACUAACCCUAAUCCUUAUUCACACAAGUCGAUGUCGUAGAUUAGAGAGUGUGGGGAAACCCUAACCUUUUUGUCUAAAGAUCCAGCUCCGAAUCUCUAUCUUUAUCAUUGUCAUCAGGUGAUAUAUUUUUAUGUUGGUAUAUUUAUGGUGGUUUAUUUGUGUUAAUUUUUUUUUUCACAUCGAGAAAUGAGGGUGUGUCAAAGCAUGACUUGAAAUCUACAUAUUCUCUCUUUCUCUCUGUACAAAACUUCAUCUUUCUCUGCAAAUUCCUCUCAAUUAAGGGCUUCUUUCAGAGAUUCGAUUCAUUUGCUGAUCUUUUGCAUUGUUUCUCAUAAACCUUUUUUUUUUUUUUUUCUUUUUGUUGGAAAAUGUUCUCAGAUUUUGAAGGUAAGAAAUUUGUUUAUUUUUAAUAUUGAAACAAAACCCAAUUGCAGUAAUGAAUUGAAGAUGUUAUUAUUAUUAUUAUUAUUAUUAUUAUUUGUUAUUUGUUUGGUUAAUUUAGUGUUUUGUGGGUUGGUUGAUCUUAAAUUUUGUUUUUGUUUGUUUGUUUUUUGUAUUAAUAAAUUGAAGAUGUUUUUUUUUAUUAAUUUUUUGUUUGGUUAAUUUGGAGGUUUGUGGUUUGGUUGAUUAUCUCUUAGAAAUCAUUGAUCUUAAUUUUUAUUUUUAUUUUUUGGAAAUUCUAGGAAUACCUACAAUUGAUGUGAUUUUGUUUUUUUUUUUUUUCCUUUUUAAUGCUUGGUGGUACUGGGCUUAAGUUUGUUAUGGAGGUUUGGGUGGGCAUUAUUGAAAUUAGUGGGUUUAUUUUGAGAAAUUUAGUUUUCCGGUGGAGGAAUUUAUGCCUUUGAAAUAGUAAGCAUUUAGUUGAGGAAUUGUUUUAGGGUUAAAACCAUACUAGAUUUUAAUUUUGUUGUUUCUACAUCUUUUAAAGAAUGAUUUUAGGCGGUUAGAGUGUGUUAUUUUGUUGUUUUAGGGUUUUUAGGUUGAAAAUUGAUAUUAAUUUAUGUUUAUUAGAUUGAGUUCAAUUUUUUCCCAUGAAUUUAUCUGAGAAUCCAUGAUAUGUAAUUAUGUUUUGAGAUGGUUUUAUACUAAUUAGUUUUAUUUGUGUCUGUUUUUGUGCAUUUAUUUGAUAACUUUUUUUUUUUUGCUUUUGUAUUUUGAAAAAUGGUUUUUGGUUCAUAACUCUUAGAAUUAGAAAGGUUCAAGCCAAGUUGGAUGACUUAGCUCUGUUACUUUGGAUUUAUUUUAUAUUCAUUUUUUUGGGUUUUGUUUUUGGGAUCAUAUUACAUUUGUGAGUCUUUAAAUUUGAGAUGACUCUUAUUUUAUUUUAUUUUCUGUCAAAUGGUACUGUGGUUUUCAGACUACAUAAUAGAUGUAGACAUAGGCAUUAUCGAAGCUUGGAGACCAUUGAUGCAGUUCUUUUAAUUACAUUCCUUUUUACCAUAAUUCAGGAUUGGCUUUUGCUCGAAAAUAUUGAUUCUUCAUUUUGGUCUCCUUCAUAGUUAAUGUAAGCAUCACUAUUUCUACAUCUUUGUUAUCUUUGUAAAUAAUUUUUUGGCUCGAAUUGUAUAGCAUACUCAUACAAUUCAAAGUUGCAAAAGUCCUGACCCACAAAUUACCAUCUCAUGUGGAUUUGGGAGAUAAGAAAUUUACAAGUUGAAAUACAUUGAGCUUUGACAAUUCUUUCAUAUUGAAAACCUUUUUAUUUGUACAAUAUAUUCUGAUGGCAUUUCAAUAUUUAUGUUUGUAUUUCAUUUUCUUUUAAAUUUUUAAGUAAAUUCAUGGGUCACAAAGGCUACCAUGGGCUUCAAAAUUAGACUUUGAGAAUCAUUUCCUUAUUAUAAUACGAAAUGCUUUUGGAAGCUAGUUAUAGAAUUCAUGGGGAAAUGCUUUUAAAUAGAACAUUUUUUUCCCUUCAAUCUAUUACUUUUAGGAAGAUUUUAACUCAAGUCGUUUCAUAUGAAAAAAAUUGUCAAAUCCAUUUUUAUGUGAAAUUAUGGAUUUUAAUUAGUGUUUUGCAGAACCCUAAUAUUAGGAAUAUUAUUGUUUGUGUUGGAAUACUCAAUUUUCUCUUCAAAUCCUUGAACCCAAUGUACCAUCUCAAACAUUUCUUUUUGUUUUACAAAUGAAUGUUGGAAAUAGGAUAGGCUGAUGAAGGCCAAAGAACCAAUAACCAAUUUGGGGUAGAUUUGGAGAUCAAUCACUGAAUGGUUUAGAUGAUUUCUUUUUCUAGUUUCAUUUGAUUUUGAGUAGAUUCAAUGGCUAUACUUAUAGUAAUAAAUACACAGUACCCUACUUUUCAUGGUGAUCAUGUUAGACUAUUUUUUUUUUUUUUAUCAACUUCUACAUGUGGCUUAUGCCAAGAAGUGAAAGCCAUUACUCAUGGCAAACUCCAUUUUAGGACUUUUGUGAAUGAUGGAUGGACCUGAACUUAAGCAUUUUUCAUGUCUCGAAGUUAAAAUAUUCGUUUAUAUGUUUGUUUUAUAAGUUUGUAAGAAAUUUGAGUAUUAAUUAUUUAGUAUAAAUUUUAUGCUCAAAUGGCCUUGCAAGAAAGUUUAGCUAAAUUCAAGAAGCAACAAGAGAAGUGUCGGUUGACUCUCACUAGCAUUGCAACCGAAGCAAGAUCCCUUAAGCCUAGAGUACCUUGAGACUCAUGUUGGAGCAAUUGAGCCUAGUGAUCGUUCUUUGGUAGCGAUGAUGCAAUUGUUAUUGGUGGUAGUCUUUGUGUAGCUAUGAAUUUACUUGUUAAUCAUUUUGUAAAAGUUUGAACGUUAGCUGUGUAUUCAAAUACUUUGAUCCGCUAGUUCUUUUGGAAAUGCUGGUGUUUUUCUCUGUUAUUUUAAGGUGCAUAUUAGUUACUACUAUUAGUGGAAAGAAUAGACAAACACUUGAUUCCUACAUCUUCAUCAUGGUUGAAAAAAUUAUAUGAUAUUAUAUGAUUUAUUAUAAAUUUUACUCUCAAAUAUCAAAGAUGUGUAAUUUAAUUCAAUUGGUUUUUUUAUUUUAUGAGAUCAAGGUUUUGAUUUCUUUAUGAUAGUGCUAUUGCUUGACCAGAUUAGAUUUAUCAAAGAUAUUUAUCCAAUUGAGAUUUAUGUGGAGAAUUAAAAUAAUAUUUUAGAAUUAGAUGCUACUACUUUUGGUUUGGACUAGUGAUCUUGUAGCCAUCUCUUGAUGGAUUUCUAAGAACUAUUGUAACUUGGGACUAUUGUUCUUGGUAAUAUCUUUGACCUCAUUUGGAGUGAUGUUUUUGCCUUUUAAAAAACUAGAAUAGAAAUGUUUAGAGAGGUUACAAACUCAAACACUUUAAAAUUAUUUAAUCUUUAUAUAUAUAUAUAUAUAUAUAUAUAUAUAUAUAUAUAUAUAUUUAUGAAAUUAAAAUGAGUUGAAAUAAGUAUAAAAUUAAUUUAUUGACUUUAAUUCUAUUGUAUUUAUUUUCGGUUUAAGGCAACCCUAAAGCAAAACUGCAGAUAGCAUAUCCAAACAUCUCCUAAAUAAUAAUGUUAUGUUGUUUUCCAUCUACAAGCAUCGCUAGAAUUGGACAAAAAACUUUCACACAUAAUAUCAAUUUCUCUCAUUUCAUCCUAGCAUAAAAAUAAAGUCAAAUCACAAUUGUGGCCCAUGACGGGAGGGAGAAUAUUAAGUCUCUUCCUCUUAUGAUUCAAAACAAGAAGAAAUUUUUUUAGCAUAACAACAAUUUUUUUUAAACAAAAUAAAAAUAAAAAUCACUUAGGCCAUUGUCAUGAAACUAAGAAUAUUCAAUUAUAUGAUGAAAAUAAGAAGCUUCAGUUCCUUUCCAUUUUUCAACCUCAUCAGGUAUUAGGCCAUUGUUCUAGGUUCAUCCCAUUGAAGUUGCAAUGAGAAAUAAUUUGUGAAGAAACAUUAUAAACAACAAUAAAUAAGUAGAAAUUCAUAUGUCAAGACUCUAUUAAAGGCUUACUCAAAGUUAACGAUUUUGAUGAGUUGGAUGGAUGAUUGAGAUUUGGGGCCCAUUCAAAUUUGCCAGUUUGUGUGACUAGGUACUGACACAUUUUUUUUUCUCCCUUUUAAUGUUCCAAAACUAUAAAAUUCAAUGGCUUAGAUUUAAAUAUCAGAACCAUACAAAAUUGACAAUGUAAGAAACAUCAUAUUGAAUGGAUCUUGUGUGUCUGUGUGUUGGAACUUUAACAUCAUACUAAAAUGCAUAAUAACUUUGUUUACAAUAAACUACACAAGUUAUUUUUUCAUAUUUAAAUUUACCAACACAAUUUUAUUUGUACAAAUAAUUGAGGUCAAUUCUUUAAAGAACUAGACUCCAAAAAUUGAUUGUUGAAAGCUUUUAUUUACAUGCGAGGAAAGCUUUUAUUCUAUCUUAAAUAUGCCAAUUAUUUUUGAAAAGUAGCAGGCCUACAUCAUCAAAGCAGGAAAAAUAUGAGUUUUCAAUUGUAGUUGCAAGGUUGUGACAUAGUGAAAUAUCAUCAUUAAAGAAAAUUAGAAGUGAAAGGUCAUUGGAUUUAAGGGAAAAAGUGCGAGGGUAGGAGUUUUAACUCCACAUGAGGACUCACAAGAUUUUUGUAAUCUUUUAUCUUCAUAUUUUAAACUAUAAUGAUGGUAAGGGGGGAAGAGAGUGAAUAAUAGGUAGGAUUAUAAAGAAAUCUUCAUUUUACAUUUAAUUGCAUACAUAGUGUUAAUUUCCAUCACAAAUCAAGUGUAUGAAGAUUUCACAUAAAUGGGAAAAUAUUAGAAAAAGAAGAGGAAAAUAGCUAAGAAAUUGUGAAACAUAACCGUUUGAAAAACUUCAUCACAUAAAUCAUCCAAUAGCACCAAGUCAGUGUACACUUUUGUUAAUUCAAGUUUAUUGAUGAAUGUACAUAUGUAUAUGAAAUAUUUUGCAAGGAAUGUUGAUCAUCAACUACAUGUUCAUACUUUGGUUUUCCAACUGAUGAACAUUCAUCACUUCUCAUCCAUCUUAGUUCAUAGAACACCAAAGCUCGGACAACUUCCUUUCUAGAAGUAUAUGCUUUGUAAACACUCUCCUUAUAAAGGAGCACAUUCUUUUGACAUUCAACCAAAGAAUCGUACACUCCAUGUUUGCGACCAACAAACACUACAUAAUAUGUUUGCUUGUUUGUCAUCUGAUGACAUAAUUGUUGUUGGUUAUUUUUUAAUAAUCAAUCAAGUAAUGACUAUUGCAAAAGAUAAUACAAAACGUAUAUAAUUCAAACAUGUAUACCACAUUUUAGGAUAAUAACAGUGAUGAUUAACCAAAAAAUUCAAAAUAUAACAAGUAAUGUCUGGGAUUCAAGUUUCGAGGCUUCACACAGGUAGUACCCAACUUUAACAAAGGUAGUACCUAAGAUCGGUUAAGGUAGUACCUAAGGUUGAUUAAGGUGGAACCUAAGGGUUAUUAAGAUAGUACCUAAGGUACAGUGCCCAAAAUACCAAAGGUGAACCACUUGACCACACCAAAUAAUCACAUAAUGGCAUGCUCUAAGGGUCACAAAUGAAGUUCCAAGGCUUCACACAAGUAGUACCCAACUUUAACUGAGGUAGUACCUAAGGUUGGUUAAGGUAGUACCUCAAGUUGAUUAAGGUGGUACCUAAGGGCUAUUAAGGUAGUACCUAUGGUAUAAUCCCCAAAAUAACAAAGGUGAACCAAUUGACUACACUAAAUAAUCACAUAAUGGUAUGCUCUAAGGGUCAUAAAUGAAGUUUUGAGGCUUCGGAUAGGUAGUGCCCAACUUUAACUAAGGUAGUACCUAAGGUUGAUUAAGGUGGUACCUAAAAGCUAUUAAGGUAGUACCUAAGGUAUAGUCCCUAAAAUACCAAAGGUGAACCACUUGACCACAUUAAAUAAUCACAUAAUGGCAUGUUCCAAGGGUCACAAAUGAUGUUCUCAGACUUCACAUAGGUAGUACCCAUCUUUAACUAAGGUAGUACCUAAGAUUGGUUAAGAUAGAACCUAAGGGCUAUUAAGGUAGUACCUAAGAUACAGUCCCCAAAAUACCAAUGGUGAACCAAUUGAACAUACUAAAUAAUCACAUAAUGGCAUGCUCUAAGGGUCACAAAUGAAGUUUUGAGGCUUUACACAAGUAGUACCCAACUUUAACUAUGGUAGUACCUAAGAUCGAUUAAGGUAGUACCUAAGGUUGAUUAAGGUGGUACCUAAGGGCUAUUAAGGUAGUACCUAAGGUAUAGUCCCCAAAAUAACAAUGGUGAACCACUUGACCACACUAAAUAAUCACAUAAUGGUAUGCUCUAAGGGUCACAAAUGAAGUUCCAAGGCUUCACAAAGGUAGUACUUAAAGUCGGUUAAGGUAGUACCUAAGGUUGAUUAAGGUGGUACUUAAGGGCUAUUAAGGUAGUACCUAAGGUACAGUCCCCAAAAUAACAAAAGUGAACCACUUGACCACACUAAAUAAUCACAUAAUGGCAUGCUCUUAGGGUCACAAAUGAAGUUUUAAGGCUUCACACAAGUAGUACCCAACUUUAACUAUGGUAGUACCUAAGAUCGGUUAAGGUAGUACCUAAGGUUGAUUAAGGUGGUACUUAAGGGCAAUUAAGGUAGUACCUAAGGUACAGUCCCCAAAAUAACAAUGUGACUUGCAACCAGAUAUGCUAUAAGUUCCAUCUAGAUUCAAUGCGACUUGUAGGUUAUAUGGUUAUUUGGGAAUAAUAUGGUUUCCACAACCCAACACAAAAAUUCAAGUCCACUAAUGACUCCAAAAUCAUUGAUGUGCUCCAUUUCAAACAAAGGAACUAAAGAACAAUAAAUAAAAAUUAUUUACCUUCAUAUUUCAGUUUGGGGUUAGGGUAAAAUGCGACUCAAGUCAGCAACUAAGAAGAAGAGGGAUGAUGUAGUGCUUUUGGUGAUGAGAGGACGAGUUUUGAGCAUGCCUAAAUACCAAUCUAGAAAUCCAAUCUUGGAGGACCGUGAUGAUGAUGAUCAAAACGAAUAGGCACAAAGUAGAUUAAUUGGGUUAAAGAUUUCUAAAUCCUCAAUAUUUUCGAGUUGGUGAAUCAAUGGAAAUGAAGAUGGAGGUAAAGUUUUAAUCUUAGGGUUUCUUUAGGUUUCAAGAGGGAUAAGGAAAAGAACAAAUGAGAUCUUGAGUUUUCUUUGGUGCUUGGUGGAGAAAGGUUUUUUCUUUUUUUUUUUUUUUUUUUUUUUUUUUUUUUUUUUUUUUUUUUUUUAACAUGUGAACGCUUGCUUACCUUGCAAAAAAGGAGGGUAAAUUUGGCAUUAAAAACCACAUAAGCUCAAAGUGCAUGAAAUCCAAAAUAUUUUUAAUAUUAAUAUGGUUAACUUUAAAAAGGGAAAGUUGGGUUUCUAUUUUACCAAUAUUUCCAUAUUAGCCCAUGGAAACCAAAUAAACCCAUUUACAAAUGUCUUGUUUAUUUAAAAUAAUAAAUUUAAUUUUUCAUAAUUAUUAAUUAUCUUUUGAAUCAUUAUUUAUUCUAAGCCAUGCAAUAUUUAAAAUUGGAAUUUAAAGAAUUAAAAAAAAAAGUCAUUCAAUUGAAUGACACGAAUAUAAAAACUUGAAUUUAAAGAAUUAAAAAACCGUAAUUCCUUUGAAAUGACACAUGGAUAUGAUACCAUCAUUAUUACUUAUUAACAAUUAAUCAGUAAACUUAAUUUUAAAAAACUAAAUUAUUUAUACAUAUCUGUAGACCCCCUUUCAAGAGCCAAAGACUAUUAGUUUUUUUUUUUUUUUGAGAAAUUUUUAUAGCAUUGGAAGGAUGUUGUCUCACCACCUGGAGGAGCUGGCAGCACCUUAGAUAAGUGGGGGACCCUUUUCCCUAUGCAUGGGACCAGCUGUAUGGACAUGGCAAAAAGCAGGGUUGGCCAUGAGGGUAGGUGAAAGAGGCCAUGUUGGCUGAUAGAGGAACAAUGGAGAUGGUAAUGGCUUGCUGCGGAAGACAAAAAUACGGGGUUUGAGCUUGAGGGGGGGAGAGGUAAAAAAAGGGAGGCAAGAUGGCUGGAAAAUGGCAGAGAGAGGAAGCUUCCUUGAGCUUGGUAAGUCUUCCAUCUCUCAACACCCUGCUUCACCACCUGAUGAUAUAUGCAUAUUGUUUAUUGUUUGUCGUGGGUAUCAAGAGUCACAGGUCCGCAUAUGAUCACUUUGCAUGAUAUGCUCUGUUUCUUUUUCUUAUUUGUUUCAUCUUGACACCUCGAAUCCCCUUCUAUGAAUAAUUGUUUUGUUUUUGUUUUGGAUUGGAUUGGAUGUUUGAUAUUUGAAUCGUGGGUUCCUAGUUUGUCCCACUCAGCUGUAACCCGUUCAUCAUCCAUGGAAUAUGGUGGUGCCAGAUAACUCCUCAAGUUCUUGCUCUGUUUUUAUUCAUGUAUUAUUUUAGCCAUUGCAUACCUCUCAUGCACGCGGCCACCUUCCCCACCCCAUUUCCAACGACUCUCUCUUUCUCUUUCUUUUUCCCUUCCUCUUCCUCCUCCUCUUCAUGCAUCUCUUCUCUGGUGGCGCGAGGCAUGCAGCGUUUUCAGGCAUUGACGGAGGGUGGCGCUUACUUGAGGCUCACCCCCACCACCACCUCUGCGCUAGCCAAGGUGCCCUCGGAAGCAUGCACUGCGGCGGUAGGAUGCUUGCCCUCCACCAGGAUCUGGCACCGCCGGCACUACAAGAUCAACGCUAAUCAGAAGCGGCAUGCAAUGGCUUCCUCCAUUGUCGUCUCAGCCGCCUCCUCUCUGACCGUCCCCAUCACCCCGACGCCUUCACCGGUGGCGCAUGGUUCAACACGACUAGCUUUGGCUAUGUAGGCGGUUGCACUAGCCACCACAACGAUAACGUUUUCAUGGAUGUUGCUAGAUAGCCGCCACCCCUUCCCUCUCCAUUCUGCCGCUACUGGUGGAGAUGAUGAUGCCCAGGUGGAGGGGCGGGUCGUGAUGGUGAUGGAGUCUUGGGUUUGCCCUUGGUGACGGGUUUGGGUUUAAGUUGGAGCCCAACCCAAGCAUGUUGAUGGAGGGCAAUGUCUUCUCAACUAAGUGGGCUAUGAAGGUGAUGGAGCCUUGGGCUUGCCCAUGGUGACGGGUAUGGGCUUAAGUUGGAGCCCAGGCCCAAAGUUGCUGAUGAAGGGCCUCAUUGCUCCUUAAGCCAAUCACUCUCAUGGCUCAUGUCCAUUUUAAGAUAGCCCAUUUGGCUACUUCAAUUCUAAAUAAGUUUUUAAACCUCUAAUCUUCGUAAUUAAUUAAUUUAUUCAUUCAUUUUUUUAUUUUUCAUCAUAUUUCACUUUACCUAUCUUGUUAACUCAACUUAAACACAAUUAAAAGAUAAAUCAUUAGGAUGGAAUAUUGUUUUUUUUUAAGCUUAAAAUAAUUUGUAUUUCAUCUUCCUUUCUUUAGGUAUGACUAAUCAUCAUAUAUGAAAAUUUUUAUAUAAUUAAUUUAUGUUGGUCUCAAUGAAUUUUCUACAUUCCAAAUUUUAAAUCUCAUAUUCAAAACUUAUGUCAUUUAAAAGCCAUUUAUCGAAAAUUCCGUCUCCCUAAAUUAAUUUUCAAUCUCAAGAAUUGCUCCAUUCACUUUCAUUCGUUUAAAAAUCCAAUGUCCUAAUUUAAUUUUCAACCCUAAAAAUCCCACUAUUAUUUUUUAUUCGUUUAAAUGUUAUUUUCGUUAAUUAGUAUUAUUAUCUCAUACCUAUUUAUUUAUUUAAAGUCCAAUCUUUCAAAAAUCUAACGUCUAAAUUUAAUUUUCAAUCACAAAAUUUCUACUAUCCAAUUUCGCUCAUUUAAAUAUUAUGUUUGUUAAUCAUUAUUAUUAUUUCGUAUGUAUUUAUUUAUCCUCUUUUAAAAAUCUCAUUUAUUAAAGUCUAAUCCUUCAAAAAUCCAAGAUCCUAAUUUAAUUUCCAAUCCUAAAAAUUCCACUAUUAGUCUAAAUGUUAUUUUCCUUAAUUAGAAUUAUUAUCCUACAUUUAUUCAUUUAUUUAAAGUCCAAUUCUUCAAAAAUCCAACGUCCUAAUUUAAUUUUCAAUCUCAAAAAUUCCACUACUCAUUUUUUAUUCGUUUAAAUAUUAUUUUUGUUAAUUAGCAUUAUUAUUCCACAUUUAUUUAUUUAUCCCAAUCAUUAAGUUUAAUCCUUCAGAACCCGACUUCCAAAUUUAAUUUCCGAUCUCAAAAACUCCACUGUUCAUAUACUGUUGUUUAAUGAUUAUUCUCGUUAUUAAUGUUACCCCAUCCAUUUAUUUAUUUAGUUAUUCAUAUAUCAAAGAUCUCAUCUCUAAAUAAAUUCUCAAAUUUUCAAUCUCUAAGUUUAAUCCCCAAUCUCUAAAAAUUCCAUUUUUCGCAAUCGUUUACCUGAUCUUUAUUAUUUCACCAUCGUUAUUAUUACAUUCAUUUACUUAUUCACUCAUCCACUUAUCCACUUAUUUAAAAUCCUCCCUCUAAAUAAUUCUUCAAAUUUCCAAAUCUCUAAAUUCAACUGCCAAUUUCCAAAAUUCCCAUCUUCGUGAUUAUUUAUCCAAUUGUUAAUAUUUUUUGUUAUUUUAUUCAUUUAUUUAUUCGAUUGUUCGUUUGUUUAAAAUUCCAUUCCUAAGUAAUUCAUCAAAUUUCCAAUCCUUAAGUCCAAUUUCUGAUUUCUGAAACCUAACUUCAUCAAUUACUCACCCAAUCAUUAUUAUUUCGUCAUUAAUAUUAUUCCGUUCAUUUAUUUAUUCACUUAUUCAUUUAUUUAAAAAUUCCAUCUUUAAAUAAUUUUUCAAAAUUCUGAUUUCCAUAUUUAGUUCUUUGAAAUUCCAAUUUUCCAAUUUUUUAACUUAAUUUUCAAUUUCCAAUAUGCCAAUUCUCGCAUUUAUUCCGUUACUUAUUAUUAUUAUCAUGAUUGUUAUCAUUUUAUCUGUUUAUUUCUAAAAACUCCGCCUUCGAAUGAUUUCCAAUUUUUAUAAUUCAAUUUUCAUAGUUUCUACUUCUCAAAUAACUUUCAAUUCUAAUUUCUUUCAAAAAUUUAAUUUACAAGGUCCCAAUUUUCGUAAUUUAAUUUUUUAAAAUCCCGAGCUCUCAAAUCAUUUUCAAAAUCCCAAUCUCUUUCGAAUUUAAUUUCUAAAAUUCUCAUUCUCACAUUUAAUUUCUAAAAGUUUGAUAUUCAAAUAAACUCUAAAACUCCAAUUUUCAAGUAAUCCUUCAGACUCCAAUUUUUCAAAUAAAUUUCAAAAAUCCAAUUUUCUCUCAAAUAGUUUUACUCUGGUUUUCAAACAAUCUUCUGCUCCUCUUGAUUUUAAUAAGUUUGAAUGAAUUUUUCAUAAUUCCAGAAUAAUGGAAUCUGUGACAUUAAUUCAUGCAAAAUAAACGAGUUUUGGUGGGAGCCCUACAUAAGUGAUUUUAUGAUUGAUUGAUUGAUUGAUUUGAUUAUCACACAUGAUUGAUUCAUUCUGCUCUAUGGCACACAUGAGAUUAUUCUUUUAAUCGUAUGCUAACCCUCUUUCCUGAUGGCGCAUUGAUCGAUUGACGCCAAGGUAUGCCCUGUUCUCACUUCGGUCGUUCUUUAUUGAGUGUUUUGAUUCCCCCAUGUGCAUGAUCACCCUGAGUAUUCAUUGAUUUCCUCAUCAUUGCCACAUUAGCUUCAUUUUAUUAGUAGAGACCCGACUUUAGGGACUUAGAGGGGUGUUAUGGUUUUUGCCGUACCUUCCCAAUAAGUAACCUGACUCCUGAACCCGAUCCGGUUUUUCAUAGACCACCUUUUCCAAAAUAAGGAGUCACACUUAGGGUUUCUUUCUUAUUUUGUUUACCCUUUUAAAAAUAAAACAAAAAUAAGUGGCGACUCCUAGUCAUAUUUUUUUAAUAAAUAAAAUCAUUUUGAACAAAAAUCGAGCUCGCCAUCAAGUCGAAAUCGCUUUGUAUAAAAUACGGGGUCCACAAAAUGGCGACUCUACUGGGGAUCAUAGAAGGUCAAACUUGAACUUAAGAUGAAGCAAACGUGGCUUUUGAUGAGUUGAUCAGUGGGUACCUGUCUCUUGAUUGUGCUUCAUUGCCAUAUUCGUUGGAGAUAUUGACAUGUUGAUUGUGUUGAUUGCUUAUCUUGUUUCGUUAGCAUAGUGAUUCCGAUAUUUGCCAUGAUUGUUUUGGUCGCCUUGCAUGUAUAGAUUCAUUGUUAGCAUGAUGUAUAUUGAUUCAUUUCGAUAUCGAUUGAUUUUGCACAUUGAUUCACUAGCUUGUAUAUCCUCUUGAUUGUCUUUGAGCAUGAUGUAUAUAUGUAUCACUUUUCAUCUGUUUAUUAUAGCUUGUGUGGGCAUGAAUGAUAUAUCAUGUACUCUGCUUGAUUGUAUGUUGCGUGACUGCCCUCCCCUUGUGUGAUUGCAUGUCAUUUGUCUAUGUGGGUCGCACAUCUAUCCCCUUACCUCCAACUCUCUUGGUUUUGGUUAUUCCUUUCAUCCCUGUUCUCACUAUUGCAAGUGUGAGACCUUCUAUGUGCUUGCUCUCUGACCGAGCCAGAGAUUAGGAGUAGGGUCUAGCGACGGGCUAUAUCGAUGCAAGAGAGCAUUCUGGAGGAGAACGACACUUUGAUGUCGAUUGGAGUCCGAUCAUUGAAGACCUGUAUAGCCCAGAGUUAGGUUUCAUGGAUAUUUGUGUGGCCAGUGUGUCUCAUUUCCUGUUUUAGCUUCUUAAGGUUAUCAGAUGCACCCACAUCGUUCACUAUGCACUCUAGUUGACUUUUGAGCGUUGAGAGUUUGAGAGGUUUCACCAUAGGAAACCCCCUAGGAUGUCGAGGUAGUGCAUGUGUGGAGGUGAUGACCACCUUGCAUGGAAGCGCCCCGUCUCUUCGGAGGCGUGCAGAGGGUUGCGUACCACUGGAGGGUAUGAUAGCCUCUACUAGGGAUCUUUUAAAGUCCACCCAUAUCCAUUUAGAGCCGCCUUGACCUCGUAGGUUGAGCCAUAGAUCCUUCGAUUAGGACUCCCUCCCUACACGUGGGUGCAUCUGAGGGCUUUCAAAGCCUCUGUAGUCAUAGCUUGGAUUCCGAUACUCUUUCUUCAGUCUCCAGUUGAGAAUGCACAAAGAUCAAUACGAGUUUGAGGACGGUCGAACCGUCCGUCUUCACUUGGAUGCCUUGCUUGUUUUGGUUCAGAUUAUCAUUUCUUCCAUGCUUUCCCAGGCCAUAUCCUUGUUCAUUUCUUCAUGCUUUGUAGGAUCAGAUCUUUGUUCUCAGUCUAGAUUUACCUUCUUGGAUUAGAGUAGAGGGGAGAUUGGUUCGGUUUUCAGAGAGAUCGGGUAUGGAUCAGCAGGUCAUUACAGUUGAUCAGUUUACGACCGCCAUGGCUUCUAUCUAGGAGGCUUUGGCUAGUCACAGGCAGGAGAUUGGUAGCCAGCAGAGCAGACCGCCCGUAGUUCAGGAUGAGACACUUCAUGAUUCGUUGCCACCUCCACCGCCACCUCCUGUUUCGACAAUGCCUUAGGCCUCACCUUAUGUAUUGCAUAGGCAUUCUGAGGUUGCUCUACCUGUAGUCGUUCCGACCACAGUCAUUGAUGACGCUCAUGCAUGUAUGGACCUCAUUGAGCAACGCAUGAGACAGUUGAGAGUAUCUGAUGGCUCCGCUAUUUGGGAUGAUCUCGAGGGUAUGCCCGUAGCCAGUUUGCUGGCUAAGUUCGGGAUGCCCGUCAUUGAGAAGUACAUGGGCAUUGGUUGUCCCCGCAUCCACCUUAGACUCUACAGCACAGUGAUGCGAGCACAUGGAUUAGACGAGUCCCAGAUGAUCACUUUAUUCCCACUAUCUCUGAGUGGGGCGGCCUAGCGUUGGUUUGCAUCCCUGGAGUCCUCACGAUGCCUGACAUGGGACGACUUGGCCUAGGAGUUUUUACGACAGUUUUCAUUUAACACUGUUGUGGAUGUAUCAAGGAGAGAGCUCGAGGCUCUGAGAUAGAGGACAGAUGAGUCCGUUUCCUCCUUCAUCUCCCGCUGGCAUGGGAAGAUUGUCGAGAUCAUUGAUAGGCUUUCAGAGAGAGAUAAGAUACAGAUGGUUUUGAGGAGCCUACAACCUAGGAUUGCCAGGCAUGUGGUCGGGGUACCAUUCACAGAUUUCGGUUCUCUGGUUUUGACUUUUCAUGAUGUCGAGGACAGCAUCUCGAGAGGAUUGUGGACUGAUUCUUCCCUUAGUGAUGUUAAAGGGAAGAAACCCUUCGGAGGAAAGAAGUCAGUUGAUGUGAGCGCCAUCAGUUCUUCCAAUCAAAGGCCUCCUAAGCGACAUUUGCCAGUUCUGCGGCUUCCUGAGACUCAUUCUUCUUAUCCACCUCAGCAGUACCGGCCUCGAGCACCUCGUCCGACUUAUGAUUAGGCCUACAUAUCGCAGACUUUGGCUUUGCCUUAUUAUGCCACACAGGGCAUUGAGAGACCCUCAAUUUCCUACACGGCCACAGGACAACCAUGCUAUGCUGCUCAGUUCAGUGCGAGACCCACAUCGCCCUACCCUAGGCCUAGAGCCCAACAGACCUCUGCCCCUUUUUCCUUGAUGACGCAAAGAUAGUUUUCACAGUUAGGCAUGCCGUUGAGCCAGGCUCUUUGGAAGCUUACAGAGGCUGGGUUAUUGACUGCUCUCACUCCUAGGCCACCACCUCAGCCUAUUCCACCUCAAUUUAGGAUGGAUCUGCACUGUGCAUACGAUCAGGGGCCCGGACAUGAGACCGAUCGCUUCACCGCUUUGAGGCAUGCCAUUCAGGAUUUGAUCGACCAGGGUUCGGUGCACUUGGGUCAGCCAAGUGUAACCAUGAGCCCAUUACCGACUCACACCACCAUGCGGUUCCCCAUCCGACUAAUAGCAUGCACUCCAUCGAUUUUGUCAAGUUUGAUGACCGCAUCCAUAUGCUUAGCUGGGAUGAUUCUGAGCCAGAGCCCAUAGUGUCAGAUGAGAUUUAUGAGAUGAGCGGAGUGACUUUGGGACCUCGGAUGCUUGUUUCGUUCAGACUAGUCCCCGAGACGGCAUCAGUACAAACGGCCACUGUCGAGCCACCGACUUUCCCACAUUACAAUGUUUAGACGUCGUUUGUUUUGAUUCCAAAUGUCUGAUUACUACUCAAAAAGUGCUAUUUUAUAGCUUAUAAUUAACUCUUUUAAACAAUUUUGAGUAGUAGUUAUUACCUUUUAACUCAAUUGGCAUGUUAAGCACCCUUGCAAUCGUUUCUAAUCAAAUUGUGUUAAGUUUUGGUGUUUUGAUAGCUUUUUGAUCACCAAAGCAAUCUAAGAUAAGGGAGAGUUCUAUAUAAUCCAUGGCAAAGCAAAUGGAAGCUCAUUUACAUGAAGAAUUCAAGAUUUGGAGCUUUGUAGUCCUUUGCCAAAAGCAAAUCAUGAAUGCAAGGAGGGAAAGCAAAGAGAGAAAUCUAACAUGAAGAAUUCAAGAGGACAGCAACUGUUGGACACAUUUCAAGUACUUUCUGGAGUCCAUUUCAUACAUACUAUAUGCCAUUUUGAAGCUCGGGAAGUCAGGAGUCGAACGCUUUAAACAGUGCACAAAUUGGAGUUGAAACGAAGAAGUUAUGGCCGUUUAAAGACAACUGCAUCAAGCUGUGCGAAAAUUUCGCAGCCCAAAGCCCAUUUCGCAGCUGCGAAAUGAAAUCCACUUGCAAAAUUUCACAAGGUGUUUCGCAGCUGCAAAACCACUUCCAAGCACAUGUGUGCCACUUCGCAAGUUGAAAUUCCAUCUUCGUAGUUGAGAACCACGUUGCGAAAUCACCUCCAAGCUGCGAAACAAGUUGCAAAUCAUCUCCAAGUUGUGGAAUCACCUCCAAGUUGUGAAAUCACAAAUUCAACUUGCAAAAUCAAAAUUCAAACUUGCAAAAUGGACAAUUCAAACUUGCGAAAUCCACCUGUGUAAACUCAUAUAUUUGUCACCGACUAAGUUAGAUUUUUUCUCAAGAUAUUUUGUGUAAAUUUCUAUUUUCUCCUUGUAAUCAGUCAAAGAUAUUAUUGGGAUAUUUCUUAGAAAAUAUCUUCUCUAUAUAUAUGUUUGAACCAAUGUAAAGAAAAAAAGAAGAAUCCAUCAUAUAUCAUAUAUGUAAUCGACGAUAGUAAGAAAUAUAUUUUACAGAGCACUUGCUCUGCUUUUCCUUCAUAUUUUUGUUUUCUCGUUAUUUUUAUUUCUAGCAAAUCAAACUCUGAGGAUGUUUCCUCUGAGGAUGAGUGGCUAGGCUUUUUGUCUCUUGGAGUGAAGAAAGCCGAGUAAGUUUUUGAAUGCAAAAAUUGGAAGUUUUGUUGUUUCAAAUUUUUAAUGAAGAGGAAGUGUGACCCGUUAAUGGUUUUUAUCUUUUUAGUUAACUUAAAACUCCUUAAAAUCACCUGGGCCAACACUUGGUAAGGCAAGUGGUCUCCAUCCAUUGAGAUACACUAGUUUAUCUUUUACGAGCCUUUGGGAGGUGGUUUAAAGGUAGGAUUUUCUAGAAUAGCCAACACUUGGUAAGCUUUUGGACUCCAAGGAGACAUCUAUUAGUUAUCUCUUGCGAGCUUUUGACGGGUAAUCCAAGGUUAAAGAUCACCUUGAAUGGAAAAUGCUAGGUGAAAGGUAUGAGCCAUUGCAAGAUGCAUCAAUGAGAAAGAUUUAGUGUUGAACCCAUUAAGGGGAAACAUCUGUACCACACCGAUUCGGGAAAUAACUAUAUGUUAAAUCCCCAAUACGAGGAAAAGAUUCAAGUGACCAGAACUCCCUUUUUGUAUAAGGAACAUGAGCCUAGUGAUCUGAAACUCCAAGAAACACUUUCUUUGUAAUUAAAAUCAGUUACUAUUUUUAGUUAGCUUAAAACCAACCUUUUCAAACAUCUUUAUGUUUUCUUUUAAAGCUAACCUUGAAAUGAAAAAGCACCAAUUCAACUUUGAAUUAAUAUCAAUUGUGGAGUGAAAACCCAUCCCAGUGAACGAUCCUAGAGCCACUAUGCUAUGCUAGCUGAGGCUAUCCUAGUACAUAGUGUAAUAGGUUAUAAAUUUUGUUGAUUACUCCCGUCUAAGGACCAAAAUCAAGGUACACCAGCUGGGCAUGAAUCAAAUGUGGUUCCAUUGCCGGGGACCAUUGAGAGAACAAGAAUAAGCUAGUACACCAAUUGGGAACGAAUCAAUGUCAGUGAGGUUCAGGCUCCAUAUGUUGAUGAUGUUCACACCUUCGACGUACAGUAUGUUAUCUGCGGGGGUAGAGUGGUAUGACAGCAGCCCCCCCACAACCGCUAGACCCUUGGAGGGGACGUCCUCCCAAGAGGAGGUUAGGAGAGAGGACGAUGAGAUUUUGAGACAGUUACAGAGCACUCAGCUCGCAUUUCCAUCUGGAGCUUGCUAGCAUUUUCCAGUACUCACUGAGAUGCAUUGAUUCGAACCCUAAGCCAGAUCAGAGUCGAGACUACCACCUCCCCUGAGGGAUUGAUUCAUAUGAUGACGGCCGACAGAGCCACAUGCAUUGUAUUCUCCGAUGAUGACUUGACACCGGAGGGCUCGGAUCACAUGCGUCCACUCUAUAUAUCUGUUGGUUGUUCAGGCCACUGAGUCUCAUCCGUCCUUCUGGACAAAGGCUCGACCCUGAACGUCUGUUCUUUGGCCACUGCUAUUGCCCUCGGCUAUGCACCAUCGGAUUUCAGUCCCUCCACUCAGACCGUUCGCGUAUAUGAUAGCACUUGGUGGGAGGUCAUGGGUACACUAGAGAUUGAGCUACUGAUUAGUCCGACCACUUUUAUUACCGUGUUUCAAGUUUUGAGGAUUCCUACAUCCUUUAACCUGCUUCUGGGCCGACCAUGGAUCCAUAGAGCUGGAGCCAUUCCUUAUUCCCUUCAUCAGAAGGUGAAGUUUAUUCACGAUGGCCAGGUCGUCGUGGUGCAGUCUGUGGGGAAUAUGGUCAUUUAUGCUUAGCUUGUACUUGAUAUUAGUCACACUGAUGACGAUCUUUUUUUGAUCGGAUUCACCUUUGAUGAGGUGCAGACUCUGGAGAUGGAGGAUUUCUGUCGAGACUUUGUAGCCAUGUCUUUCAACCAACACAAUAGAACGGUGGUGCUCGAUAUUAUGCGGAGUAUGUCUUAUCUUCCCGACAUGGGGUUAGGGCGGCGUCAGCACCGGCCUAGUGAGUUCGUGGCCUUCCCUGAUCACGACGUACCAUUCGGACUUGGGUUCAUCCCCACUGAGGUCGAUUAUCAUUAUAUGGCGCGAUUGCGCAAGGAGAGGGUGAGAACUUGACUGACUCAUACACCAUUUUAUUAUCCUAUUCGCCCAUAUGCCAUGAACCUAGCCGAUUACUUUGUGAGGGCAUUGGAGCCACAUACACCAUCUGAUGGGAUCAUCGGAGGACUUAGCACCACCCAGGAGGCCGAACUUCAGCGACAUAGUAGACGGAGCCGCGCCACAUAACGAGUAUGUCGAUGAGAUGCUCAUGAUGAGCUUGAGCCAUAUCGAGGAGAUAGCCCCGCUUGAGCUUGCUUCACCAUUUGAUCUCUUCGGGGUGUCCGUCCUUGAGAUCGUCGAGGGGAUCCAGGUUGCCCCCGCUCCGAAGAUUGCUGAGGAUGUUGUAGUUGUUGACGGUUUGUUUGAUGGCUUUGUUGGCCUAGUUGAGGGAGCGUCCGACUUUGUGGACCCACCUCUUUCCUUUAAUGUUUUAUCGGGAUUUGUCUCUUGUCAUGACGAUGUUUUUGACUCUUCAUCUAUGGAUUUGAGCAUCUUUGAGUAUUUUCUUGUCUCUCACGUUAUUGAUUUAUUUGCACCAUCUUCACCCACAACACAAAUAUUUGACAUUGACGAUGAGAUCGCACGGCAUGAUUCAGACGAUGACUCAUCUUCUAUUUCCGAUUCGGAUCCCAUUGAUCAGAGAGUUUCGCCUGCUGUAGGGGACACAGAGACUGUUGAUUUCUGCACAGUAGAUCAGCCUAGGGAGUUGAGGAUCGAAUCAGGUUUAUCUGUUGAUGAGAGGGAUAGCCUCAUCCAGUUGCUCAAAGCAUACUUGGACGUUUUAGCAUGGCCUUAUGAGGACAUGCCAAGCCUUGAUCCAUCUAUCGUCCAGCAUCGUUUGCCACUUCUACCUCAUGCCAGACCGGUUAAGUAGAAAUUGAGACGAUUGCAUCCUCGUUGGAGCUUAUAGGUCAAGGAGGAGAUCUAGAAGCAGCUCAGUGUGGGAUUCUUGUCAGUGGUCGAGUACCCGGAGUGGCUGGCCAAUGUUGUCCCUGUUCCUAAAAAAGACGGCAAGGUGAGAGUCUAUGUUGAUUUUCAAGAUCUCAACAAGGCCAAUCGUAAGGAUGAUUUUCCUCUUCCACACAUCGACAUCCUAGCUGACAGUACAGUAGGUCAUUCGAUGUUGUCCUUUAUGGAUGGAUUUUUUGGGUACAGUCAGAUCUUGAUAGCUCCAGAGGACAUGGAGAAGACGUCCUUCAUUACUGAGUGGGGUACUUAUUGUUAUAGAGUCAUGCCAUUCGGAUUGAAGAACGCAGGGGCCACCUAUCAGAGAGCGGCAACCACCAUUUUCCAUGACAUGAUGCACUAGGAUGUUGAGGUUUAUGUAGAUGACAUGAUCGUGAAAUCCCGAGACAGAUUAGAUCACCUAGCAGCUUUGGAGAGGUUUUUUGAGAGGAUCCGAUAGUUCAGAUUGAGACUGAAUCCCAAGGAGUGCACUUUCAGAGUGACUUAUAGGAAACUCCUUGGAUAUAUGGUCAAUGAGAGAGGCAUAGAGGUAGAUCUGGACAAGAUCAGAGCCAUCCUUAACAUGCCUGCACCGAGGACGGAGAGAGAUGUCAGAGGCUUCUUGGGUAGACUUUAGUACAUUAGCAGGUUCAUUACCAGAUUGAUAGACAUCUGUGAGCCCAUUUUUCGACUCUUGAGGAAGAGUCAACCUACUAUUUGGAAUGAUCAGUGUCAGCGCGCAUUCAAGAAGAUCAGAGAGUAUUUGUUGUCACCUCCAGUCUUGGCGCCUCUUUCGCUAGGCCGCCCUUUACUCUUAUAUCUGUUAGUUUCAGACGUGGCAUUAGGAUGCAUGUUGGCUCAGCUCGAUGAUUCGGGUAAGGAUCGGGCCAUUUACUAUCUGAGUAAGAUGAUGUUAGACUAUGAGGCGAGAUAUGUCAUGAUUGAGCGCUACUACUCGGCAUUGGUUUGGGCCACUCGACGACUGAGACAUUAUAUGACAGAGUAUUCAGUGCACUUGAUAUCCUGUCUAGAUCCUCUGAGAUAUUUGUUUGACAGACCCGCCUUGGUCGGUCGCCUCAUGAGAUGCUUGGUACUUCUGACCGAGUUUGACAUCUAUUAUGUCACUCAGAAGUCCAUCAGAGGGAGUAUUGUUGCAGAUCACUUAGCCUCAUUACCAGUUUCCGAUGGUAGAGCCAUUGAUGAUGACUUCCCAGACGAGGAUGUUGCUGCUGUGACUAGUCUAUUAGGAUGACGCAUGUACUUCGAUGGCGCAGCCAACCAUUUUGGAUACGAGAUAGGCGUCUUGUUGAUAUCCCCUCAUAGUGAUCACAUUCCUAAAUCUGUUCGUUUGGCAUUCUCGGAUCGACAUCCUGCCACGAGCAACAUUGUUGAGUAUGAGGCUUGUAUCUUGGGAUUAGAGACAACCCUCGAGCUCGGGAUUAGACAAAUGGAGGUGUUUGGCGACUCCAAUCUGGUAUUGAGACAGAUUCAGGGCGAGUAGAAGACUAGAGAUGUGAAACUUAGGCCUUAUCAUGCAUAUUUGGAGAUACUGGUUGGGAGAUUUGAUGAUUUAAGGUAUACAUAUCUACCUAGAGCGUAGAACCAGUUUGCUAAUACCUUAGCUACUUUAGCUUCCAUGAUUGACGUUACUGCUGAUGCCACUGUUCGCCCAUUGUUGAUCGAGUCAAGGUUUGCUCCUGCGUAUUGUUGUUUGAUUGAUGAUACGGAGAUAGAUGAUGGUCUGCCUUGGUACCAUGACAUAUAUCACUUUCUGAGAUUUGGUGUGUAUCUUGAGGCUGCCACGGCCAAGGAUAGGAGAGCACUGAGACAGUUAGCCACCCGAUUUGUGAUUUGUGGCGAGACAUUAUAUAGACGAUCAGCUGACGGGAUGCUAUUAUUAUGCUUGGACCUAGCCUCUACCGAUAGAGUGAUGAGAGAGGUUCAUGCAAGAGUCUGCGGACCACAUAUGAGAGGACAUAUGUUGGCCUGUAAGAUUAUGAGGACUGGUUACUUUUGGUUGACCAUGGAGACAAAUUGCUGCCAGUUUGUUCAGAGAUGUCCCGAGUGUUAGAUACAUGGAGAUCUCAUUCACGUGCCGCCCUCCGAGUUGCAUGCACUGACUUCACCAUGACCAUUUUCCGUAUGGGGUAUUGAUAUCAUUGGGAAGAUUUCACCGAAAUCUUCCAAUGGUCAUGAGUUCAUCCUGGUCGCCAUUGAUUACUUCACCAAGUGGGUGGAGGCCGCCUCGUAUGCGAGAUUGACAUCAUCUGGAGUUGCUAGUUUCAUUAGGUCACACAUUAUCUGCCGCUAUGAAGUCCCUCAUGAGCUGAUUUCGGAUAGAGGGGUACAUUUCAGGGCAGAGGUCGACACCUUAGUGCAGCAAUAUGGCAUCUGACACCAUAGGUCGUCUGUGUACAGGCCGCAGACGAAUGGAGCAGUAGAGGCCGCGAAUAAGAAUGUUAAGAGGAUAUUGCGGAGAAUGGUUGAGACUUCUCGGGAUUGGUCAGAGAAGCUUCAUUUCGCACUGUGGGCUUAUCGGACUUCUUUUCGCACCUCUAUAGGAGCCACACCCUACUCUUUGGUAUAUGGCAUGUAGGUAGUGCUACCCGUUGAGAUUGAGAUGGGUUCAUUGAGAGUAGCACUAGAGCAGCAGAUUCCUAAGGCAGAUUGGGUUCGGACUUGAUUUGAUCAGCUCAAUCUCCUAGAUGAGAGGAGAUGAGAGGAGAUUGAGAGCAGUCGACCACAUUUGUGCAUAUCAGAGAAAGAUGGCCCGCGCUUUUAAAAAGCAGGUCAAGCCCCGACCAUUACGGAUAAGUGACUUGGUUAUGAAAGUUAUCAGGGGAUUGAUCAAAGAUCCUAGAGGGAAGUUCAGACCCGACUGGAGCGGACCUUAUUUCAUCAGGGAGUUGACCCCAGAGGGCGUUGCAUGGUUGAUGGAUUUAGAUGGAAACCGAUUCUCAGAGCCAACCAAUGUGGAUCAGCUAAAGAGGUACUAUGUUUGAGACCAUGGUCGCAGGAUGGGUGGUCAUCAUUUCGGUUAACCAUAUACCUUGUUAUUCCCUUUUGAUACAUAGUCCGUUGUUAGCCCAUUGAGCCUCGCAUGUGCAUUAUAGCAUUUCUUUCUUAUCGCCUUGCUCACAUUUUCACACCGGGAUAGGGGCCCUUUAGUGUAUGCAUGCAUUGUUUGGGAGUUUCAUGAGCCUUGGACCUAGGAGCCCGUUCUUCUCAUUGUCUUUUCCUAUCACUGCACCUCUGCAUUUUCAUCUCAUCUCAUUGGUUGUGUUCCUCGUCUCUUCUUCCUUAUCCUAUCUACUACUUGUUUUAUUUCAUAUUCUCUCCACCCUGAGUGGUGAUCCUCCUCAGUUCAUCACAUGGAGGAUAGUCACAUCAUUUCCACCAUCUAUCUCAUGGACAUUGGUUUAGAGAUCCUUAGUUUGAGAAAGUCAUCUCGUCAGAGAGAGUUUCUGUUGCCUUAGAACUUGAGAUGGUGUCCAUCCAUUAUCGACAUCAUCCUUAGGGUUCAUUUGUUUGUGUUCAGGGUAUGUGUAUUUGUAUAUAUGUAAAAAAAAAAAAAAAAAAAAUUGAAAUGAUGAUGAAAAAGAAAAUGAAAAGAAAAGAAAAAUAAACACAUGUGUGUAUGUACGAAGUAUUCUCGAUCAUUGAGUGUGUAUAUUGAUAUCUGAGGGUCAUUUUUAUCGAGUAUGUUUGUUAUUGAGAGUCCGUAUGUGAGCUCUUUAGGAUUCUAUGUUAUUUGUAUUUGCUUUGUCAUAUCUCCUUGAGAGUGAGAUGAGUGACCUUCUCCUAAGGACUCCGAGUCAUUAUCCUUUCCAUCAUUACAUUCAUUAUUGAUGUGACUUCACUUCAUGUUUGAUUUGAGUCGAUGACCACCUUUCUUCGUAUAUUCAUUGUUUCACUAUCAUCUUCAUCAUUGCUUGUGAUUCAUCUCAUUCGCUUCACCCCCCUUGUUCUUUUCUUACACUGACCUAUUCCAGAUUUGACGUUUCCUUUUCAUCAUUCCUGCAUAUCUCGUUAUCAGUUUGAUUUGCCUUAUUGUCUUAUUAUUGACAUCAUAUUUGCGUUAGGCUUCCUCAGGUCCAUGGCUCAUGGGAUUUACUAUACAUGUUGCAUUUCAUAUAUGAGGGCAUAAGUUUAUGAUCAUUGGGUAUUUAAGCCUAGUUUUCCUUCAUUUCUAUUACCCUAUCACCCUAGCCUACGUUACGUCCCGCGUCUUAAGACCACCCUGAGGCCAUGAGAUCAGAUGUCAUCUUCGAUAGCCUCUACUUGGACAGGUGUUUGAGAUCUGGUUGAUAUUUAGAUAUCGUCAUACUUCUUCUUUUGGGAGUCGCCUCUUUGAUGGGUAGGUCUGAUUCAGUUGUGUUCGGAUUACCGGGAUCAUGCGUUUGACGAUGGAUGAUUUGGUGUCACCCGAUUUUUGACCUAUCGUACCUCUGGUGCCACACUAGGGCAUAUCCCAUCUCAUUUAGAGGUUUAUGGAUCUUCAUGGACUUGCAUGAUCAUCAUCACUUACUGGAUGCUCAUUGAGACGUGGACAUGAUUGUUACCUUAUCAUGAUUCCUUAGUGGAGCCUCCCGAGAGCCAUCUAGCUAGGUCCGCACUUCUUGGCACUUAGAUGCCAUCAUGCUUCUCCAUUCGGGAGGUACAUCUUGGAUUUGUGGACAUGAUUCAAUUAUGGAUUCGGAUGACCAAGACUACAUGUUUGAUGAGAGAUGGUUUUAUGUCACUUGUUCUUCUGACCUGUCACACAUCCGAUACCAUACUGGGGCAUAUUUCCAUUUCGGACGAGAUUUAUGGAUCUUCACGGAUGUCGCAUGUUCGAUGAUAUUUGAUUUCAUGUCGCCCAAUCUCCGACCUGCCAUGCGUUCAAUGCCAUAUUGGGGCAUAUUACUGUUCAGGAUGAGAUUUAUAUAUCUUGGUAGAGUUGCGCACUUAUCCCCAUUUGCGAGACGUACAUCGAGACAAUGAUCUAUUUGCUAUCUUUACGAUGAUUCCUCCGUGGAGCCUCUCUUGAGUCUUUUAUCCAGAUUCACGUUUUUUGAUAUAGUCAUGAUUCUUGGACGGAGUUAUCUCAGGCGCAUGGAUUCCCGCGUCACCAUUUCAGCGGAGUACAUGUUAGAUCCUUUGUACGUCCCCAUGGAGUUAUCCUUGAGUUAUCAGGACAGAUCGGAUAUAUCUGAUGCCAAUGCCAUACUGGGGCAUAUUUCCCUCAUUUAGCUAUGGAGAUGAUCAUUCUCUCACAGAUUUGUUACAGCUUUCAUUACUCGUCGAGAGAUGUUGCAUUUGCUUCACUGGUCACUAUUCCUGUGUUUUUUGUCGAGGUGAGCUUUCAGUGGAGCACGAUGUUCGGGUUUUGAUCGCCUCACUAUCUAGGACUAUUCAGUAGAUUGUUACUUUGGGAUUGAGACCUCAUGAUUUAGUUGGGAGGGUUGUGAGACUAUCUCAUAGUCGAUUUGAUUAUCCCGACUCGCUAGUAGAGCAUCGUUCGAGACUCGUAGAGUCCCUUUCAGCCAUUUCCAACGGAUUGAGAUUUGCAGUGGCAUGCCACAAUGGGGCAUAUUCCCCCCCUGAUCAUUUCCUUGCAAUUUGGCAUUCAGAGCCAUCGGUUAUUCAUGGUUUAGGACAUUCAGAGUCAUCAUGUCACACUUUCAGUUCGGCGUUCAGAGCCACUUCUCCAGUUUUGGCGUUUAGAGCCACCAUCGUUUUUCAUGUCCACUGGCAUUACACGUUUAACCUUCAUGGUUUCGUAUUCACCCUCACCUCACCUCGUUACCCUAUGCUUAUCACUUAUUCAUUAUUGCUCAUCCAAAUCCCUGUUCCACUGCACAUGAUACAAUCUCUUGAGUUCACGACACGUACUUUGAUCGUGUUGUUGGGCACUCUGCACUUGUCAUUUUCGUGUAGUUCAGAUGGGGUAGUCUUCUUUGGGCAUAGUCUUUUCCGUUCUCUAGAGUGGUUCGACCGUUACUCAUUUUCGAUAUGGUUUUUCGAGUCACUUUUGGAGACGUCUUAAAGAGAGUUUGGGUCCUUAGUGUGACUUCAGAGUCAUUUUGAGACAUUAUUUCGUUUUAGGAUUAGAGCCUUUAUGUUCGUCUAUUGACCUGAGUAAGUCUGUGUUUCACUGGUGUCCCUAUGGGGGUCUUCUUGGUUCUUCGGUAGAAUUCACUUCAUUCUACUCACUAUUCACACUUUCUUUUCACUCUAGUGUUCAUAUUCCUUACAUUUGUAAAUUCUACCGAAGAGGGGCAUAUUUGUAGACCCCCUUUCAAGAGCCAAAGACUAUUAGUUUUUUUUUUUUUUUUGAGAAAUUUUUAUAGCAUUGGAAGGAUGUUGUCUCACCACCUGGAAGAGUUGGCAGCACCUUAGAUAAGUGGGGGACCCUUUUUCCUACGCAUGGGACCAGCUGUAUGGACAUGGCAGGAAGCAUGGCCAGCUAUGAGGGUGGGUGAAAGAGGCCAUGUUGGCUGAUGGAGGAAUAGUGGAGAUGGUAAUGGCUUGCUGCGGAAGACAAAAACAGGGGGCUUGAGCUUGAGGGGGGGAGAGGUAAAAAAAGGGAGGCAAGACGGUUGGAAAACGAUAAAGAGAGGAAACUUCCUUGAGCUUGGUAAGUCUUCCGUCUCUCAACACCCUACUUCACCACCUGAUGAUAUAUGCAUAUUGUUUAUUGUUUGUCGUGGGUAUCAAGAGUCACAGGUUCGCACAUGAUCACUUUGCAUAAUAUGCUUUUUUUUUUUUUUCUUAUUUGUUUCAUCUUGACACCUCGAAUCCCCCUCUAUGAAUAACUGUUUUGUUUUUUUUUUUUGGAUUGGAUUGGAUGUUUGAUAUUUGAAUCGUGGGUUCCUAGUUUGUCCCACUUGGCGGUAACCCGUUCAUCGUCCAUGGAAUAUGGUGGUGUCAGAUAACUCCUCAAGUUCUUGCUGUGUUUUUAUUCAUGUAUUAUUUUAGCCAUUGCAUACCUCUCAUGCAUGCGACCACCUUCCCCACCCCAUUUCCAACGACUCUCUCUUUCUCUUUCUCUUUCUCUUCCUCCUCCUUUUCAUGCAUCUCUUCUUCGGUGGCGUGAGGCAUGCAGCGUUUUUAGACGUUGACAGAGGGUGGUGCCCACUUGAGGCUCACCCCCACCACCACUUUUGCAUUGGCCAGGGUGCCAUCGGAAGCAUGCGUUGCGGCGAUAGGAUGCUUGCCCCCCACCAGGAUCUGGUGUUACCGACACUACAAGAUCGACGCCAAUCAGAAGCGGUAUGCAGUGGCUUCCGCCAUCGCCGUCUCAGCCGCCUCCGCUCUCAUCGUCCUCGUUGCCCCCGAUGCCUUCACCGGCGGCGUAUGGUUCAGCACGACCAGCUCCGGCUAUGUGGGCGGUUGCACUAGCCACCACAGUGGCAACGUUUUCAUGGAUGCUGCUAGAUAGCCGCCACCCCUUCCCUCUCUAUUAUGCCGCUGCUGGUGGAGAUGAUGAUGCCCAGGUGGAGGGGCAGGCCGUGAUGGUGAUGGAGUCUUGGGCUUGCCCUUGGUGAUGGGUUUGGGUUUAAGUUGGAGCCCAACCCAAGUAUGUUGAUGGAGGGCAAUGCCUUCUCAACUAAGUGGGCUGUAAAGGUGAUGGAGCCUUAGGCUUGCCUAUGGUGACGGGUAUGGGCUUAAGUUGGAGCCUAAGCCCAAAGUUGCUAAUGAAGGGCCUCAUUGCUCCUUAAGCCAAUCACUCUCAUGGCCUAUGUCCAUUUUAAGAUAGCCCAUUUGGCUGCUUCAAUUCUAAAUAAGUUUUUAAACCUUUAAUCUUCGUAAUUAAUUAAUUUAUUCAUUCAUUUUUUAUUUUUCAUCUUAUUUCACUUUACCUAUCUUGUUAACUCAACUUAAACACAAUUAAAAGAUAAAUUAUUAGGAUGGAAUAUCGGUUUUUUUUUUAAGCUUAAAAUAAUUUGUAUUUCAUCUUCCCUUCUUUAUGUAUGACUAAUCAUCAGAUAUGAAAAUUUUUAUAUAAUUAAUUUAUGUUGGUCUCAAUGAAUUUUCUACAUUCCAAAUUUUAAAUCCCAUCUUCAAAACUUAUGUCCUUUAAAAGCCAUUUAUCGAAAAUUCCAUCUCCCUAAAUUAAUUUUCAAUCUCAAGAAUUGCUCCAUUCACUUUCAUUCGUUUAAAAAUCCAAUGUCCUAAUUUAAUUUUCAACCCUAAAAAUCCCACUAUUAUUUUUUAUUCGUUUAAAUGUUAUUUUCGUUAAUUAGUAUUAUUAUCCCAUAUCUAUUUAUUUAUUUAAAGUCCAAACCUUCAAAAAUCCAACAUCCAAAUUUAAUUUUCAAUCACAAAAUUUCUACUAUCUGAUUACUACCCAAAAAGUGCUAUUUUACACCUUUAAUGCAUUAUGUUUUAAGCACUUUUGUGUAGUAGUUCUCCAUCUUUAGUCCAAUUGGCAUGUUAAGGACCUAGCAAUGUCUUCUAAUCAUAUUUGUGGCUAGUUUUAAUGUUUUGACAGCUUUUUGGAUCAUUAAGACAAGUCAAGCAAAGGAGAGAAGCAAAGAGAAGCAAAGUGAAAAAAAAAUCAAGAUGUAGCAGCUGCAGUCUUCUUUCACACUUUUGGAGCACUUCCCGAAGUCCAUUUUUUACAUACUAUAUACCAUUUCAAAGCUCUGGAAGUCAAGAAUCCAACGCUUCAAACCGUGCACGAUUUGGAGCUGAAAUGAGGAAGAUAUGGCCUUUGGAAGCAAACUGCUCCAGGUUAUGCGAAAAUUUCGCAUUCCACAAGGUGUUAUGCGAAAUUCGCAUAACAUUCGCAUAACCCAUGCGUGUUACGAAUUUUGCUCUGCCUUUGCCGACUCCACUUUAGAUAUUUUCCUUUGUAUUUUGUGAUGUAAUUUCCUUUCUUAUCCUUGUAACUAACCAAUCAUAAGCUUUUGCUUUUGUAAAGACUUUAUAAGGGGUGGAAAUCACCUCUUGGAAGAUAUAGAAUACGUAUUACGUUUUUACACUGAGAAUUUUACAAAGCUCUCUCGUUUCUCUUUUCUCUUUAUUAUUUUCUUUUCCUUGGAAGCCAAACAACCUCUAAGGAUGUUUGCCCGGAGGAUGGGAGGCUAAACUUUCGGUUUCUUGGAGUAAAGGAAGCUAGGUGAAAAGUUCAGAUGAAAAGGUGGAAAGCUUCCAUGCAUUAAAUUCAGGUAGUUGGAAUUCAUAAAUGGCUUCUAAAUCCAAAGUUUUGCUUUAAACCCCUUAGAAUCACUUUGAAUGACCAAUACAUGGUAAGCUUUAGGUCUUUAUGGAUGCCUAUUGCUAGAUCCAUAUUAGUCCAUUAGUUAUCAUGUACGAGUCAUUGGAAAGUGAUUCAAGGUGAAGACCCAUAGUGUCUUAAGCCAUUAAUGGACCUUGACUACCAUUUCUAUUGAUCUUUUAUGGAUUAAAUCUUCAUUGUCAAACCUAUACCGAUUCGGGAAAUAACUAUAGGUUAAAUCCCCAAUGCGAGGAGAAAAAUCCGGAAUUUUCCACUUUCUAUUCUGAACUUGAUCCUAGCAACCCUUAGCUCCGGGAGACUUUCUUUCUUCCAUUUUUAAUUAGUUUAUGUUAGUUUAGUUUCAAACACUUUCAAAACAAAUUUUAUUUUCUUUUAAACUUUAAGUUUUUGAUUAAGGAAAUCAUUAAAUACAAUUUCUAAUUUUGAGUAUAUCACUGGUAGAAUGAAAACCCAUCCCAGAGUUCGACCCUAGAGCCACUAUACUAUAGUAGCUUUGCUACGUUAGUAUGAGGUCAUAGGUUUUAUAAAUGUUUUUUAUUAAAUGACCCAUUUGGAGUUACACGCGAAUCAAAAUGGCGCCGUUGUCGGGGAUGGUGCCACAAUACAAUGAUGCAACCUUUUAGAGGCUACUUGUGAUUUCCAUCACAAGUUUGGUGAAUUCCUUUUUCACUAACUUCAUUUCCUUUCAUUUUAUUUUUGUUAGGUUUAUUUUCAUUUUCUUUUUAACCUUAACUCUUUUCUAGGUUUCUUUUGUUUUUUUUAUUUUUGUUUUAUUUCAGGUAAGUAGUAACUUGUGCAUGUCCUAUUGGAUUCGGGACCAAAAGGGAAGAUUAGUAAGGAUUGAGAAUCCUCAAGACACAGAGUUGGAUAUUUGUGUUAACAUCAUGGACCCUCCACCAGAGGAUCAGAAUUCUCAACAAGGUUAAGGGGGUAAUCCUAAUGCAUACCUAUCCAUGAGGGAUAGAAUGCAUCCACCAAGGAUGAGUGCACCCUCAUGCAUCCUGCCUCCUCUUGAGCAGUUGGUUAUAAGGCCCCAUAUUGUGCCCCUUCUACCAAAUUUCCAUGGAAUGGAGAGUGAGAAUCCAUAUGCCCACAUCAAGGAGUUUGAGGAGGUUUGCAAUACCUUUAGAGAGGGAGGAGCUUCAAUAGACUUGAUGAGACUCAAGCUAUUCCCUUUUACUUUGAAGGACAAGGCAAAAAUAUGGCUUAAUUCUUUAAGGCCAAGGAGCAUAAGGAGUUGGGUUGAUCUUUAGGCCGAAUUUUUGAAGAAAUUUUUCCCCACCCAUAGGACCAAUGGGUUGAAGAGACAAAUCUCAAAUUUUUCUGCUAAAGAAAAUGAGAAGUUCCAUGAAUGUUGGGAAAGGUAUAUGGAGGCCAUCAAUGCUUGUCCUCAUCAUGGCUUUGAUACAUGGCUCUUGGUGAGCUAUUUUUAUGAUGGAAUGUCUUCUUCCAUGAAGCAAAUUCUUGAAACCAUGUGUGGGGGAGAUUUUAUGAGCAAGAAUCCGGAAAAAGCCAUGGAUUUUUUAAGUUAUGUUUCUGAAGUGUCAGGAGGAUGGGANNNNNNNNNNNNNNNNNNNNNNNNNNNNNNNNNNNNNNNNNNNNNNNNNNNNNNNNNNNNNNNNNNNNNNNNNNNNNNNNNNNNNNNNNNNNNNNNNNNNCAUUUCCUGUUGAUUUAAAUGCAAACUUCAUAUGGGAUCCGGGCAAGCUAAAUCCGGAUCCAAUUUUUUUAUGGACUUAGUCUUUCUAAAGACUAGCUAGUCCAUAUCUUUUUGUUUUAUUUUUAAACUUGUUUUAAUUUUGAUUUCUUGCUUUAAUUUUAUUUUGGUUUGAUUUAACUUAGUUUUUUUUAUGAUCUUGCUAUGGGGGCUGUUUUGGGACAAAGAGUCUUGCUUUAUGACUCUAAGCUUCAUCUUUUUCCGGGAAAAUUGAAAUCAAGGUGGACGGGUCCUUUCAUAAUUCAUGAUGUGCAAUCAAAUGGAGUAGUGGAACUACUCAACUUCAAUAGCACUCGAACUUUCAAAGUGAAUGGGCAUCGUCUCAAGCCCUAUAUAGAAUCAUUUUCCCGAGACAAGGAGGAAUUCAUCCUCCUUGAUCCACCUCCAACAUGAAAAUACUUGGUUUAUGGUUGAACUUAGUCUCUUCAAAAACUAAAAAGUUCAUCCUCUUUUUGUUUUCUUUUAAGUUGAUUUUAAUUUAAUCUAGUUUUUUCUUGUGUUUUUCCAUGUUUUGAUUUUUAUUUUUGACUUUAAUGCCGUUCUAAUGUGUUUUGAAUUGGUUUUUUGUGUUAACAUUCAGGUGGGAAAUCUUGAAGAAUGAAGUCAUGGUGAAAGCAAGGCAAAACAGGGGAGAAAAAACCAAGUCUCAGCCAUUUUCGCACAACAUUUCCUGUUAUGCGAAAUUUUCGCAUAACACACCCCUUAUGCGAAAAUGCUUUUGUGGCAAUUUCCAAAAAAACAUGCUCUCGGUCCCUUCCCAAAAUCCCUUAUGCGAAUUUCACAGGAAUGCGAACCUUAUGCGAACCUUGUGCGAAUUCGUUUUUAGGACAAAUUUUCAAAACCAUGCUCUCUGUCUGGGUACUCACAGGAAUGCGAAAUUUUCGCAUAACAUAAGGGGUAAUGCGAAAUUUGCAUUUCCUCUUUAAAGACCGUGUUCUCCUCUUCCCAUGCUCAAUUUCUUCUUCAUUUCUCAUAGCACCUCUCUUCCAAUCACCAAAUCCCUUCCUUAAGUUUCUUUUCUUCAUCAUUCCCCACUCUCAACACCACCAUGGCAGCCCAUCUCCAUAACUCCACCUCAUAGCCGCGGCAAUCACUAUUCAUCACCGUCCACCCCUUCAAUUUUCAGCUCUUUCCACCAUCAAAAACCUCCCAAUUCCUCACUCAACACUCUAAAUCCAGCCCUCAACCAAUUUCAGCCUUGUAUUCACCAAUUCAAAACCUCAAGCUAAGCAUUCAAGCCACGUUUUCUUCAAAGAGAACCCAUGGCCGCCGGGUAGAGGAGCUCCAAUUUUCAAAAUUUUUUCGUGAAAAAACUCCAAUUUCCAAGCCUAUUCACCAUGAAAAAUUCUUUUCUUACCUUAGCCAGCAUUUCCCACCCUCAGAAGCCAAAAAUUUCCACAAUUUGAAUGAGCUUCAAAACUUCAAGUGGGCGUGUGAAUAGUGCAUAUGCGAAAUUUUCGCAUUCCAUCAUGUGUUAUGCGAAAUUCGCAUAACCCCCCCCCCCCCCCCCCCCUUUCGCAUAUGCACUAUUCACACGCCCACUUGAAGUUUUGAAGCUCAUUCAAAUUGUGGAAAUUUUUGGCUUCUGAGGGUGGGAAAUGCUGGCUAAGGUAAGAAAAGAAUUUUUCAUGGUGAAUAGGCUUGGAAAUUGGAGUUUUUUCACGAAAAAAUUUUGAAAAUUGGAGCUCCUCUACCCGGCGGCCAUGGGUUCUCUUUGAAGAAAACGUGGCUUGAAUGCUUAGCUUGAGGUUUUGAAUUGGUGAAUNNNNNNNNNNNNNNNNNNNNNNNNNNNNNNNNNNNNNNNNNNNNNNNNNNNNNNNNNNNNNNNNNNNNNNNNNNNNNNNNNNNNNNNNNNNNNNNNNNNNCAUAUGCGAAAUUUUCGCAUAACCCCUACCUUGUGCCAAUUUUUCACUUUUUCCAUCUCUGCCCUCCCCAAUCCAAAGCCUGUGAGCCUCAUUUCAUUAUGCCUAAGACCCGAGGAGGACAUACCUCAGCUCCCCAGAGCAGUGAGAGAGCCGCCCCUGUGCGGGCCCCACUAGAUGCGCCGCCACAUUUAGCUGAUUCUGCCUCUCAGAGCAGAUACCAUACGAGGAGAGCAUCUGCCACACCUGUGGCCCCUACUCAGAUUCCACCUUGGGGUCCUCCUACAAAGAAAGCCAAGACUUCAAAGCCAGGAGAGUCCUCUAGAGCACCUCGGGAUUCACAGUCUCAGCCGCCUUCCACCAGACGCCCUAGACCCAGCUCGCCCAUUGAGGGCAACUCAGAUUGCCGAUCCAAAGCAUUUCAUGUCGAGGCAUAUUUUGAGCACACUAUUUUGCGCCAGCAGACUGACUUGCGUGAUUCAUACAUCCUACUUGAGAGGUACCAUCUUGUACCCUUUAUGACUCCACCCCAGUUCUUUUAUCCUCGAGUAGUUUUAGACUUUUACUAGUCUAUGACUACUCGUGGCGUCCCGGUACCAGCCUCGAUACUUUUUACCAUUGAUGGACGCCAGGGUAUUUUGGGGGCUCGACAGAUUGCCGAGGCUUUCCAUAUCCCUUAUGCACCAGCUGAUCCCACUGCAUUUAGACACUGGGCCCCACUUUCUGAGUGGGACAUGGUUCGUAGCCUAUCUCGAGGGACAUCUUCCCAGAGGACCAUUUUCAGGAGGGAGCUUCCCCCAGGGAUGCUUCUAGUUGAUGUGGUGCUUCGCACCAACCUUUUUCCUCUUCAGCAUACAGUACAGAGGCGAGGGGCCAUUUUAGAGGCAUUAUUUCGUAUCUAUGAGGGCUACUACUUUGGUCCUCAUCAUUUGAUUAUGGCUGCUCUCCUCCAUUUUGAGGAAAAGGUGCAUAAGCGGCGUCUUACGAGGGCGGCCUCCAUUCAGUUACUUUUCCCUCGGCUGCUAUGCCAUGUUUUGGCACAUAUGGGUUUUCCUGCAAACCCUCAGGCUGAGCCCCGCCGCCAUUGUCGAGAGAGCUUCUCUCUUGAACAAUGGACUCAGCUAUCGCUCCAUCAGCAUUCCCCAGAACUUCUCGAGCCAAGGGAAGUCCCUCCUGCUCCAUCCACUUCAGCUCCCUCGGAGCCUGUACCAGAGGCAGCAUCAUCUGAUGCCCCACCUACUGUUCCUCCUACCGCAGAGCCGCCCAUAACCCAUGCGUGUUGCGAAUUUUGUGAUGUAAUGUGUGUUGCGCAUUACAUCACAAAAUACAAAGGAAAAUAUCUAAAGUGGAGUCGGCAAAGGCAGAGCAAAAUUCGCAACACGCAUGGGUUAUGCGAAUGUUAUGCGAAUGUUAUGCGAAUUUCGCAUAACACCUUGUGGAAUGCGAAAUUUUCGCAUAACCUGGAGUAGUUUGCUUCCGAAGGCCAUAUCUUCCUCAUUUCAGCUCCAAAUCGUGUACGUUUUGAAGCGUUGGAUUCUUGACUUCCAGAGCUUUGAAAUGGUAUAUAGUAUGUAAAAAAUGGACUUCGGGAAGUGCUCCAAAAGUGUGAAAGAAGACUGCAGCUGCUACAUCUUGAUUUUUUUUCACUUUGCUUCUCUUUGCUUCUCUCCUUUGCUUGACUUGUCUUAAUGAUCCAAAAAGCUGUCAAAACAUUAAAACUAGCCACAAAUAUGAUUAGAAGACAUUUCUAGGUCCUUAACAUGCCAAUUGGACUAAAGAUGGAGAACUACUACACAAAAGUGCUUAAAACAUAAUGCAUUAAAGGUGUAAAAUAGCACUUUUUGGGUAGUAAUCACUAUCCAAUUUCGCUCAUUUAAAUAUUAUGUUUGUUAAUCAUUAUUAUUAUUUUGUAUGUAUUUAUUUAUCCUCUUGUAAAAAUCUCAUUUAUUAAAGUCCAAUCCUUCAAAAAUCCAAGGUUCUAAUUUAAUUUCCAAUCCUAAAAAUUCCACUAUUAGUCUAAAUGUUAUUUUCCUUAAUUAGAAUUAUUAUCCUACAUUUAUUCAUUUAUUUAAAGUCCAAUUCUUCAAAAAUCCAACGUCCUAAUUUAAUUCUCAAUCUAAAAAAUUCCACUACUCAUUUUUUAUUCGUUUAAAUAUUAUUUUUGUUAAUUAGCAUUAUUAUUCCACAUUUAUUUAUUUAUCCCAAUCAUUAAGUUUAAUCCUUUAGAACCCGACUUCCAAAUUUAAUUUCCGAUCUCAAAAACUCCACUAUUCAUAUACCGUUGUUUAAUGAUUAUUCUCGUUAUUAAUGUUACCCCAUCCAUUUAUUUAUUUAGUUAUUCAUAUAUCAAAUAUCUCAUCUCUAAAUAAAUUCUCAAAUUUUCAAUCUCUAAGUUUAAUCCCCAAUCUCUAAAAAUUCCAUUUUUCGCAAUCGUUUACCUGAUCUUUAUUAUUUCACCAUCGUUAUUAUUACAUUCAUUUACUUAUUCACUCAUCCACUUAUCCACUUAUUUAAAAUCUCCCCUCUAAAUAAUUCUUCAAAUUUCCAAAUCUCUAAAUUCAACUGCCAAUUUCCAAAAUUCCCAUCUUCGUGAUUAUUUAUCCAAUCGUUAAUAUUUUUGUUAUUUUAUUCAUUUAUUUAUUCGAUUAUUCGUUUGUUUAAAAUUCCAUCCCUAAGUAAUUCAUCAAAUUUCCAAUCCCUAAGUCCAAUUUCCGAUUUCUAAAACCCUAACUUCAUCAAUUACUCACCCAAUCAUUAUUAUUUCGUCAUUAAUAUUAUUCCGUUCAUUUAUUUAUUCACUUAUUCAUUUAUUUAAAAAUUCCGUCUUUAAAUAAUUUUUCAGAAUUCCGAUUUCCAUAUUUAGUUAUUUGAAAUUCCAAUUUUCCAAUUUUUGAACUUAAUUUUCAAUUUCCAAUAUGCCAAUUCUCGCAUUUAUUCCAUUACUUAUUAUUAUUAUUAUCAUUUUAUCCGUUUAUUUCUAAAAACUCCGCCUUCGAAUGAUUUCCAAUUUUUAUAAUUCAAUUUUCAUAGUUUCUGCUUCUCAAAUAACUUUCAAUUUUGAUUUCUUUCAAAAAUUUAAUUUCCAAGGUCCCAAUUUUCGUAAUUUAAUUUUUAAAAAUCCCAAACUCUCAAAUCAUUUUCAAAAUCCCUAUCUUUUUCGAAUUUAAUUUCUAAAAUUCUCAUUCUUACAUUUAAUUUCUAAAAGUCUGAUCUUCAAAUAAACUCUAAAACUCCAAUUUUCAAGUAAUCCUUGAGACUCCAAUUUUUCAAAUAAAUUUCAAAAAUCCAAUUUUCUCUCAAAUAGUUUUACUCUGGUUUUCAAACAAUCUUCUGAUCCUCUUGAUUUUAAUAAGUUUGAAUGAAUUUUUCAUAAUUCCAUAAUAAUGGAAUUUGUGACAUUAAUUCAUGCAAAAUAAACGGGUUUUGGUGGGAGCCCUACAUAAGUGAUUUUAUAAUUGAUUGAUUGAUUGAUUGAUUUGAUUAUCACACAUGAUUGAUUCAUUCUGCUCUAUGACAUGCAUGAGAUUAUUCUUUUAAUCGUAUGCUAACCCUAUUUCCUGAUGGCGCAUUGAUCGAUUGACGCCAAGUUAUGCCCCGUUCUCACUUCGGUCGUUCUUUAUUGAGUGUUUUGAUUCCCCCAUGUGCACAAUUACCCUGAGUAUUCAUUGAUUUCCUCAUCAUUGCCACAUUAGCUUUGUUUUAUUAGUAGGGACCCAACUUUAGGGACUUAGAGGGGUGCUACAGUUAACCUGACUCCCGAACCCAAUCCGGUUUUUCAUAGACCACCUUUUCCAAAAUAAGGAGUCACACUUACAGUUUUCUUUCUUAUUUUGUUUACCCUUUUAAAAAUAAAACAAAAAUAAGUGGUGACUCCAAGUCAUAUUUUUUUAAUAAAUAAAAUCAUUUUCGAACAAAAAUCGAGCUCGCCAUCGAGUGGAAAUCGCUUUGUACAAAAUGCGGGGUCCACAAUAUCUCAUAUCUUUAUUACUACUUAUUAAAAAUAUAAAAACUAAUUUUCAAAUAUUAAAUUAUUAAUAUCGUACAUCUUUUAAUUUACCUCUAAAAUAUAAAAUAAUUUUUAAAACAUAAAAGAUAAUCUUAUAUUAAUAUUACAAUAUAUUUGAUAUAUUUAUUUAUAAAUAUUAUUUAUGGAUUAAUAUUGUAUUAUUAACUAAAUUAUUGCUAUAUAUUUUUAUUUUAUAUAUUAUUUUAAAUAAUUUUAAUUAUUUAUAAAUUAUUUAAAGGAAAUAAUUUAUUAUAUAUAUAUAUAUAUACAUAAAAAACUCUCAAAUUUAAUUUAAAUUUUCUCACCGAAUGUGGUAAAAAAUAAUUCACAAAAGUUUUGUGUAUUUAAGAUAAUAAAAUUAAAUUUUCAUAAUUACUAAUUACCUUUUGAAAGUGAAUGGGUUCUAAGUUUAUAUUAAAAAGAAAAAAGUCAAGGAUGACACUAAUAUGAAGUAAUGUGGAAUAAAUUAUUACUAAAUAUUUUAAAUUUAAUAAUUAAAAUUUAUUUUUAAUGUAUGAAUUUAGAUGUAAAGAAUUUAUUUUGAAGCAGUGAUAAAUAUAAAACUAAAAAUCUAGAUGACUAUAAAAAAAAUUAUAUGAAGGAGUGAAUGGCAGAAAACUAAUCAUUUAAAUGAUUAUAUAAAAAAAAACACACACAAUAUAGAUGUUAUUUCAAAUCUAAUCCAAUUUAAAGAACUUAUUUAAAAUAAUGAUUAUUAGAAAACAAAUAAGAAAACAAAUCCAUAUAUUAUUUUAGUUUUUAUUCAAUAUAAUGAUAAUACGUUUAUUGUUAAAAAAAUAAUUUCCAAACCUUAAAUUAUUGAUAUGCUUCAAAAAUUCUAACUUUGAAAAAUCUAUUUGAAGUAGUGAUUAGAAUGUAAAAAUUUAAAAGUCUAAAUGCCUAUAAAAAUCAAAUGCACAAAGUACUAACAUAAAAAUUAUAUAAUGAAAGCUAUUGGAUAUUUUGGUAAUUAUGGGCUUACAUAUUAACAUAUUGUAUAUUAAGCUAUCUUAUUUUUGGGCCUAAUUAAAUCUGAUCAAUUAAGUUAAUGAUGGGCUUUUAAAGCAUCUCUCUAUAUAUAUAUGGACUGUAUGGGUUUUGCAAUGUGUAGAGACCAAUUUUAUUUUAUUUAUUAAUGAUGAGCCAAUAAAUAAAAUAAAAUAAUAAGGGGUAUAAAUAGGGUUAUGGUCCCUAGUUUAAAUGAGAGGAGAUAGAGAAAUUACUAAUAAUUCAUAUCCCAUGAGUGAGUGAUUUCAAGGCUACAAUACUCGUUUCAGACGUGGAAGACAAAACCCAAGUACAUAAUCUCAAUGGAUUCAGGUAUGUUUUUCAAUAUCAUUAUCUUAUAGAUUUAACAUGAGAUUCUAACAUUUUUAUUGUCUAAAUGAUUAGAUUAUAUAAUCAUUAUGUAUGAUUUGUGUUUUUCCAACAAGUGGUAUCAGAGCCACUUUUGUUAAAUCUAUUAUGUUUUAAUUAAAGUUGUUUCAUGGUGGAUGGAGUUUUAUGAAUCUGAUUUCCAUUCAGUCAUCCACCAUUUUUUAUUUUUUAUUUUUGUGUUUGGUUGUAAGGAAAAUUUUCUUUAAUUUGGAUUCCCCAGAUUUUCCGUUGUAAAUAAUUUUAUAAAUUAUUAUUUUCAAUAAAUAUCAAUAUUUUUAUCAAAAUAUAUUUUCUAUAGGAUUAUUUGCAUAUUUUUCGAGAUAAAAUAUAAGAAUUUUUGAGAAUUUUGGGGAUAAAGAUGAAGUGGUUGGGUGAUAAUGACCUAUUUUUUUUUUGUCAUUAUCUUGUUACAUUUUGAUAAGCCUUUUUAAUAAGGUCACUUGAACAUUAUGCUUAAGUCUUUUAAUUAAUAAGGUCAUUUAGACAUUGGGCCUAAGUCUUUUAAUAGGGUCAUUUGGACAUUGGGUUUGAGUCAUUUAAUAAGGUCAUUUAGACAUUAGGACUGAGUAUUUUAAUAAGGUCAUUUGGACAUUGGGCUUAAGUCAUUACAUUGGGUUAUUUGGAUUGUUAGACCCAAGUCCAUUUAAGUUGGGUAAAGUAAUGGGUAGGAUCAGACAUUUGACCGACCCAUUUGACCAAUCCAGUUGGACCUUUGAUUGACUCGUUUGAUCAAUCCAACUAGAUCUUUAACUGACCCAUUUGACCAACCCAAUUGGAUCUUUGAUUGACCUGUUUGACCAAUCCAAUGGACCGUUGACCAAAAAAAAAACUUUUCAUGUUUAAAAUCCAGUAUUUCAAUAUAAAUUAAAUUGAAAUUAUAUGUCACCAAAGUGACCUUUAUUAUGUAAAUUAUUUAUCUUGAAGUAUGUGGAUUUUAUUAUGGAAUUCUAUGAGUAGUAUCUAAAUUUAUGCAUAAAAUAAUCGGCCCAAAGGAAGGCUACUUUUAGUUAGAUUUUAGACACUUGUGGUAUUAAAUAUGUGAUAUUUUGGUGAUGUCCAUGCAUGCAAUAAGUGAAUCCAAAGAUGGGCAUAUUGCUGAUAGGAUUUGUUACCAGUAUUUAUUAACUACUUUUUAUAAUAGUACCAUUUACAAAUUGUUAUUUUUGUCUAAAGACUAAAUAUCAAUGUUGUGUUAGGUAUAUUAUAAGAGCCCAUCUUAUUGUUUUUAUGUCAUAUGUAUACAUGUAGUUAAUAUUUACAUGCUUAAAGUAAAUGACAUUGUUGUAUAUUGUGAGCUUAUUAUUUUAUUUUGCAUACAAUUAAUGCUUCUGUUAUAUCUACCAACAUAAACAAUCUUCUAGUGCUUAAUGUCACUAACUUCGAAAAAUGGAAAGACCAUAUUACUAUUUUACUUGGGUGUAUGGAUCUAGAUUAUGCAAUCUGGACUAAAUGACCUCCUGCCCUUACUAAUGACAGUACUACAAAACAAAGGGCUAACUUGGAGAAGUGGGAGUAUUCUAACCGCAUGAGUCUUACGAUCAUGAAGCACUCUAUUAUAGAUACCAUCAGGGCAUAAUGCCUAAAGAGGAAAAUGCUAAGAGUUUCCUAAGCUAAAUAGCAUAUCAAUUUGUUGGAUUUGAAAAGGUUGAAACAAAAACCAUUUUGUCUAAGCUUGUUUCAAUGUGAUACAAAGGCAAAGGGAACAUAAGAGAGUGCAUUAUGGAAGUGUCUAAUCUUGUUACUCGAUUGAGGGCACUAAAGUUGGAGUUAUCUGAUGACAUUCUUGUGCACCCGGUCUUGAUCUCUCCCAUUGCACAAUUUAGUGCUUUUGAGAUAAGUUAUAAUACUCAAAAAUAAAAAUGGACUCUUAAUGAGCUCAUUGUUCAAUGUGUGUAAGAGGAAGAAAGAUUGAAACAAGAAAAGAUAGAAAAUGCUCACUUAGCUACUGCCUCUCAUGACAAUGUGGCAAUAGGAAAAAGAAAAGAAUAGUAACAAUAAAGGAAAAUGAGUUGCAGAUAGUGAGACCUCAUAGCCUAAGGUGCAACAGAAAUAAGAUAAGGUCAUCACUUAUUUCUUUUGCAAGAAAUGUGGACAUGUGAAAAAGGAUUGUCCUAAGUAUGCAAAAUGGCUCAUAAAAAAAGGUUAACUUCUCAACUUUGUUUGUUCUGAAGUUAACUUAGCUUUAAUACCAAAUCAUACUUGGUGGAUAGAUAUAGGUGCAACUACUCACAUAAGUGUGACAAUGUAGGGUUGUCUAAGGAGUUGAGUACCAAUUGGUGCUGAAAGAUUCAUCUAUAUGGGAAAUGGAAACAAAGCUCAUGUUGAGGUGAUUGGUUUAUUUAGAUUGCAAUUAGAAUCUGGUUGUUAUUUGGAUUUGGAUGAGACUUUUUAUGUACUAUCAUUUAGACAGAAUUUGGUAUUUGUUUCUUAUUUGGACAAAUCAGGCUACUCUUAUUCAUUUGGAAAUGAAAAAAAUGAGUUUGUUUCAAUAUUCAAAUAUGAUUGGUAUGGGUUCAUUGGUUGAUAAUAUAUUUAAAUUGGAUAUUAGUGUCUCACAUAUUAAUGAAUCCUUGCAUGUAAGUAAUUGUGGUACAAAACAUAAAUUAACUGAUGAGAAUUCUUUCAUGUUGUGGCACAAGCAUUUAGGACAUAUUUCUAAACAAAGGAUUUAAAGACGUGUGUCAAAAGGAAUUCUUGAUUCCCUUAACUUUUUGAAUUUGAAAAUAUGCAUUGAAUCCGUUAAGGGAAAACAAACAAAUGUAAAAAAAAAUUAGUGCCAACAAGAGUUCAGGUGUUGAUUCGACUCAUGGUAGCUUAGCUUUAAAGGCGUAUCAACAAAAUUUAUACCUUAAAUACUAUUACUAAAGUAGCCAAGCUACUAUAGCAUAGUGGUUCUAGGAUCGUUCACUGGGAUGGGUUUUCACUUCACAAAUGAUAUUAAUUCAAAGAUGAAUUGGUGCCUUUUCAUUUCAAGGUUAGCUUUAAAAGAAAACAUAAAGAUGUAAAUGUUUUAGAAAGAUUUAAACUAAUCUAAGCUAACAUUAAAGAUUAAAAUGAAAGGGUGUAAAAACAAGUUUCUCAAAGAUAGGAUAGCUAUGCUCUGGCUCUUAUGCAAAUUGGAAAUCUCAGGAUAGGCUCCUCGCGUUGGGGUUGCAACUAUGGUGAUGCUUGCUUCCCGAACCGGUAUGGAUUUAGCAAAUCAAGUUUUAAUCCUUUAAAAUGGCAAAACAGAUGGUAGUGAAUUUCAUCAAUGGUUAUUCACCUUAGACUUCCUUUAAAUGGCUCGUAAGAGAUAACUAAUGGUCUAAAGCCAAAAGCUUACCAAAUAUUGGCAACUCAAAGUCAUUCCAGGUGAUAAACUCACCUUUCAAUGGUCAUUGAAAUUGGUUCUAACAGAUUAAUGCAAAACUUGGAAUUGAAAACCUCACCUUCCAAUAGCUCGUAGGAGAUAACUAAUGGAUAAAAAUCCAAAAGCUUAUCAAGUAUUGGCCGUUGGAAGUUGUCCAAAGGAAAUAAAAACCAAACUUUGCAUUAAUGAACCAUUAAUGAAAAACGACUACCUUACCUUCCAGGUGCGAGAAAUUUCCAUGGGAUUGCAUCCAAGUCAUUACAUAACAUCCAUACUUUGAGAAACUAAAAGUUUUAGCCAAUCAUCCUCUGAGGAAAAGCCCUCAGAGGCUGUUUGGCUACUAAGAAAAUAAAAAUGGGGAAGAACAGGAGAAGAGAGAAAAAAACAGAGCAAGGCUCUGUAUAUUCUAUAUAUUGAUCGAUAUUACAUAUAUGAUUCCUUGAGAACAAGCUCCCGAGAGCUAUAUAUAAAGAAAACUACAAAACAAAAUAUUUGAGGUUAUUCACCCCUUUCCCAAACUUAAUAACUAAGGAAUCCUAUAAUUGGUGGGUUACAAUGAGAAAAUGGGGUUUUUGACAUAAAAAAUCUGAAGCAAAAUAUCCAAAAGUGUUGGUCGCAAAUAUCGGGAAGCUUCAGGAGAAUUUCGCAGGCGCGCAAAAUGGCUGCGAAAUUUCGCAGCCAAAGGCUGAUUUCGCAGCCCUGCGAAAUUGGCCUUCAGCUUGAAGUGAUCUGCUUCCAAUGGCUCUAACUUCUUCAUUUCAACUCCGAUUCGUGAACCGUUUGAAGCGUUGGAUUGUUGACUUCCUGAUCUUCGAAACGACAUAUAGUAUGUAUAAAUUGGACUUCAGGAAGUGCUCCAAAAGUGGCUGAAAUGACUGUCAUCAAGAAUGCUUCAUGGCAGAUAUUCUCUUUACUUCCCCUUCUUGCAUUCCGGAUUUGCUUAUGGCAAAGGACUUCAAAGAUUUGGUUCUUCAUGUUUUUGAGCUUUCCAUUGCUUUGCCAUGGAUUCCAAAUAACUCUCCUCAAUCUCAUAUUGCUUUGGUGAUCAAAAAGCUAUCAAAACACCAAAACUUAACACAAAUUGAUUAGAAUUGAUUGCAAGGGUCCUUAACAUGCCAAUUGAGUUAAAAGGUAAUAAAUACUACUCAAAAGUGUUUAAAAGAGUUAAUUACAAGCUAUCAAAUAGCACUUUUUGAGUAGUAAUCAGGUGUCUUGGAAUUAGUUCAUACUAAUAUUUGUGGUCCAUUCCUUAUGGGUUCUUGGAAUGUCAAUAGUAUUUUAUUACUUUCAUAGAUGAUUAUUCUCGUUAUGGGUACCUAUAUUUGAUUCAUGAGAAGUCUCAAUCGUUUGACGUUUUCAAAUCUUAUAAAGUUGAAGUUGAAAAUCAACUUGGAAAGAAAAUUAAAGAUGAUAAAUCUUACCGUGGUGGUGAGUACUAUGGUAGAUAUAAUGGAUUAGGUGAACAAAGUUUAUGACCUUUUGUGGCAUACUUACAAGAAUGUGGCAUUAUUCAUCAGUACACCAUGUCAAGGACUCCAAGUCAAAAUGGUGUAGAACAGGACCUUGAAAGAUAUGGUAAGAAGUAUGAUAAAUCAUUCUUCUAGAAUCACUUUGGGGAGAAGCCAUAAAAAUUGUAGUUUAUAUCUUUAAUCAAGUUCCAAGCAAAGCAGUAGCUAAAACCCCAUAUGAGCCAUGGAUUGGAAAAAAGCGUAGUAUUAGGCAUUUUCAUGUUUGGGGUUAUCCAACUGAGGCAAGACUAUAUAGGCCUAAUGAAAGAAAAUUGGACUCAUGAAUAGUAAGUUGCUACUUUGUUGGGUACUCAAAAAGGUCAAGGGGUUUUAAGUUUUAUGAUCCCUCGAGCAAAUCCUUUUUUGAGAUGGACAAUGCUAAAUUCAUUAAGGAUGUUGAAUAUAGUGGGAGUACUAGACUCAUGAGCUUUGUCUUUGAAGAGGAAUAUAUUAUUAUUCCUAUAGUUGCAAUUGAAAAUGUUCAGGUAACUAUGCUUGACAUUAUUCAGGAUGCAAAUCCAGAAAAUCUAGACACUCUUGAGUUACCUCCUACUCAUAUGAAGAACCUUUUCCUAUUGAUGAGGAGGAACAACAACAACCUCAAUUGGAAAUGCCAUUAAGGAGAUCCACUAGGUAGAGGAUAAUGGCAAUUCUAGAUGAUUAUAUCGUGUAUCUCCAAGAACAUGAGUUUGAUAUGAGACUAAAAGAUGAUCCAAUAUCUUUUAGUCAAGCCAAAAAAAGUGUAAACUCCCAUAAAUGGAUAGAGGCCAUGAAAGAUGAGAUGAAAUCAAUGAAAGACAAUAAUGUUUGGGAUUUUGUCGAAUUGCCUGGAGGAGCAAAACUGAUUGGUUGUAAAUGGAUUUAUAAGACCAAACAGGAUUCAAGAAGCAAUGUUGAAAGAUAUAAGGCACGUCUAGUGGCCAAAGGUUUCACUCAAAAGGAAGACAUUGAUUAUAAAGAGACUUUCUCUCUAGUUUCAACGAAAGACUCUUUUAGAAUCAUUAUGGCACUUGUAGCUCAUCAUGAUUUGGAGUUACAUCAAAUGGAUGUGAAGAUUGUGUUUCUCAAUGGUGACAUUGAAGAAACCAUAUACAUGGUGCAACCAUAGAAUUUAGAAUCCAAAUAGUCAAAACAUCUGGUAUGCAAAUUAAAGAAAUCCGUCUACGAUAUAAAGCAAGCAUCUCAUUAUUGGUAUUGAAAUUUUGAUGAAGUGAUUACCUCUUUUGGUUUUAAGGAAAACAUUGUUGAUCAAUGUAUUUAUCAAACAAUUAGUGGGAAUAAAUUUAUUCUUCUGGUAUUAUAUGUCGACGAUAUUUUGCUAGCAAGCAGUGAUAUAGGCCUGUUGCAUGAAACUAAGAGAUUUCUUUUAGAUAAUUUUGAAAUGAAAGAUCCUAGUAAUGCAUCAUUUGGGUUGGGCAUAUAGAUUUAUUGAGAUUGUUCUCAUGGUAUUCUUGGCUUAUCACAAAAGGCAUAUAUUGAUAAAGUUCUUAGUAGAUUUGACAUGAAGGAUUGUACACCAGGAGAUACCCCCAUUGCUAAGGGUGAUAAAUUCAAUUUGCUUCAAUGCCCAAAGAACGAAAUUGAGAAGAAAGAGAUGGAGAACAUCCCUUAUGCAUCAAUAGUAAGGAGUCUCAUGUAUGCUCAAGUUUGUACAUGUCCGGAUAUUGCGUAUAUAGUUAGUAUGCUUGGCAAAUAUUUAAGUAACCCAAUAAUGAUAUAUUGCAAGGCAACAAAAUGGGUCAUGUGGUAUUUCUAGAGAACAAAAGAUUUCAUGCUCACAUAUUAGAGAUCUAAUCAUUUAGAGAUCAUAAGGUAUUCUAACUCCGACUUUGUUGGUUGCAUUGAUAACAAAAUAUCUACUUCUAGCUAUGUUUUUAUAUUGGCUGAAGGAGCUGUCUCACGGAAGAGUGUUAAGCAAUCACUCAUAACUACUUCCACCAUGGAAACAAAAUUUAUAGUUUGUUAUGAGACAUCGAACCAAGCAAUAUGGCUACGGAAUUUUAUCAUUGGAUUGCAUAUUGUUGAUGGCAUUGAGAGACCAUUAAGAAUAAACUAUGAUAACAAAGUUGUAGAAUUAUAUUCUAAGAACAACAGAAGCUUGUAAAAAUCAAAACAUAUUGACUUGAAGUUUUUGGUUGUUAAGGAGAGAGUUUAGAGUUUUCAGGUGUCUAUUGAACAUACUAGUACAAACUUCAUGAUUGCGGAUCUGCUUAACAAAGGUGUACCACCUAAAGUAUUUCAUGAGCAUAUGGCUUGUAUGGGUGUGGUUCAUCUUGGUGAUAUGAUUAUGUAGUGGGAGUUUGUUAAUUGAUGUUCAUUAGUUAAUGAAAUGUUUUUUUAAUCAGACUUAAGUAUUAUUCUUGUUUUGCUUAUUGAAAACUCUGAAAUAAUGUUAUAUUCUUUCAAUUGCAGUUUUGCAUAAAGUUUGAAAGUGUGUUGAACUCUUCUGAGUUAUAAAGUUGGACCAGUUGGAAAUAGGCAUGAUAUUGGAUCACAUUACAUGGAAUUUCCAUGCUACACAUUCAUACUUGAUCUAUGUCAUUGAUUGUAUUAAUGUGGUGAUCAUUGUUGGGUCUAGUUAUAAAACAUGUAAUGAAGAUCAUUUUGGUUCUAUAUUGGUAUAAUUGAUGGACCAGAUUGUUUUGAGAUACUUACAAUUAAAAUAGCAAAUAUUGAGCUCAUUUUUGUAAUGUUCAAUUGUUUAAUGACAUAUGUGGCCCAAGUGGGAGAUUGUUCGAUAUUUUGGUAAUUAUGGGCCUACAUAUUAACACAUUGUACAUUAAGCUAUCUUAUUUUUAGGCCUAAUUAAAUGUGAUCAAUUAAGUUAUUGAUGCGAUUUUAAAGCAUCUAUAUAUAUAUAUGGAUUGUAUGAGCUAUGCAAUGUGUAGAGACAAAUUUUAUUUUAUUUAUUAAUGAUGGGCCAAUAAAUAAGAUAAAAUAAUGAGUAUAAACAGGGUUAGGUUCCCAGUCUAAACGAGAAGAGAUAGAAAAAUUGCUAAUAAUUCACAUCCCAUUAGUGAGUGUGUAGACUUGUAUUUUUGCUCGAUGCGUUCCUACUCGACAAUGAAACUCGUUUUUUUAUUUAUUUUGUGAAAAUUUUGAUUUAAAAAAAAAAGACUUGGAGUCGCCACUUAUUUUUGUUUUAUUUUUUUAAGGGAAAAAUAAAAUAAGAAAAAAAAAACCCUAAGUGUGACUCCUAAAGGAAAAACAGGUUUGUGAAAAACCGAGUCUAGGUUUAAUGGUCAGGUUACUUAUCGAGAAGGUACGGUGGUGAUCCGUAGCACCCUUUUAAACCCGUAUACGUACGACCUCUACUAAAUGAAUUAAGGGAAUUGUGGCAAUUAAUUAAGUAAUUAUGGAUACCAAAAAAAAUAAUCGUGCAAAUGAGUAUGUACAAGUCAUAGUGAAAAUUAAUAUAUAAAAAAAAAUAAUGAUGAAAUCUAAUUGUCGGAAUACACAAAAUAAAUGACAAGAGGAUUAUGCAAAAAUAACCUAUUGAACUAAAUAAAAAAAAAGAUAUUAAAAAAAAUAUUUUUCAAGAAAUUUCAAAGGAUUUUAUAAAAAAAUUAUUUUGAAUUAAUAAUUUCAAUUUAUUUAUUUACAAAAAAAAGUCAAUUUAUUUUAUCAAUUUUAUCUGUAUUUAAUUUUCAAAAAAUGUUAUUUACACUUAUUGUAUCAAAAGAAUUUAUUACAAAAUUUCAAUUUGGUAACAAAAAUUAUUUUUACUUGUUUUUACAAAAAAUGAAUGAAUUUUUACAAUUUGAUUUAUAAAAGUAUUUCAAUUUGUUUUCAUUUAAGAAAAGUGAUUUAUACAAAUUAUAUAUAUAUAUAUAUAUAUAUAUAUAUAUAUAUAUAACUUUAUUUGCAAAAGAAUUUUUUAAUUAAAAAUUAAUUUUUGGGACAACUUUAUUUACAAAACAAUUUUUGGACAAUUUUGAUGAAACAAAGAAAUUUUUGGAUAACUAUUAUUAAAAACAAAAUUUCAAAUUCUAUAAAAAACAUUUUUUUUUUGGAUUUUUCUAAAAUCAUUUUUUUGAAUUUUUAUUAAUAAAAAAUUUUCUUUUAUUAAGAAGAAUAUUUAACAUUAUUAUUUUAUUAAAACAUAUUUACUGAAUUAUUCAUCUUAUUUAAACAAAAUUUCCGAUUUGUUCGAUGUUCAAUUAUGUUCAUAGUAAAUAAAUAUAUAUAAACAAAUAUUUACACAAACCAAUAAAAAUAAAACCAAAUAAUAGUGGGAAAUAAAAUGUGUACCCAAACAAGCUUACAAUAGGUUCAAUGUCUUCCUACAGCUUUUCGAGUCCCACUUUCUUCCAUUAAAUUUCGUGCUCCACGUGUCAUAAAUUCGUACUCAACCAACAAUAUUCCAGAAUGGGUCCAUGCAAAAACAAAAAUAGUCCAAAUGUAAAUAUCCAAAAAUAUGUAGAGUCCAAAAUAACUAUUUAAGCCCAAAUUCAAACUUUAAAUUAGCCCAAUAAAUUUCACCAAUUAAAAAUGGGCCCAAAUUAACAAAUAUAACCCUAUAAAAAUAUCUAACAUGUCAUAGACCCUAAUUAAAGUUUCCAAAUUAAUAGCCAAACUAUAAGCUCAAUUAAUCAAACUCAAAACAUGAUAAAUUAAAAUAAAUUCCAUUAGACCUAAAUUUAAUAUCUCAUCAUUGCACAAAUCACAAACCAUCAUUGCACAAAUCAAUAAUAAUAAUAAUAAUAAUGAAAAAUGUUUAUGAUGGGAAAAUGAGGAAAUGAGAAAAUGAGACAAAAGAGAAAAGGUCAUCGCCGAUGACGAUUGGCUGGUGGUCCUGUCGGCGGGCUGUUCGUUAGAGGUGAUGGAGCCAAAACCAGAGAUUUCACUUUCGUGCUUUGAGCUAGCGUUGGAACUACUGUUGGUGGAGAUGUGAGAGGAGCCGAUGGAGAAGUUGCGGGAUGAGGAGUUACAAGUGGCAGAGUGGCCGAUGGUGUAGCUAGCUGCUAGUGGAUGGAUAAAAAAUUAUGGGAGAAAAAAAAUAGGAAAGAAUGGGGAAAAUUUUCGGUCUGCGUGUGUGUUUGGGGUAGUUGGAGUGUGUCUUGGGGAGAAGCAGAAGAUGGAGAAAAGUUGGGGGAGAAAAGAAAAAAUGCCCAAGAAAUGGAGAGGAAAUUGUGGAAAAAAAAUGGGGGAAAGAAAGAAAUGGGGGAUGGGGGAGGGGGGACGCGACCAUGAGAAAAAAGCAAAUAGGAAACAAAAAAGUGGGGGGAGUGUCAUGGGAAGGAGAAGAAGAAAAAUAAAAUAAAAAAUAAAAAAUAAAAAUGGGGGAAGAAGUGAGAGAGGAGGCAUGUGGCCGAAAAUGGGUGUCGGGGGAGAGAAGAGGAAGAAGAGAAUGGGGAAGCCUAAAUAAGGGAGCCGGUUAUAGUCUUUUUUUGGGAAUUAGGGGGAAAAAUCUAAAACACAAAGAGGAAAAAUGAGAAAAGGGAGAAAAAUGAAGAGAUGAGAGAAAGAAGUAGUCGACCACUAUGGAUCUUUUAGGAGAGGGCUCCCAAGCUGAAGAAAAAUGAGGAAUAAGCAAAAAAAUGGGAGAGAAGAAGAAUAAUAAAAAUAAAUCAAAUCAAAUCAAGAAAGAGCUAGCUAGGGUUAUGGUCGUGGGAUGAAGGGUAUGGGAAAAGAGAAAGAGAGUGGGUGGGGUAGUUAGGGGAAGGUAGGAAGAAAGAGGAGAGAUGAGAGAGAAAAGAAAGAAAAAAAAUGAAGAAAAGAAAAAAAAGAAAAAAAAAGAAAAAUAAAAAUAUAAUAUAAUAUAAUAAUAAAAAAUAAUAAUAAUAAUAAAAUAAAAAAAUAUACAAAAAAAAAAGACCUAAGAAUUAAAUGGUGAGUGGGUCAAAAUACCACAUGUAAUUAGGAUUUAAAAACUAAGAAUAAAAUUGGGACAAAUUUUGGGGUCUACAAAUAUGCUCCUCUUCGGUAAAGUCCAUGAGUAAAGUGAGUGUAUACACAAGCGAAACAAAGUGAACUCUAUUGAAGAACAAGAAAGACCACCAAAUUUGUCCUAAUAUGCCACGAACUCUCUUAAACCAAAACAAGAACAAAGAGACUCUAAAACCCUACAAAUUUUUUUUUGGCAAAAACAGAAAAUCCUAAAGUGCCUCUAAAGUUUCAUUAUGGAUCCAUAAUUCCCUUUAAAAAGGCCUCUAAAAGUGGUUUGAAAAUUGAUGUCGAAAUCAAGUAGCAGUCGAACCACCAAAGAGUGUAGGAAUGAGUACAAAGGGAAAAACCAUACGUGUACCAUAUGAGGACAUAAGGCGUAGAGUAUCUAACAAUACAAUCAAGACACAUGCUACAAGCUCAUUGAGCUAUAUCCUACACAAAAGAUGAGAAGAAAUUCUAGAAUAUCGUAAUGAAGUGAGAAACACAUAUGCAACAAAUAGAGAAGUAAGAUGGAAUGCGAAACUGUGAGAACAAAGCAUGUAAUGCUAGUGAUCAUGAAUAUCAAGAACUGUGGCUCUAAAAGACAAGACUGACUCUAAAUGCUAAACUAAGAAAAUAAUGGCUCUAGAAGCCAAACCCAAAAGCUAACUCUAAAUGCUAAAUCAAAAAGCCUAUAGGUGAAGUCCUACGGUGGUGAUACAACAGAAAUGCCCAUAGAUGCCAUCUAUGGUGAUGAAACUCUCAAAAGUCCACAGAUAAAAAUCUAUGGUGGUGAUAAUCUCAAAGGUCCAAGGAUGAAAAUCCGUGGUGGUGAAACCGAAAUGCCCAUAGAUGUCUGAUCUAUAGUGGUGAAAACUAAAAUGCCCAUAGAUGUCUGAUCUAUGGUGGUGAUAAACUGAUCAAGGCCCAUAGAUGAAAAUCUAUGGUGGUGAAUUUGAAAUGCCCAUAGAUGUCCAAUCUAUGGUGGUGAAUCUGAAAUGCCCAUAGAUGCUUGAUCUAUGGUGGUGAAUCUGAAAUGCCCAUAGAUGUCUGAUCUAUGGUGGUUAAAACUGAAAAAAAUACUCAUAGAUGAAAAUUUAUGAUAGUGAAAUAACUAUAACAAAUGCCCAUAGAUGCAAAUCUAUGGUGGUGAAAAUUGAAACAAAUGCUCAUAGAUGAAAAUCUAUAAUGGUGAGAUAACUAUAAUAAAUGCCCAUAGAUAUAUGAUCUAUGAUGGUGAAAACUAAAAUGCUCAUAGAUGUCUAAUCUAUGAUGGUGAAAACUGAAAUGCCCAUAGAUGAAAAUUUAUGGUGGUGAAACUGAAAUGCCCAUAGAUGUUUGAUCUAUGGUGGUGAAUUUGAAAUGCCCAUAGAUGUCUGAUCUAUGGUGGUGAAAACUGAAAUGCCCAUAGAUGAAAAUCUAUGGUGGUGAAAUUGAAAUGCCCAUAGAUGUCUGAUCUAUGGUGGUGAAUUUAAAAUGCCCAUAGAUGAUAAUCUAUGGUGGUGAAUAUGAAAUUCCCAUAGAUGUCUAAUCCAUGGUGGUGAAUCUAAAAUGUCCAUAGAUGUUUGAUCUAUGGUGGUGAAUCUGAAAUGCCCAUAGAUGUAUGAUCUAUGGUGGUGAAAACCGAUCAAGGCCCAUAGAUGAUAAUCUAUGGUGGUGAAUCUGAAAUGCCCAUAGAUGUAUGAUCUAUGGUGGUGAAAACUGAUCAAGGCCUAUAGACGAAAAUCUAUGGUGGUGAAGACCACUGAAACAAAGGGGAUGCCCUAAACAAACUGACAGUAGGGGGAUGCCCUUAAACAAGCUGAAAGAAAUGGGAGAAUGACUUAAACAAACUAGAAGAAAGGGGGAUGCCCUAAACAAACUGAAGAAAGGGAGAUGCCCUAAACAAACCGACGGCAGGGGGAUGCCCUAGGUGAUAGUAUGAGGAUGUCCUAAACAAACUGAUGAAAGAGGAAUACUCUAAAAAAACUGAAGGAAGAGAGAUGCCCUAAACAAAUUGACAGUAAGGGGGAUAUCCCUCGGUGAUAACUUGUAAAGAUCGACAAAUGGGUCUAACAACCAUGAAAUCAACAUGAGAUGUGGUAAACCCAAAAAAGGGGGUAUACCCUAGUAGAAGAGCGCUAAAAGGGGUAUGCCCCAGUAUGACGACUCGCAAAUAUCAAGAAAUACAUCGAGCAGUGAGAAAAUCUACAAAAAAAAAUUGAUGGACUCAAGGAUGGGGGUAUACCCCAGUAGAAGAGCGCUAAAGGGGGUAUGCCCUAGUAUGACGACUCGCAAAGAUCAAGAAAUAGAUCGAGUAAUGAGAAAAAUUGCAAAAGAUUUGAUGAACUCAAUGAUGGGGGUAUGCCCUAGUGUAAGAUAGUAAACAACAUAAGACACAAAAUGUCACCAUACAAGACACUCUAGGAUAUGCUUAAUGAUCAUGCAAUGAAAAAGUAUAACAUCAAAGAAUAAAUGCUUAAAAAAGACCAAUGCAACAUUGAAACUAUGCCGACAAAGCAAAACUAAAACAAGAAACUAAACAAAAACUAACCAAGACUCUAAGUCUAAAAUGUAAGCAAGUCAAGACACGACAUGUCAACUAUCAACAUGAAAACAUAAUCACAAAUAUAUCAACAAUCUAACAGGCCUUACCAUCAUGGAAGAUGUUGGACCUAAUGUCCAAAGGCAUGUGAAAACUCAACCAGAAAGCUCAAGACUAGUCUGUAUCCUCCUCUGAUAAAGAGAAAAGGAUAAGGUCAUGUAAGAUGAUGAAAUAUGUGGGCUCAAAAGAUGUAAGACUUUGAUAAGAUGGAUGUAGGUAUAAUGGUGUCAAAUGUAGGAUGUAUGGGUGUGUAACAAAGGAAAGUGGGUAUCCAAGUCGAACCAACUAUGUUGAGAAGACUAAACCCAGGGUGUCAAUAACUCUAUGAUCCAUCGAAAGCAACAAUCAUAAACAGGAGGUGGAGUCUCAAUGUCAAAAUCAGCAAGGUGGCUAUGCCCCAAUAUGAAUGCAUUCUCUCAAAAUGGGUAAACUCUCAGUACAAGAUAAUCUCUGGAAAGUAUGUGUCUAGCAUAAAUUGUCAUCUCACAAAAUCUAUCACCAAUAAGUGGGCUAUGUCCCAGUGUAAGCAUCUCUAAAGCAAACAUAGAUGAAAGGAGUACAAACAAUCAUACAACAUCUAAUCAAAAUGAGUAUCCGCUCCUCAAAGUCAUUAUGGUAACGUGAAGAGAGUAUCUGACCUCAUAUAAAGAGAGAUCAUGUCCCAAUGUGAAAAAGAUCAAGCAAAGUGGUAUGCCUCAACAAAAAUGCACUCUAACAUGAUCAUGCCAAGAUGUAAGCUGGUAUCUCUAAGAUCAAUCACCAAUGAAAGGGUUAUGCUCUAAUAUAGGGCAAUCUCUAAAAUGAAUAAACUCCGUUGCAUGCUAUCACAAGUGUCUGUGUCUUGAUCUAAUCAUUUUAAAAAUCUGUCAAUAAUGAUGAGAAGGUUAUGCUCCUAUAAUCACAUCAAAGAAAUCACCCAGUCAUAUCUUGUACUCUAAUGUGAAAGGAAUUUAAUCACCUCCAAGGAACAUCUAUGCCUCAAAAACCAUCAUCGACUGAGAAAGGUAUGCCCCUAUGUAAGGUACACCAGAUGAAAUAUACCAAUCAUGUCUCAUGCUCUAAUGUGAAAAAGAACGUUUGAUUUUCUUCGAGGGAUGGCCAUGACUCAAUAAUCCAUCAUCGACUAAGAAGAGUAUGCCUCGGCAUAAUGGUCAUCUAAAAUAUCAACCUUCGACCAAGGAAGGUGUGCCCCAAUGCUAUGUAUCAAGAAGAAUGGUUGCAUAUCCAAUAAAACUCUCUAAGGUGACUAUGCCACAGUGUAAGGUCAUACCAUAACUCCUGGUUCAUCACAAUCAGAAUGCUCUUGAACCAAUCCUAAGUAUCGCCCACAUAAGAGCUAUCAAACACAAUGUGUGAUGUCAUGGCCUCAGGGUGGUCUUAGGACUCAAGACGUAACAUAGGUUAAGGUAAUAAGGUGAAGAAAUGAAUGGAAACUAGGCUCAAAUACCCAAUGAUCAAAACCCCAUACUCUCGUGUAUAAAAUGUGAUAUGUGCAAAGAGUCUCAUAAACCAUGGAUCUAAGGACAUCCAAUAUGAAUAUAUCAGUGAGGAAGAAAGAAUCCAAGAUGAAUAUAUCAAUGAUGAAAGAGAAAAAAAAAGAAAAAAAAAAUAUCGAAAUACUGAUGAGAUGUAUAAGAAUGAUGUGUGGAAAAUAUCGAACACGGAAUGUAAAUCGAUAUGAACAAAAAACAAUGUAGGCAAGAUGAAUGAAAUACCAUGAGAAGAACAACUAGAUCGAAGGAAAAUGAAUGAGCACUAAUCCACUCAAAUCAAGUCAUGAAGAAAAGUCAAAUCACCAAUGUAUGCAAUAAUAGAGAGAAAAAUGAUCCGGAGUCCCAAGGAAAAGGUCACUUGUCUCUCACACAUAAAAUACAUAACGAGAUAAGCAAAAGGGGAAACAAAAGGAGAGGAUGACAUCUGAGAGCUCACAUACGAACUCUCAUAAGCAACUAACUCAAUAAAGCAACCUCAAUGACCAAUAUACAUACUCAAUGGAGAAGGACACUGUAUACAUACGUUUAUUUUCCUUUCUUUUUUUUUUCUUUUACUUGCAUAUACUCUAAAUAUCAACAAACGAGCACCACUGAGAAUACACAAUGAAAUGGAUAUACUCCCAAACAACGAUGUAGACAAACUCUCUUUGAAAAAAUGACCUACUCAACUAAGGAUCUCUUAACCAAUGUCCAUGAGAUAGGAGUGGAGAGGGAUAUGACUGUUCUCCAUGCAUUGAAAUGUGAAAGAUCAUCACUCAUGGCAUAGAAAGAAACGUAAUGACAAAGAUAAAUGAUAGAAUAGAGGAAAUAAGCAAAGAAGUAUGAUGAAAAAUGAUGGUAGGACAAAAAAUAAAAAAAAAAUAAUGAAGAUGAGUCAAUAAGUCCAUGGCUCAUAAGACUCCCGAAUAAAGCAUAUAUACAUGGGAGGACCCCUAUCUCUGUGUAAAAAGUGAGCAAGGCUAUAAGAAAGAAAAUGUUAUAAUGUUCAUGCUAGGCUCAAAGGGCUAGCAAUGGUUCAAAUGUCAAUAAAGGUAAUAGGGUGUGAGUUAACCAAAAUGAAGGCCAGCCAUCCUUUAACCACAAUCUAAAACAUCAUGCUCUUAAAGCCUUAAAUGAUCGAUACCGAAAAUCGAUGUCUAUUUGAUAUAACCGUGUCAACCCUCUAGAAUCGUGUGCCAAACCAUACUCCAAAUGCUCCAUAAUAAUCUCAAAGGUAAUCCUCUCAAAGCAAAGUAAACGACGAUCUCAUCAUGCACAACUACUCAUCACAAGCCAACUCUCAUCAUACAAGAUCAAUCUUUAUACUCAUGGAGAAUAAGCGCCAGUCUCAUCAAGCAAUCGACCAAUCCUCACAUCAUAAGUCGCCCAAAGAUCAUAAGUCAUCCCUUGCCAUACAAAAUCAACCCUGGGCUUAAACUCCUCACACUUUAUCUGGACAGAUCAAAGAGGAGAUGUGCAAAGCUAGAAAAACUAAGGAUGGAAAGGUCAUAUAAUGGUGUCAAGGGUGAUGUUGUGUAAAGCUCACAAUGGAUGGAUGUAGUUUAAAGCAAAGUCAAGGUGUGAGAGUGGGUAAGACACUACUCUGAUAAUAAGAAGAUGGGUCACAAUCUCAAACUCCCUAGGUCAAAUCUCUGAUCCUAGGCUAAUAAGCUCAAUAUCCUCCAUGAUAGGUCAGCCCUCAAGACCACAAUGCACAAGUAAAUAGAUAUCUUAAGUCAAAAGUACAACACAUCAUAUGAUAUAUGGUCCUGCGAUAGCAAUCUAAAACUGGAAAUAUGACAAGAACUCUAAGGUCAUAAAAGUGUCCACUGUGAGAUGGCUACAAAUAUGACUAAAGAAUUUUUUAUUAAUAAUCCAGAAAAUGAAUGAGGCGUGAAAAAAAACACUAUCAUGAGAUCAACACUCCAUUUAUAACAAAAUAUCCUGAAACCUAGCUCUGUGCCAUAUAGGUCUUCAAAGAUCGGCCUUCAAUCAACAUCAAUGUGUCCACCUCCUCCAAAAUGCUCCCAAACAUCGAUAUAGCCCAUCGCUAGACCCUACUCCUAACCGCUAACUCGGUCAGAGGAACAAGUACACACAAGGCCUCACAUUUGCAAAUGUAAGAACCGAAAUGAAAGAAAUGACCAAAACUAGAGGGUUGGAGGUAAGAAGAUAGAAGUGCGACCCACAUAUACAAACAACACAUGCAUCACACAAAAGAAUAGUAGUCAUGCACCAAACAGUCAUGCAAAUAAUAGGUAUAUCAUCCAUAUCUACACGCAAACUAAGUAAGAAACAUGAUAAACAAGAUAGGUAUAUAGCAAGAAUAAACAAUAUGUUGAGAUAAACAAGAUAAUAUACAACAAAUAGAAUCAACCAUGCCAAGAUGAAUGAGAUAUACAAAAAUGAGAAUAUACAUGUAAAAGAAAACAAGAUAAUCAAACAAUAAGAAGAGCCACUAUGCAAAAGCAGGUAAAAGAAUCAAUCGAUAUAAUCAACAUGUGAACAUCUCCAAUGAACAAUAAUAACUAAACAUGCAUCAUGGAUAAACAUAUCAAAACUCUCAACGUGUAAUCAACACCUAAUCAUACAAAAACACAUAGAGAGGAGUAUCCACUAAUCGACCAAUCAAAUGUCACAUUUCCCUAAACACGAGUUCAAGUUUGACCCUUUAAAGAGUCCCUAGUGGAGUCGCCAUUUUGUGGACUCGCAUUUUUGCUCGAUGCAUUUCCACUCAACAACGAAACUCAUUUUUUUAUUUAUUUUGUGAAAAUUUUGAUUUUUAAAACAAGACUUGGAGUUGCCACUUAUUUUUGUUUUAUUUUUUUAAGGGAAAAAAAAAAAGAAAAAAAAAAACCCUAAGUGUGACUUCUGAAGGGAAAACAGUUCUGUGAAAAACCGAGUCUAGGUCUGGGAGUCAAGUUACUUAUCGAGAAGGUACGAUGGUGAUCCAUAGUACCUUUCUAAGCCCGUAUAUGUACGACCUCUACUAAACAAAUUAAGGGAAUUGUGGCAAUUAAUUAAGUAAUUAAGUAACUAUUUUAUCAACUUCAUUUGUAUUUAAUUUUCAAAAAAGGUUAUUUACACUUGUUGUAUCAAAAGAAUUUAUUACAUAAUUUCAAUUUGGCAACAAAAAUUAUUUUUACUUGUUUUUACAAAAAAUGAAUGAAUUUUUACAAUUUCAUUUACAAAAGUAUUUCAAUUUGUUUUCAUUUAAGAAAAGUGAUUUAUACAAAUUAUUAAGAUAUAUAUAUAUAUAUAACUUUAUUUGCAAAAUAAUUUUUAAUUAAAAAUUAAUUUUUGGGACAACUUUAUUUACAAAACAAUUUUUGGACAAUUUUUAUUAAACAAAGAAAUUUUUGGACAGCUAUUAUUAAAAACUAUUUUUCAAAUUCUAUAAAAACAAUUUUUUUGGAUUUUUAUAAAAUCAUUUUUUUGAAUUUUUAUUAAUAAAAAAUUUUCUUUUAUUAAGAAUAAUAUUUUAAAAUUAUUAUUUUAUUAAAACAUAUUUACUAAAUUAUUCCUCUUAUUUAAACAAAAUUUCUGAUUUGUUCGAUGUUCAAUUAUGUUCACACUCAAUAAAUAUAUACAAACAAAUAUUUACAGAAACCAAUAAAAAUAAAACCAAACAAUAGUGGAAAAUAAAACGUGUACCCAAAUAAGCUUAUAACAGGUUCAAUGUCUUCCCACGGCUUUUGGAGUCUUACUUUCUUCCAUUAAAUUUCGUACUCCGCGUGUUAUAAAUUCGUACUCAACUAACAAGAUUGUAGAAUGGGCCCAUGCAAAAGCAAAAAUAGUCAAAAUAUAAAUAUCCAAAAAUAUGUAGAGUCCAAAAUAACUAUUUAAGCCCAAAUUCAAACUUCAAAUUAGCCUAAUAAAUUUCACCAAUUAAAAAUGAGUCCAAAUUAACAAAUAUAACCCAAUAAAAAAUAUCUCACAUGUCAUAGACCCUAAUAUAAAGUUUCCAAAUUAAUAGCCAAAAUAUAAGCUCAAUUAAUCAAACUCAAAACAUGAUAAAUUAAAAUAAAUUCCAUUAGACCUAAAUUUAAUAUCUCACCAUUCAAACCUAAUUUAAUAAACAAACCCAAAUUCACAACAAAAAUUAAGUCCAAUCUAUGCUAACCCAAUUCACAAUCAAAACCAAACUCAACUUAAUAAAUAAAUAACUAAAUAAAUUGAACCUAAAAUCACAAACCAUCACUUCACAAAUCAAUAAUAAUAAUAAUAAUAAUAAUGAAAAAUGUUUAUGAUAGGAAAGUGAGGAAAUAAGAAAAUGAGAAAAAAGAGAAAGGGUCGUCGUCGGCAAUAGCUCGUCGGCGGCGACUGGUCGGUGGUCCUGCUGGCGAGCUGUUCGUUAGAGGCGAUGGAGCCAAGGCCGGAGAUUUCACUUUCAUGCUUUGAGUUGGCGAUAGAACGACUGUUGGUGGAGAUGCGAGAAGAGCCAAUGGAGGAGUUGUGGGAGGAGGAGUUGUAGGUGGCGGAGUGGCCGGUGGUGCAACUAGUUGCCAGUGGGUGGAUAAAAAAAAAAUUUGGGAAAAAUUCUGGCCUGCGUGUGUGUUUGGGGUAGCUGGAGUGUGUCUUGGGGAGAAGUAGAAGAUGUAGAAAAGUUGGGGAAGAAAAAAAAAAUGCCUAAGAAAUGGGGACCAACCGUGUGGGAGUAAAGGGAGAGAAUUCAGAAGAAGAAAAGGAAGAAUGGAGAGGAAAAAAUGGGAAAAAAAUGGGUAAAAGAAAGAAAUCGAGGCCGACCAUGAGAAAAAAACAAAUGAGAAACAAAAAAGUGGGGAGAGUGUCAUGGAAAGGAGAAAAAGAAAAAGAAAAUAAAAAAUAAAAACUAAAAAAGAAAAAUGAGGGAAGAAGUGAGAGGGGGACGUGUGGUCAGGAAUGGGUGUUGGGGGAGAGAAGAGAAUGGGGAAGCCCAAAUAAGAAAGCCGGCUGUGGGUUUUUUUGGGGGAGAGAAGAGAAUUGGGGGGGGGAGGGAAUCUAAAAAACAAAGAGGGAAAACGAGAAGAGAGAAAAGAGGGAAGAGAUGAGAGAAAGGAGCAGCCGACCACUAUGGGUCUUUUUGGGGGAGAACUCCCAAGCUGAAGAAAAAUGAUGAAGAAACAGAAAAAUGGGAGAGAAGAAGAAUAAUAAAAAUAAAUCAAAUCAAAUCAAGAAAGAGCUAGCUAGGGGUAUGGUCAUGGGAUGAGGGGUAUGGGAGGAGAGAAAGGGAGUGGAUGGGGUAGUUAGGGGAAGGCAGGAAGAGAAAUGAGAGAUGAGAGAGAAAAGAAAGAAAAAAAAUGAAGAAAAAAAAGAAGGAAAAAAUAAAAUAAAAUAAAAUAAUAAUAAAUAAUAAUAAUAGUAAUAAUAAUAAUACUAAUAAAAUAAAACAAUAUACAAAAUAAAAAACUAAGAAUGAAAUGGUGAGUGGGUAAAAAAUAUCACGUGUAAUUGAGAUUUAAAAACUAAGAAUAAAAUUGAGUUCAAAAUCAAUGUAAAAAUAAAAUUGAGACAAAUUUUGGGGUCUACAGAGUGAUUUCAAGGCUGUAAUACUUGUUUAAGACAUGGAAGAUAAGACUCAAGUACAUAAUCUCAAUGGAUUCAAGUAUGUCUUUCGAUAUUAUUAUCCUAUAGAUUUAACAUAAGAUUAUAACACAUUUAUUAUCCAAAUGAUCAAAUUCUAUAAUCAUUCUGUAUGACUUGUGUUUUUCCAACAAAACCAACAUCAUUCAAACAUCAUUAUAUGCACUCCUCAUGUGAGUUCAUUGAAUAUAAAAAAUGUUUUUUUUUUUGUUCUCUCACCACAUUACAUAUUAUUGUGUUGUAUUGCCUUUGUCUAUAAGGGUAAAAGUAUUUAACAUUUUUUCUUUCCUAAAAUACUCCUAUUCAUUUAUUUAAUACCAUAAAGCUAUUCAAUUUCCAUUAUUUUAUUUAUAACUUGUCAUAAAAUUAUUUUAAAUUGUCCCCACAUAUAUUAUUAAAAAAUUCAAAUCCAACUUUAUUUAUUUUUAUUAUAUUCUUUAUUUCCGCCAAUGUAUGUUAUUAAAAAAUUUAUUCUACAUAAAUAAUAGAAGACAACAUCUUUUCUAUAAUUUUCAAUAUAUUUUAUUAUUAUUUAAUAUUUUUCAAUUAAAGAAUAUGUAAGAAUAUACAUAUAUGUAUAACUUUUUAUAUGAAUUUUAAUAUUUCAUUUUUAUUAAAAUUUGUUAAAUAAAAAAAGAAUAAUGGAUGAUAUUCUUAUGUAUGAACAAAAACAUUAGGAAUUUAAUGAUUUAAAAAAUUUUAAGAUUUAAAUACUUAAUUGACCAUUUUUGUCUUUUCAAUAGUAUAAUUUAAAUUUGUAGUAAUACAUGUAUUAUUCAUAUUAAAAAGAAGAAUUCAAAGGAUGUAAAUUAAUUGAAUAAAAUGAAUGUGAAUGUAAUUGAAGAGAUUAAGGUUAUGUGUAAUGUAAAACAUACUUUGGGAGAAUAUAAAUUGAUUUGGAAAGUUAAGAAUAGAUUUAUUUUUAUCCUAUUUAUAUAUCAUAGGUGGUUUAUGAAAUGUUAUGUAUUCCCUCUUUCAAUUUACAUGAAUACAAAGGGAUAUGAUACAAAUCAUUACAAUUUAUUUAAAUUUAAGUCUUAAACAAUAAAUUAAUUUUCAAACAUUGUAGCUCCUAUGGUAACUUGAUAAAUUUUGUUUUAAAGAAUUUAAUAGAGAACUAAAAGUGUAAAUAACUAUAUAAAAUAAGUAUAUAAUCUAUAAGAUUAUAUAAUUCAACAUUUAUAAGAAUAAUAACUAAAUUAAUUUUAAAAAUAUAAAAUAAUUCAAAUAAUAGUAAAAGAUGAUAUUGUAUUAUUAUAAUAUAUUACAAUGCAUUAUCUAUUAAUAUAAUCAUAUAUUAUAGGAUAAUAUAUUUGAUACAUCUACUUAUAAAUAUUUUUUUAUAGAUGAAUACCAUAUUUUUAACUAAAUUAUAGUUAUAUUAGGUCAUUAUAUAUAUAUAUAUAUAUUAUUUUAAUUAGUUUUAAUUUUUUUAGAGAAAAAAUUUAUCUUGAAGUUAAUUAAUUACACACACACACACACAUAUAUAUAUAUAUAUAUAUAUUAUGUAUAUUAUAUGUAUAUAUAUGGUAACUCUUAGAGGAGGGUGAAUGGGUGUAUUUUUAAAAAAAUUAUAAUUUCGGAGUUAAAUUUAUAACUCAAUUUAAUUCCGGGAGAUAUAAAAAAUAAACAAAAUAUCCAAAAUCAAACAAACAUGCAAAGGACAAGAGAAUUUUUAAAAAAAUUUUUUUUUUAUGUGGAAAACCCUCAUACUAACUAUGAAGAUAAAAAAAACCACAUGGUUUAAGACCUCUAAUCUAGAACCCACAAUUUGAUAUCAAAUUACAUAGAUUUAUCUUAUUGUUUACCUUAAGACUUACUCUCCAGAACCUACAACUUGAUCCAUGUUCAUGAUGUGGUAAUCUCUAAUUGCUUUAAUGAAUUCUCCUCAGCCUCGCUGAAGGGAUGCAUGUCUUCCAACAACCCAAGAUUUAAGCUUUGAAUCCUUCCAUAAGAGAUUGGGAAUGGUAGGGUAAGUUAGGUUGAAUCCCUUUAUAAGUGUCCAACCCUAAAAAUUUAUAUAGACCUUUAAGCCCUAGGAAAUUGGUAUCUCGAAUUUCCAAAUACAAUAUUUGUGAAUUUUCAAAAAAAAUAUUUUAUAUAUUCUAACAAAUUUGGAAUAAGCGCUUGAGUGCAUUCACUCACCACUUGAGCAUCUCGGGUGCUUGAGUACUACUAGAGAAACACUUGAGUGGUUUUAGUCUUUGAGCGUUGCUUCCAUCACUCGAGUGUCCCAUGUUUUUCCAAAAUAUUAAUUUCAGCCUUUUUAAAGCACAACAAAUAUACCGAUCCACGUUAACCUUUGAUUGAACACUUAACUUGUCACUAGCUAAACCUUUUUAGACUUACUUGUGACUUUCCGGUUGAGCCUAAGGACCUUGAAUCUUCAAUGUAGAGUAAGUCACUAUAUAAAAAGUCUUCUAACCCAUAAAAUAAAUUGGAACAAAAUUGCCAACAACAAUGUAAAAGAUCUAUUGUUUGAACAAUCUCUUCAUUUGUCAAUUUUAUGACAAAAUAUCAUUACAUAAACCCCCCAAACUCUCAAAAUGGAGUUCACAUAACACUUAACAACUCUCAUCUAAAAACAACAUGAGGAAAGACAAAGGUCGAUCACAUCAAAAUGUAAAGAUUUUCUACCAAAAUUGUAACUUACACACACAAAAACAAUUACACCAAGGGUAAAACAUUUUAUGACAUAACGAGGAAGCAAAACAGGAUAGUAAAGAGAUAAGAUCAAUGUGAAAAAUCCAAAGAGAAACACACUUGAUUACAUGUAAAUCGACCAAACAUAUGAAAAUCUUUGCAAGUAGCAAUUAGUCAACAGAAGAGAGCACCAAGUGUUUUCACCAACCAUAAUAUACAUGAUGAGGAUCAUGUAAUAAAGCUUCCUAUGCAUAUUGUGGUUUAAAUAAGUUCGAAAUAACACUAAGAGAUUUUUCCUAAGAACUAUUUGUGUCAAGUGUCUUUCUGAAACUUUCAAAACAUUUAACCAAAUAGUAAUUUAGUUUCCCCAAUAUCUUAAAGUUAGUUUUUCCUAAUAUUUCAAAAAGAAAAAUAAACAUUCUCUAUCAAUAAUGAAAAUCUCUCCAUAGUUCUUCCCCUAUGUAAUAAUACUUCCCAUCAAUAAUGCAAAUCUCCCCAUAGUUCUCCCCUUAUGUAAUAUGUUGCUUCUUAAUUAACAUUUAAUAAUUCUCUCAUUUUUUGUCACAAAAUGGGCAAAGUAAGAUGAACAAGAGAAACACAUUUUUUUUUUCUUGGAAAAUACCCACUCCAUUCAAGCACAAAACCAAAACUUGAACCUUAGCUCUUUGGAUCAAUAGUUAUUUCCCUUCUCUCGUUCAUUUUCUCAAGAACUAGACAAAGCCCUAAACCACAAAACAACACAAGAAAACAAAACACACAAUUAUCAAUGGAAAAAACUACCAGCAAACCCAAAAAGUAAGUCCUAAAUUAGACGACCUACAAAAAGAAAAAGAAAAAAAGAGAACCUAGAUCCAACAAAAGAAUCAAAAACCCAGAAAAUAAAAAAUGGAAAAUAAACCCAUAUCCAAAAAAAGAAUCAUAAACUGAGAUCCCACUUAAUGAAAAAAUAUAUAUUGAAAAUGAUAUUGGAAACUCAAAACCAUUGUGUAGGAAGAACUCAUUUUAUUCAAGCCUUAGGACAAGAAAAAAAAAAGCAUGAAAAUAAAUAACAUCUAGAUAUGCAGAAACAAGAAUAAAUUUGUUGGUGAAGCUAACUUUUGUUUCUUGCUACUAGAGACGCUUUCAUUGGAGGAAAAAAAAAACACAGGUAAGGAAACAUAAAAAGUAGGGAAAAGAAAACAUGGAGAACGGUUGUUCUUUGAAUAGUGAAAAAACAACAAAAACAUUUUUUUUUUAUUCUUUGAAAUGAGGCCUUCUGAGAACAUGAGAACCAUAAAAAUAAAAAAAAUAAAAAAAAACACCUCAUUUCCCAAACAUAUUUUUAGUAAUUUUUUUUUUCAAGAAUAAAAAGCAAUUCUUGAAAACAACAACCAAAUAGACUCAUAGUUUCUCACCAUUUAGCACGAACAAGAGUAAGGAGAGGGGUGUCUUGGAAAGCCUAAGGUCGAUGGGGCGCUCUACCUUGACACGGCAACCCCGGAGAGUAGAAUAGAAACGAUUGUACGUGAGCUUCCUCAGAGUAGAAGCACUUUAAGGAAAAAUCAUCCAAAUUGAAAAGAUCCUAGAGAGGAAUGCCUCGUAUGGUCUCCAAAGACGUGGGAAGGAUUGUCUCCCUAGGACAAUGUUUACUAGUCAUAUGAAUAACUAAUGAAAACAAGAAAAACACAAAAAAUGAAGAAAAAUAUCCGACAAAAGUAAUAUUCUAGAAGUACUCAAAACAAAGUCCUAAAUAAUAUUGUGUAGACGAAAUGAUGAAAAACAAUAUGAAACAAAUGUUAGAAAGCAAAUAGCAACAACUUGAAAUGUUUGAAAUAGGUAAGAAGAUAAUAGAAAUUCAAAAUACGUGUUAGAUGGAUUUAUAUAGCCACUCAAGCUGUUGGAUGAAAGAUUAGUGCUCAAGUAGUUUAAGUGCUUGAAGUGGGGCAAAAAACAACUUAAAUACCACUCGAGUGGUACGAUUGUGGGAAGAGACAUUGGAUAUAACUUAUGGUCGCUUGAGCACAAUAGCUUGAGCGAUGAAGCCAAUGCUUGAGUACUGGAAGGAACGCUCAAGCACUUGAGACAAGGCAAAAAAGCUUCAAAAAAGAAAUAAAGCAUUAACUAAAUAAUUAAAGGGGCAAAAGUAACCAAUUGAAAGUAAAAGACAAAAAAGAACUUUUGGAAAACAAGUUAACCAAUCAAAUUAGGGCAAAUUUAAAUUAUAAAACUCGCAAAAUUAUAAUGAAGAUGUAAUAAUAUAAGUAGAAUGUCCAUAUAAUUUGUGUCAACCAAAAAAAGAAUGAUAUUCCAAAUGCAAAGAGCAGAGUUAAUCCUAAUCUUAGUCUAAAAAUUUGACGCAUAACUAUCAAAGUAUAAGAAGGUCAAGAUAAAAACAUAAAAAAAUGUUCAAGAGAAAACAACUUAUUGUCUAGUUUUAUAUUUUGAGAUUGAAUUCUUAGAAGGAAUCAAGUCAUGUCUUUAGUCAAAUUAGAAUUACAUCUAGUCAAUUUGUUCUUAGAUCAUCGGAUUUCUAUUUAACAUGACAUCAUUGAUCUACAUAUGACUGACCGAAAUUCUCUAUUGUAUCAAAAUACUUAACCUUUUUACGUAACAACUUUGGUCAAGAAAAAAACUAGAGAAAGAGUCACUAUGGGUUUUGUAGUACUUCAGGUAUUGUCCUUAGGGACUGGCUUAUGGAAAUUGUCAAUACUAAAAUAAAUGAAUUGCUUUUGUUUAAAUCCUAAAGUGAAAAACAAUUUGGGAAUUAUCUUUUAUGAAAUGGGAUUAAGUAAAUGAAACUAAAUUAAUAACAAAAUGAAUAUUGAUUUUUAAUUCAAUCAAUCAAGUUUGGGGCUUUCCACAAUCCAACUUAAGGUAUAUAAAUAGAGAGAACAAGGGUUUCUUAAGUAAAGUGAUCUUAAGGUUUUGGGAUCCUUGGCUGCUUGUGAUCAACUUGAGUUAUAUAAGUCAAAAUUGCAUCCGAAACCUAUUUUUUCAUUUUUAAAAUAGAUUCCUAAAAUCAUCAAAUGAAUGAGAUUGAUUACCAUUUUAAGAUUUGGCUUUUUAACCAUUCCUACUUCUUAUAGCUUUGUUUUGGGUUAAUAACAAUAGAGAAGACGAGGAUAACUAAUGAUCAAGAAUUACUAAGAAUCACUAGUAUCGGGUAAUAACCUAUUGUAUCAUUCCCUAAACUAACUCACAAGGAUAAGAUAAAAAAAAAUUGAUAAAUUGUCACCCAACCAAUAAUUAAUCUCAAUGUUAUAAUAAUUUACCCAUUGUCCCUAUAGGUUCCCUAGCCCUUAGGUUUUCAUGCUUCAAGCCCCAAGUUGGCUUCUUAGCCUCUUAUGGGAGUGAUGUCACAUUUACAAUUCAUAAUAAGGUAAAAAUCCAUAAUUUGAACCAAAAGGAACUAAAAACAAUAUAUUUAAUAAAGAAAAUAAAGAAAACAAACUUAAGUUCUCGUCUUCUUCCACUUUCAAUGUCAAACUCUCCGGAAAAAGAUCCAAGAUCCAAGAUUUCUAAAACCUAGAACUAAGAGAGUUUAUAUAAUAUCAUCAAUUACCUAACAUGUGACACACUCUCAUUGGCCACUUAUUACAAAAUAAUUACCUAAAAAUGACUAAAAAAGAAUUAAAUAGCCAAUUCUAGUAGUAUGGGGCCCAAUUAGGGCGGAUGGAGUGCCCUAGAUGCAAUUCUCGAGGUAGAGGAGGCGAAACAUCAAAGUAGCAGUGGGUGAAUUCGAAAUUGGGGUCAUUUAGAAUUGGAUUUUGAGUUCAUAAGUUGAAUUUCAAAAUGGCCCUUCAACUUUGCAUAGUUAUCUUCAAAUGACUAUAACUUCUUCAUUUCACCUUCAAUUUGUACAACAUUUGAAGCGUUGAACUUCUAACUUCCCAAGCUCAAAACAAUAUAUAGUAUGACUAAAAUGGACUUCAAGAAGUAGUAAAAAAAUUUCUUCAAAUUCAGAGUACAUGGUGCAAGCAGAUUUUGAGUUUUAAAUUUCCAUGCAGUUGAAUCUUGCUUCAUGCCUCAUUUCCCCAUGUUUUCUUGCCUUUUUUAUUACACCAUAAUGGUCAUUUAUAAUCUUCCAAACUCAUGAUAUCCUUGUCUUGCGUUUUCUCAUGGUCCAUGAGUCUUAACUCGUUUAUUUCAUCAUUUAACCCUUUCUUGAUCUUUCAAAAUCUAAACUAAUUCAACUUGCACGCUUUUUUUUCCCUUGAACUUGAGAUAAUUCUCCAAAAUAUAAGUUAAACUCAUGGCUAGGGCCUUAGCAUCGAUUUAGGUCAAUUUGGGUGAUUUGAAUGUCCUUUGGGACACAAAUGAUAUCGAAUAUGUGUCAUUAGAGCAUAUAUUUUGGCUCUAAUCAACGACAUAACUUAACUCCCCAUUAAUUAGAUAUUUUUUUGUUUUUCUUUUAAAGUGAAAGCAUUGUACACCAUGAUCUCCUAUAUUUUUUCUUUAUUAUUGUCAUUAUUUUUUUUGUUACUAUUAUUAUCGUUAUUGUUAUUGUUAUCUUUAUUUUUAUUCAUGGUUUGUCUUUGAAUCUACUUUGGGGGUAUUUCCAAAUAUUGAAAUGAGUGGCAUAAAAGUAGAGAUAGAAUUUUUGGAGAGAAUAUAUAUGAAUUGAUCUUAGCCAAGAAAUCAAUGGAGCCUUAACUCAUUUCAACAAACAAUAAUAUUGAUCUUAGUCAAACAAGGUAUGUCUAUAAUAAGAUUUAGCCUUAUUAAGAAACCAAAAUCUACUUUAUUAGUUAAACUUAAGAAGUUUUCCUUUUUGAUAAAUUACAAAGUGUAACUUUUGUUGAUUUUCCACUAUACAAAAAUGUUUAUUUAUUUGAAAUCUUGUAUCCCAAAAGUAAUUAACAAAUAUCUCAAGAAAAUAGAAAUCAAAUCUUGUAGAUUUAGUAUAUUUCUCUAAGCCAAAAACUUGAGAUAUUACAAAUCAUGCUAAUAAAGCCAGUAAACAUAAAUAACUAAAUGCUCAAAUAAGAUAUGAUGAAGGCCAAAGGAAUAAGUAAAAGAAGCAAUGAAGAACACUCCCUUUGAGGCCUAAAUUUAUGAUAUUAAUCAACUUGGUAUAUGCCCAAAGAUUUCCUAAGGAAUUCAAACCCAAGAGAAUCCAACGGUUUGGUGAAAAUAUUUGCCAAUUAUUGAUCUGUUGGGAGAAACUCUAUAGAGACAACCUAUUCUUCAAUUAAAUUACUAAUAAAAUGGUGAUAGAUUGCAAUGUGCUUACUACAAGAAUGAAGAAUAGGAUUUUUAGAAAUGUUAAUAACACUAAGUUGUUAUAGAGAAUGCUCAUCGUACCUUGGUCAAUUCCAUAAUCAUUAAGCAUUUGUUUAAUCUAAAAAAGUUGGGUACAACAACUCCUUAUAGCGAUGUAUUCUAAUUCCUCAAUAGAUAGUGAUAUAGAAUUUUGUUUCUUACUAAGCCAAACUAUUAAACAAUCAUUGAUAAAGAAGUAAGCACCGAAAAUGCUUUUUUGAUCUUCUACAUUGUUAGCUUAGUCAACAUCAAAAUCAUAAAGGAAUCAUAACCCAUAAUCUAAAGUCCCAUCAAUAUAAUGAAUAAUUCUUUUCAUAGAAGUUAAGUGUGACUCUUUGGGGUUUACUUGGUACCAAACACAAGCUCCCACACUAAAUGAGAUGUCUAGACGACACACAAUAAGAUAUAACACACUCCUUAUUAUGCUCCUAUAAAGCUUUUUCUGAACAUACUUACCAAAUAUGCCCUUGCAAAGCUUAGUGGUCAUGCUUAUGGGUGUCCUAAAGUGCUUGGUGGAUUCAAGGCCAAAUUUCUUUAUUAAUUCCCUAUCAAAAUUAUACUGAGAUAGAAAAAUACCAUCUUUAAGUUGCCUAAUUUGUAGUCUUAGGAAGAAAUUGAGUUUAUUGGCCAUGCUCAUCUCAAGUUAUGAUUUCAUCUCCUCCAAAAAGCUAAAGGUAAAGUCACUCGAGGUGGCUCCAAAAACUAUAUCAUCUACAUAAAUCUGAACCACUAAUAACUUAGACUUAGACAUAUAAAGGGGGGGAGGGGGGUGAAUUGGGUUUUUCAAAAUCUUUUCAAAUACAACAAGUUCAAGCACAAUAAAAACAAAAAUAAAGAGAUAGAGUUAGAGAAUUCAAACUUGGGUUUUAUAGUGGUUCGACACUUCCUUGCCUAUGUCCACUCUCCUCAAUCUCCUAACUGAGUGAGGGUUCCACUAACUUGAAGCUUCAACCAAGCUUCCAAUCUUCUUAUACUUGGAUUCCAGCUCCAAUAGGUUCUUACACAAUUUCUUCAAGAUUCAAACCUCUUGAAGGCUUUAAUACUCAGCUUUUACAAGAAUGAAUCCCUCAACCUAGCUUGAUAAUUCAAAUACAAGACAAAGCUAGGAUGACACACAAAAGUGUACUAAAGGAUAUGCAAGUGAUGAUUUAAUGCACUAAGAAAGAAAUGAGAGCUUUUUGGUCAAGAAUAGGUAGGUAGACAAUUGAUUGCAAGUGUUCUCUUGUCAAUAAAUGAAAUAGAGCUCUCAAUUUAUAGGUUUCUAAGCUCGGGAGCCAAAAACAGCAAAAGGUAACCUCGACUAGUCGAGCUAGGGGUCGACCGGUUCACUAGCCAUUGGAGCAUUUAAUGCUUGACAGGUUAUCGUUAACUCGACCAGAAGAGAAUAACCUCGAUCGGGAAGAGAAGGCUACUGGGAGAGAGAAGAUUUUGGGCAUCCCUCGAUCAAACAAAGGCAAUCGGUCAACCGGUUGGCCAUAGCCUCAACCGGUUGAGCCUUUUGGCCCCUAAAAAACCUAUCUUUUUCAAUUCCUUUCUUUUCUAACACUUAGGCAAGGUCCUUAGGUGAAUUGUUAUGCCAAUUUUAAAACAUUUUGCCUAAGGUACAUUUGUUAAAACUCGGGUUUUAAUGAAAUCGAAGUUUUAAAGGAUAAACUGAGUUUUCUAAGUUGCAUGAAAUGGUAUGAAAAUCCUAAGUGCACUCAUGCAUUCAUCUUACAUUCAUUUCCUAUGAUUACAAGUCUUCCAAAAGUCUCGAUCUUGUAUCCAUUUGGUCAUUUGAUGAAUUUUCGAGUUUAUGCUUGAGAUUCUUAAUCAUUAAACGAAUUAAUCAUUUAACCAUGGUUUGUUAUCAUCAAAACCCGAUUAGGAGAACCCUUGGGCUAACAAUCUCCCUCUUUUUGAUGAUGACAAACCUUGGUUAUCUAGGAGAGAAAAAAAAAUCUUUCUCUCAAACCAAUCAUGGAUCAAUCAAUCAAUUUUCAAUAGGAAAUGAUAUAAAGCGUGAAAAUUUGAAUAGGAAACAAUGGAUCAUGAAAGUAGCAUAUCAAUAUAUAUGGUAACAUCGCAUGUACACGAAAACAUAACAUAUAUGCUAAUUCAGAUAGAUAUGACAAUGAUAUGCAUGAGGGUCUCCUAGAUCCUAGAUAUUUCUCCCCCUUUGGCAACAUAAAAAAAAGAUUGAAGGGAAACUCUAGAUAAACUCAAGGUUGAGGGGGUGGAGGUGGAAACACGAAGCGAAGGUAAGCCAUCAUGUCCUCAUGCUGACUCACCUAGCGACUCUCAAUGCGCUCAAUACUCUACUGGAGAUGCUCGACUGUAGCCUGCUACUGAUCCAUACGCUGCUCUAUACACUCAAAUCUCUGUUGGAAGUGCUCAAAACGAGAAGUGAAGCUAGUUUGAUACUGAUCUAUGCGAUCCUCUAUGAAAUAGAAUCGAGUAUCACUGACAACGGUGAGCUCCUCCAUACGAGUCCCAAGUGAGCUGAUAAAUCCAUCCAAGGCGCAUGAUCAGGAGCGUGAGGUGCCUGAGAUGGUAUCUCUGUGUGAGGAAGCUCGGUGAAUGAGGGUUGAGAGGAUGGUCCCGCUGUAUAAGACGACUCAAUCAUCAUAGGCUCUGAGAAUGUGGCCUCAAAAUGAAUACCUUUUGACUGAGGUGGAGGACGAAUGUCAAGUUUGGCCUCUUCCUCUACUCCGGAAUGCAUCUGUCCCUAUCCCCGGGCCUGUGCUGGAGGUCGCUCAGCUCUCCUAAUCCAGGAUUCAUCGGGGGCCUUUUCAAACUUCAUCCGCCCCAAGGACUGCUCAUCAUAAGUAUCAUAACUAGUAGGGGCCUCGAAGUUCGUCUCUAUACUCAAAUCAACCCCUGUAUCCUUUAAUACUCGAGUGAGGAAGUGGUCGUAAGGGAGUACUCCGGUCGUGCUCUCAUAGUAGGAUAUCAUAUGCAUCAUCAUCAGAUACCCUAUAGGAAUCCGUCUCCCUAUCAGAAUGGAGUCCACUAUAAAAAGCCUCUAGGUAGGAGACCUUGUCUCGAUGUCCUCCUCGUGGCAAUAGGAUAGAGUAGAUCAUGUGAUGAAGGACUCGGCCGGUCACAGUCAGGUUGUGUGCCGAUGGUUUACCCAUUCCCUAAGCGUUUGCAAGUCCGCGCAACCUCUGAAUAGCCUCUCUAGGCUCGAAUCCCGACACAGUGGGCCAAACCUUGGACUCAUACACCCGUAAUCCAACUGAAGGAAUUUUGAAAAUGCGAUAAAUGCUCUCCGAUCUUAGUUUGAUCUCAACACCUCUAAUAGUGGACAUGACCGGUCUUCCAAGUCCAUAGAUCACCCAUGAAUAAAAUGCCCGCAGUAGAGUCGGGAAGAUCUGCUUGAAAAUCGUUACAACUGGCAGCCAUCCCAUUCGAUUGAAGAGUCCCUCAAACCCGAAGUAUUGAAGUUGGGAGAAAUUGAUACUUCUCCUUGGAACGACUUUCCUCUGGGCGAAUUUUUGCUUGUAUCUCUGAUAAUCUUUGACAGAAAUGAAACGGGUCAUGUUAUACCUUGCCUUUCGGUUAGCCUCCAUCUGCUCAGGCCGAGAUGGCUGAACAAGGCGCUUGCCCUGAGCCCUAGAAGCAGUCGUCUCUCUCCUAGGUGCCAUCAGAAAAGCGAAAAAGGAAGAAAGGAAGUCAGAAGAGAUAAUGAACCCAAACAAGAGAGAAUGAAAUCCAACUAGAAGCCCUAAGCACACGGAGAUGGAGCUGAACCUGGCUGAGGCACGUGGUCAGAGAGGAAUCGCUCUCAAUUAACAAGGCUAAAAAACAUCACAAAAUUAACUCCAAGGCCUUCAAACGGUCCAAGAUCCAACCCAAAAUGGUCUCUAGAAGCAGGAAUGUGAAGAGUUUUCAAGGAAUGGAGGAGAACAAUGGAGAAAAUGAAGUACGGGAGCCUCUUUAAAUUCCCAGCCCCAACAAACCACUUGGUCAACAGUCAACGGUCAAUGCUCCAAAUUUUUUAUACUUUUUCUUGUCUCGUGAUCCUCUCCCUGCCCUUUUCAGUUGAAAUCCCCAAUUUUUUUUAUAUCCAAUGCCAAGGGAAUUUUGAUUUUUGGUCAAAAUUUGACAUUUUUCCUAAGAGAAUUUCUAUGUGAUGCAUAUGAUAUGAAAUUCAUGUAAUAAUAAGGUAUAUUCAACAAGAAUUCAUCAAGCAAUCAUUUGAUCAUAAAGAAAUCACCCCUAGUUGUCUUCUAAUAUCAACAAAUUGCUUUUCACUUAGAGGUUUUGUAAAAAUAUCGACAAGUUGAUCUUUUGUGCUUACAAAUUCAAGUGUAAUGUCACAUUUUUGUACAUAGUCUCUAAGAAAAUGGUGUCUAAUCUCUAUAUGCUUAGUCCUAGAUUGUUGCACGGGAUUUUUUGAAAUGUUUAUGGCACUAGUGUUAUCACAUUUAAUAGGAACAUGCUCAAAAAACAAAUUGAAAUCACUAAGUGUUUGUUUCAUCCAAAGGAUUUGUGCACAACAUAAACCGGCUGCUAUGUAUGCGGCUUCCGCAGUUAACAAGGCUACCGAAUUUUGCUUCUUACUAUGCCAUGAAACAAGCGAGUGUCCUAGGAAAUGACAAGUGCCACUAGUGCUUUUCCUUUCAACUUUACAACCGACAAAGUCGGCAUCCGAGAAUCCAAUUAAUUCAAAGUUAUCACCCUUAGGAUACCAUAGACCUAUGUCCAUUGUCCCUUUUAAAUAUCUAAGAAUUCGUUUUACGGCACUUAAGUGAGAUUCUUUAGGACAAGAUUGAAAUCUAGCACACAAGCAUACACUAUACAUGAUGUCGGGUCUACUAGUGGUCAAAUAUAGAAAAGAACCUAUCAUGCCUCUAUACAUAGUUGAGUUGACGGACUUACCUUUCUCAUCCUUGUCAAGGUUGAUGGAUGAGCUCAUUGGAGUCUUCAUUGUUUUGGCUUCCUCCAUGUUGAACCUUUUGAGAAGAUCUCUUAUAUACUUUGCUUGAUUGAUGAAGGUUCCUUCCUUUAGUUGCUUGAUUUAAAGUCCAAGGAAGAAGUUAAGUUCUCCAAUCAUGCUCAUUUCGAACUUACUAUGCAUGCAUUUAGAAAAUUCUUCACAAAGAGAGACAUUAGUAGCUCCAAAAAUGAAAUCAUCAACGUAUAUUUGCACUAAGAGCAUGCCAUUUUCUUUGGUUUUUAUGAAAAGAGUUGUGUCAAUUUUUCCCAUUUUAAAACCCUUUUUCAAAAGAAAUUUACUCAAUCUUUCAUACCAUGCUCUAGGUGCUUGUUUCAAACCAUAAAGUUCCUUUUUAAGUUUAAAAACAUGAUUAGGAAAGUUAAAACUUUGAAAACCGGGUGGUUGUUCAACAUAUAUCUCUUCAUUUAUAAAGCCAUUUAAGAAAGCACUUUUCACAUCUAUUUGAUAUAAAACAAAGUCUUUAAAACAUGCAAAGACAAAUAACAUCCUAAUAGUUUCCAAUCUAGCUACGGGAGCAAAGGUUUCUUCAUAAUCUAUCCCUUCUUGAUUAAAACCUUGGGUAACCAAUCUUGAUUUAUUCCUUACAAUUAUGCCAUUUUCAUCCAUUUUAUUUCUAAAGACCCAUCUAGUUCCAAUAACACUUUGAUUUUGAGGUCUUGGCACUAAUUCCCAUACUUCACUUCUUUCAAAUUGGUUUAACUCUUCUUGCAUAGCAAUCAUCCAAUUUUCAUCAACUAGAGCAUCAUUUAUAUUUUUAGGUUCAAUUUGAGAGAUAAAAGCAAGAUUAUUGCAAAUAUUUCUAAGAAAUGAUCUAGUUCUUACCCCACUAGAUGGAUUACCUAUAAUUUGAUCUUGUGGGUGGUUGAUGACAAACUUCCAAUCUUUAGGAAGGUCUUGACUUGAUUCACCAUGCACUUGUUGAGAAGGAGGUAGUGCAAAAGGUGAUUCUUCUUUCUAGGAAUCCUUUACAAUUUCUUCUUGUGGCCUUCUAUCUUCAAUUUAUAAUUUUCCCAUGGAGGUCUCCAAACCUAAAUCAUCAUCAAAACUCUCUCUUUCUUGGAGAGAAUUGUUAGAUUCAUCAAAAAUAACAUGGAUGGCUACAACCAUGGUUCUUUUGUUAAAAAAUCUAAAGGCUUUACUUGAAGUUGAGUAACCAAGAAAAAUUCCAACAUCUAAUUUUGCAUCAAAUUUUCCAAGAUUGUCUUUGGUGUUUAAUAUAAAGCAUUUGCACCCAAAGACUUUGAAAUAGUUAAUGUUGGGUUUCUUGUUUUUCCAAAGCUCAUAGGGAGUUUUCUUAAGAAUAGGCCUCAAUAAAAUUCUAUUUAAAACAUAACAGGAAGUGUUAACCACUUCGGCCCAAAAGUAUUUUGGUAAAUUGUUUUCAUUUAGCAUGGUUCUAGUCAUUUCUUGAAGAGUUCUAUUUUUCCUUUCAACUACCUUAUUUUGUUCAGGAGUUCUAGGAGCCGAAAAAUUAUGGUUAAUACCAUGCUCAUUGCAAUAGUCUUCAAAAUCAAUAUUUUCAAACUCUCUCCCAUGAUCACUUCUUAUACAAGUAAUUGUAAAACCUUUUUAAUUUUGAACCUUGUUGCAAAACUUUGAAAACUCGUAAAAAACUUCAUUAUUUUUACUUAAAAAUAAGACCUAAGUGUAUCUAGAGAAGUCAUCCACAAUAACAAAUGCAUAAGAUUUUCCUCCAAGGCUUGGUGUCCUAGAGGGACCAAAUAAAUUCAUAUGCAACAAUUCAAGAGGCCUAGUUGUUGAAAUGAAAUUUUUGUUUUUAAAAGAGUUUUUGAUUUGUUUUCCCAUUUGACAAGCUUCACAAAUUGUCUUUUUGAAAAUUUAUUUUGGGAAGGCCUCUAACAAGUUCAUCUUUGUUGAGUUGGAAAAUGAGGUCCAUGUUAGCAUGUCCCAACCUCCUAUGCCACAACCAACUUUGAUCAUGCAUGCUUGAAAAGCAUUUAUCAUGGUCAUCAUAUUUUGAAAUAUUUAUAGCAUAAACAUUAUCACAUCUAUGGCCCAUGAAGAUGGUUUUAUCAUUUUGAAUAUCUUUGAUGAUGCAAUGAGAUGCUUCAAAAAUCACUUUAAAACCUUUGUCAUAAAGUUGACUUAUGCUCAAAAGAUUAUGUUUUAAACCAUCCACUAAUAAAAUACUUUCAAUAAGAGAGGAUGUGCCAUUACUAAUGUUGUCUUGACUGAUGAUCCUUCCUUUUGCAUUGUUUCCAAAGGUAACAUAUCCUCCAUUUCUCUUUGUAAGGAAAACAAACUUGGAUUCAUCCCCAGUCAUGUGUCUUGAGCAUCCACUAUCCAAGAACCACUUAUCCUUCUUUGAACCCUACAAAAUAAAAUUUAAGUUGAUUUAGGUACUCAUAUCUUUUUGGGUCCUUGAGGGUUAGUGACCUUGGAUUUUUCAACCCAAACCUUUUUAGCUUUAGCAUUUGAAUUCUUUUGAGAACCAUUUCUUAAGGGACAUGUACUACUAAUGUGCCCUCCUCUUCCACAAAAGUUGUAAGUGGUAGAAGGACUUGCACUUGCGGAUUCUCUUACAAAGUAGUUUUUAAAAUGCUUUUUAUUUUUUGAAGAUUUGAAUCCUAGCCUUGUUUGUCAAAAACACAUUUUUAGUUAACUAAGAUCAUUUCAAAAGAUUUUUUUUCCACAAGAGAAAAUUGAAAGAGAGGAGGUCAACCAUUCAUUUUUCUUUUUCAAAAUCUCAUUUUCUUUUUCAAGAUGAGUUUUAGAUAUUUCAACAAUUGAAAUUUUUUCUUUUACUUCUUCAAGUUCUUUUUCAAGUUCUUGAAUUUUUUUUUUAGAGAAUUAUUUUCAAACUAAGUUUUUCAAAAUCCUCAUAUAAUUCUUCAAAAACAUCAUGCAUAUCUUCAUCAUUAAAGUUAUAGUUUACCUCAUCAAGAUCAUCUAUUUCCAUGAAGCACAUGUUUGCCACUUCCUUCUCAUUUUCUUCUUUGGAGGAUUCUUCACUUUCAUUCCAAGUGGCCAUCAUUGCCUUCUUCAUUCUUCUCUUAGUUUCACUCUUGUAGAGAGGACAAUCAUAUUUAAUGUGUCCCGGUUUUUUGCGUUUGAAGCAUAUCAAAUCUCUUUUCUCUUCCCAUUUCUCCUUGUCACCAUGGGAUGAAGAUUCCUUUUUAGAAGGAUCUCUUUCUUUCUCUAAACCUUUCACCUCUCAUGUAUUUGUUGAGUUUUCUUGUGAUGAGGACUAAAUCAUCAUCUUUAUCACUUGGUUUUUUUUCUUCAACAUCUUCUUCUUCCUUGGUUGUAGCUUUGAGGGUUAUGCUCUUCUUCUUUUUGUAUUCACCCUCUUGUAGCUUCUUUGUCAAAUUGAUCUCAUAUGUCAUUAAUGACCCUAUGAGCUCUUCCAUAGGUAGCUUGGUCAAGUCCUUUGCUUCUUGAAUUGCGGUGACAUUUGUAUGCCACUUUGAUGGGAGAGACCUCAAUAUCUUCAUCACCUUCUCGGAUUCCUUGUAGGUCUUUCCCAAUGCUUCUAGACCAUUGACAAUAUUGGUGAUUCUAGUGAUCAUCUCAACAAUAGUCUCAUUUUCUUUCAUUGAAAACAAUUCAUAGUUAUGAACAAGUAAAUUUAUUUUUGACUCUUUUACUUGAUUUGUUCCUUCAUGAGUUAUUUUAAGCAACCUCCAAAUUUCUUUAGCCGAUUUGCAUUAACAUAUUCUAUUAUAUUCAUUUCUAUCCAUAGCACAUUGCGAAGUAAAAAUGACGUUAGCAUUUAAUUGAAAGUUUCUUCUAUCAAGCUCAUUCCAUUCUUGCUUGGAUUUUGGAACCAAAACUCCAUCAACUAGUUUAGUGGGAAAAGUUGGGUCAUCUUCAAUGACGUCCCAUACAUCUAAAUCAAUUGAUUGUAACUACCAAGUCAUUCUAGUUUUCCAAUAGGGAUAGUCAAUUCCCGUAAAGAAUGGAGCUCUAUGUUUUGAAAAAAUUUCAAUUUGAGAUGAGCUUGAUGGAAUAGUCAUUUCCUCUUAGACAAUUAAGUCUUUAAGACAAGAGGUUUAGCUCUGAUACCAAUUGAGAAAAUAAAGGCUAGGUUUAAUUAAGAAAAACACCCAAAAUUGGGGGAGAGGGGGGGGGGGGGUGAAUUGGGUUUUUCAAAAUCUUUUCAAACACAACAAGUUCAAGCACAAUAUAAACAAAAAUAAAGAGAUAGAGUUAGAGAACUCAAACUCGGGUUUUAUAGUGGUUCGACACUUCCUUGCCUAUGUCCACUUUCCUCAAUCUCCUAACCAAGUGAGGGUUCCACUAACUUGAAGCUUCAACCAAGCUUCCAAUCUUCUUACACUUGGAUUCCGACUCCAAUAGGCUCUUACACAAUCUCUUCAAGAUUCAAACCUUAUUAAGGCUUUAACACUCAGCUUUUACAAGAAUGAAUCCUUCAACCUAGCUUAAGGAUAGCUCAAAUACAAGACAAAGCUAGGAUGACACACAAAAGUGCACUAAAGGAUAUGCAAGUGAUGAUUUAAUGCACUAAGAAAGAAAUGAGAGUUUUUUGGUCAAGAACAGGUAGGUAGACAAUUGAUUGCAAGUGUUCUCUUGUCAAUAAAUAAAGUGGAACUCUCAAUUUAUAGGUUUCUAAGCUCAGGAGCCAAAAACAGUAAAAGGUAACCUCGAUCGAUCGAGCUAGGGGUCCACCGGUUCACUAGCCGUUUGAACAUUUAAUGCUUGAUAGGUUACCGUUGCCUCGACCGAACAUCAACCGUUGCCUCGAUCGGACCUCAACCGGUCCUUGACCGGGCCUCGAUCAGGAAGAGAAUAACCUCGAUCGGGAAGAGAAGGCUAUUGGGAAAGAGAGAAGAUUUUGGGCAUCCCUCGAUCGGACAAGGGCAACUGGUCAACCGGUUGAGUCUUUUAACCCCGAAAACCUAUCUUUUUCAAUUCCUUUCUUUUCUAACACUUAGGCAAGGUCUUUAGGUGAAUUAUUAUGCCAAUUUUAAAACAUUUUUGCCUAAGGUACAUUUGUUAAAACUCGGGUUUUAAUGAAAUUAAAGUUUUAAAGGAUAAACCGAGUUUUCUAAAUUGCAUGAAACGGUAUGAAAAUCCUAAGUGUACUCAUGCAUUCAUCUUACAUUUGUUUCCUAUGAUCAUAAGUCUUCCAAAGUCUCGAUCUUGUAUCCAUUUGGUCAUUUGAUGAAUUUUCGAGUUUAUGCCGGAUAUUCUUAACCAUUAAACCAAUUAGUCACUUAACCAUGAUUUGUUAUCAUCAAAACCCGAUUAGGAGAACCCUUGGGCUAAUAUCAUAUUUUGUAAAUGUUGCUUUUCACGCCAGAUUUUGUGAUAAAAGCUAUAUUUUGGUAUUAUCAAAAUUUUCACGUCUAAAAUGAAAAGCAUGGUUCAAGGACAAGCUAUUUUGUAAAAGGCUUUUAGUGACAAGUCCUUGUUUUAAACAUCUCAUUCUUUAUUGAGAAGAAGCUCAAUUCAAUAUAGGGGAUCCAUUGCUCAAGUCUUGCACAUUUUACUUGAAGCCAAGUCGACUAAAGGUUAAUCUUUCGGCCAAGGUUAGGUUGAAUUCAACUUAAUGAUUUUUCAAAUUGGGUCAUGAUUAUUGAGAUAUGUAUAGAGGUCAAAUUUGGACUUUUAUGCCACCUUGCCCAUCAUGGUGCAACGAAAUUAAGUAUAAAUUGAUCAAAUUGAAAACCCACCAAACCUAGGGUUUUUUAUGAGUUUAUUUUUAAAAAUAUAAUACUUUAUAUUCAUGUUAUUCAUGUUAAAAAUUAAAAGAUAAUUUUAUCUUAAAUACAAAAAGAAUAAGAAACACAUUAUGUCUGUUAUCAAAAAUUAUUCUUUGAAAAGAUGAGUUGUAAAUAUAAAUUUGUUUUUGAAAAGAUAUUUUUAUAAGUAAAAUUAAUUUUUCAAAACACAAUUUUAAAAGUGAUGUGUUGUAUAAAAUAUUAAUUUUAAAAAAAUAAUAGUAUUUACAUUAAAAAUACUUCAAAACUAUACGUACAAAAACUAAUAAGACUAGGUGUUGAAAAGUUCAGUUAGAUAUGAUUCCAAUUCUAUAGUAACAUUUUGAACAAUCAAUUUGGCUUUGGAGGAUUAAUUUCAAUCCAAUUACUACCCUUUUGACAAAAAAAAAAAAAAAAAUGACAAUUAACCUCGUAUCUUCCUCAUCCGAUGAUGAAAACACAUGCUAAGAUUAUUGUAAGAACACAUAAACGAGUUAAUAAUGCAUGAAAAUAAAUCAAUGAGUGCUCCACUUCUCAUUGUUCAUAAGUAAAUAUCAAGAAAAAGUUUCUUUUUCUUGCAACCUGUCCAUGCAAAAACCAUAAAGUCAAGAUUAAUUCAUGGAAGUUUUUCUCUUCCCGAAAAGUCAACCAUGAAAAUUGUCAUACAUAUGUUACGUAAAUGGAACAAAUUUAAUUUAUCCCAAUCCUCUUAGUUGACCUUACAGAGAUAAAAAUAUUCAUAUAUUCUUCGUCUUGGGCAUGCACUUAUCGUCGGUCAACAACUUUAAGAUAGGAGGAUUCGUUUGUUGAGCCAUCAACUUCUUCCUUUUCCUCAUUUCUCUUUCUUUUUUCCUUUCUCGUUUUUUAUUUGUACUUCCUUUUAAGUAUACCUCACUUAUUCCUUUCACAAGGGACCCUUUUGAAGUGGUAAGAGGAGUAAAAGAAGAGGUCCCUCAACUAAAAUGAUGGUUAAAAUAUUUGAUAGUGUAAUUUUGGUUCACGCCUUAAACCUUUUGACUGGUAUUAUUCAAGUUUAGAUUGGUAUUCUUUGUUUAAUAUCAGUAUGUGCAAUAAUUUCUAAUGUUAAUAUGAUUUAAUCUAUGGUGUAGCUUAGAGGUGCAACCUAGGCAAGUUGAUUCGAAUCCAACUUGAUAUUUGGGUGUACUUGGAUAAUUAUUUGUAAUAUUCUAGUAUGAUUUAGGUUAAGUUUUUCUAACAUAAACUUUAUUUGAGUUGGACUCAAACUAUGAUUUGAACAAUUAAAGUUUAAUUUGAACCCAAUAUAAUAUUUUUAUAACAUUUAUAAUAUAAAUUAUUUUAUAUAAUAAUAUUUAAUUUCUUUUUAGAUUUUUAUGAAAAAUAUCAAAUUAUAAUUAUAUCAUACACUUUUUCAUUUUUUUUUUGAAAGAUAUAUAAAUUUAUUUUUAUUUCCUUUAUUUUUUAUCUUAAAAUUUUGUUACAUUUACUAUUAAAAUUUUGGUAUAAAUAUGUACAUUAAAAAAAAAAAUUAUUGUAGAUGAAUUUCGAAUCAUUUAACUCAACCAACUUAAGUCUAAUCCAACUAAUUCAAUUCUAACUUGAUCAACUCGAACUCAAUCCAAGGUUUGAAAAAAUAGCUUGAGUAAGACCGGUGUUAAGUACCUCGGAUUAAAGAUUGGGUUGAGUUGAGAUUGUUAGGAUAAAGACCUUAAAAGUAUGACAUGCAAUAAAAUAAGUUUUCAUUAAUAUUUUUAUAUAUUAUAUUUUUAUAUUGUCAUGUUAUCCAUAAAUGCGUUAUUUAUUAUUUGAGCAUUCAAACUUGUAUCACUUGCAUUAUACAUGCUUUGAGUGCAUUAUAAGUUGUAUAGAAGAUUUGAAUUAUGAGUUCAUGAUAAUCUUCUUGUUGAAUAUCAAAAUUUGAUUGAAAAAUAUUUGAGAAAUCAUGAUAGUCUUGACUCACACAAAGUUAAAGAUCUUUAUGUAGAGGUGUUUUCUACCUAGGAAAAUAGUACAAAAAUGAAGGAAAGGCAAAGACCCACAUGUGAGCAAGCUCCUUCAAUGCCCAAAACGAAAUGAUGGCACCUCCCAAAUGAGUUAAAAGAUAAAAAUCGAGUUUCUCACUAAAGUAAUUUUUUUUUAAAGAAAUAUUAUAAAUCUACAUCCAUUUUCAAAAUAUUACCAAAUGAAUGUUUCCUAUCAUAUUAGUGUCUACUAUUAUUAUUAUUUUUUAAUGUUUAAACCAUAAUUGAUAACUAUGAUUUUAAAUUUAAAAGCCAAAAUCACAAUCACCAAUUAUAAUUUUGAUAUAAAAAAAAAUUAAUGUUAAAACUAUAGGUUUUAACCUUAAAACUAAUUAAAGUUACCAAGAGUAAUUUUAGUAUGGAAAAAGUAAAAAAAUAAUAAUAAUGUAAGAACAUUGAUGCAACAUUGAAGCACUAAUUUGAUUAAUAUUUUUUAAAAAACUAUCAAGAUUUAAUAUUUUUUAUUUCCAAAAAGCAUUAUUUUUAUUGUAAACUCAACAAAUUUAAGAUGCAAGUGAGCCAUAAUUGAUCAUAUACUAGAAUUUCUAGCAUACUUUCGUACGAAUAAGAUCAAGUCUUUUGGUACAAGAGUCCCGGUUUAAAAGAGAAAUAAUGAGUUUGAAAAAUAUCGUGAUAGAGAAUUUAUGAUAAGAAGGGUUGUCAAAAUAUUUUGAAAACUUUUAGUAAUUUUAUGGAGAUAUAACAUAUUUUGAAAAUGCUUUUCAAAAUGGAUUAUUUAAUUCCUUUUUGGAAAUAAACAUUUUUUGGAUUUUUUUAUAAAUAAUAUUUUAUCCACUAAGAAAUUACUAAAAUGUUUUGUUUUUGGUAGUAUUAAUGGGAUAGAUUUUUACGAAGUUUCCAUAUAAAUAUUUAUUAAGUUGAAAAUAUGUAGGGAUAAGGAAAGUAAAUUUAUAAGGAAUUUUGAAUAUGAUAGAAGAGUUUAGAUAAUGUGCUUUCAAGUUAUUCAAAAUCUUAUAAAUUAGUAAUUUUCUUAUUACAUCAGAGUUUUCAAUUUGGAAAAUAAAUAUUUUGAAAAUUUUCACUAGAGAUAAUUUAUCAUUAAAAGAUUAUUACCAAAAGACUUAGUAUUUUGAUGGAAAUAAAUUUUUUUGAAACAUUUCCUUAAUAAAAUAUUUAUUAAUUGGAAUUGUGUAUAGAAGGAGAAUUUUUUGAAAAUAGAUUUUAAAAUUUUGAGAGUGGAUAUUUAUCAAAAUUAUUUAUGAAAGUUACUCUCAUGGAAAUUUUAAAAUUUUCAAGUUCAUAUUCUCCUAUUACACUAGGUAUCCAAUUAGGAAAUAAAUAUUUUUGAAAAUUUUCGAAGUAUAUAAUUUAUUUAUCAAAAAAUUACUAAUGGUUUUAAAAUGCUCUUAUUUAUAUCAAAAGAUUGAGUAGGAGAGGGCCUUAGGCAAGCCCAUGACCCCUAUUAUCAAGCCCAUCUUGAUUUGGGUUCAUCACUAUCCCACCGAGGGGUUGGGCCCUAGGAAUCAAAGGAUAUAAACUCUCCAUUAGGACGUGAUUGGACAUGUCUGCAGUGGGAGCAACCAGCCCACUAGUGGAGUUCCUUACUUAGUGACAUUGAUAGUUCAAGGACAAUGGUUAUACACUUAUCAUUGGAUAUGAAGUGGUUGAAUUACCUACUGCAAUCCUACUUGCAUAGUCUAUGGGCUAAAUAAAAAGGUAUAUUGAUCUUGCCUUUAGAUACAUUUCAUGGUUAAGGCAAGGAGAUCAAUCUAAGAGGGUCUCUAACUAGUAAUAAGGUUAUGACUUGCCCACCACAGACUUGAUUCUUAUGAUACUAGGAUACUUUGUAAGAGGAGAUGUAGUUUAAGAGCAUUACAUUUUUGCUAAAUUAAUUACUAAUUCCUUAAAUGCUUAGUUAAUUAUGUCAAUUAUGAUACUAAUGAUACUAAUGCCUUAAAUGGUCAAUUACGCCAUAUGCUUGAUUAUAUUCUUUGUUACAGAUAUCAUGUUGGUUUUACUAUCACGCUCUCCCUCACAAUAGACCAAGCCCAACUAAUCAAUUGGACUAAUUUUAUUCUAGAUAUAACAACUAAUCGCAUAGAAGCUAGUUUAGAGAGACCUAGCUUUUCCUUAUGAACUAACCUAGCAAAAUGAAAGAGUGGUAUAUCAAGGUGGUAUUAGACGGAUCAGAAGACCAAGUGUCUAAUAAUUUGAUCUUUGGAUAAUGUGUUGUAAUAGCAACACAUGUUUAUUACUAGAGACUUUGAUAUUCUCUUUCUAGUUUACAAUGGUUAUUUGGUGAUAAGGAUAGAUCAGCUUUGACAAACUACUCUUAAGGCUAUUAUGAACACUAGUAUUCAUAUUAUUUUAAAGACCUUUCCAUUUUCUUUCGGGAUGGUUAAAUGGAUUCUCAAAGAUUAUAAGGUGUUCAUAUGGAAGUCAAAGGUUCUUCAAGUUCUUCCAUCAAUAAGAAGAAAAACAACACCAAUAAGGAAAGUUCAAGAUAAGGAAUAAGAGAGCAAGUUUAGGGAUAAGUGACUCAUUUGUGACCUUUUAGGACAUUAGAAAAUGAAUGUCUAGUUUAACUAAAGGAAAAAUGAAAGUAUACAUCAUUUUCUCAUUGUUGAAUAUUUAGUUGUGGAUUUCACCAUUUAUGGUGGAUAGAUUUCAGGCCCGCUAUUUGUAAGUCCUUAUAGGAUAUUCAAUAAGUGAGAAGGUUAAAUGAUGGGAUUAUACUUACCUUACCUUCAAAUGCAAGGUUAGUUUUGCAACUUAGUGGGAAGUAAUUUCUUUUUCUUUUAUAUGUAUUCCAUUAUCACUUUGCCAAGUUAUGAGAAUAGUUAAAUCUCAAGAUUGAGCCUAGCACUAAUUAAACAUUUGGUAUCAAACCUAGGUCAUAUUAAUCUAAAUAGAAUCUAAAGACUAGUAAAGUUUAGACUCUUUGAUUCUAGAAGAUCUUCUAGUCUGUAAAUAAUGUAUAAAUGGUAAAAUGACCAAGAGGACUAGAGCCAAAGAAUAUUCAGAGUUAGUGCAUAUUGAAAUGUAUGGAAUUUUUAGUGUCCAUACAUGGGGAGGGUAUGGGUAUUUCAUUACUUUUAGUAAUGAUUACUCUAGGCUUGGUGUGGACCCGCAUUUUUCACGUGCGCCCCCACUUGAUUGGUGAGACUCACUUUUUUUUUGUGAAAAAUUUAAUUGGAAAAAGUUAGAGUCAUCACUUAUUUUAUUUUUAUUUUAAAGGGAAAAUAAAACAAGAAAAAAAACCCCUAAAAUGUGACUCCAUAAUUUUUGGAAAAAGCAUGUCUUUGAAAAAUCCGAAUCUAGGUCUGAGGAUCAGGUUACUUAUUGGGAAGAUACCUCUAGGAGGUAGCACCCCUCUAAGCCCUAAAGAAGUCUUUACUGACUAAAUUGGGGGAAAUGUGGCAAUUAAUUGAUUAAUUGAGGAUACCUAGAUAGACUAAGGUGAUUUCAAAAAGUAACAUGUCAAAUAGGAUCAAAUUACAAUAAAGGAGAGUUAGGGUGCAAACCUGGACUGCUUCUUAAGCACCAUCAAAAGACAUCAAAGGUUAGUCUGAAAAUGUGAUACAACAUUUGUUUUAUCCAAGCAAAUUAAACAUGUAUCUGAAUACCCAAGAAUCACAUCAUGUAUAGAUAUAAUCACCAAUAGCAUACGUGCUCACAUAAUUCUCGAAAAUAGGUGAGGAGGAGCGUACCUGGAUAGCAAGCUAGUACUCUAUGGGAAACAAAAUUAGCCAAAUAACAGAUUCAAAAUAAUCUCAUAUAUACCACAAAGAGGAAGCACAAUCAGUCGAAUAUCAAACAAACACUAUCAAAGAAAAUAUUCAUGAAUGUUGGGUCCCCCACCAAAGCCCUAAUUAAUUUCGCAUGAGUUGAUUCUAUGAAUUCCAUUGUUUGGAAUCAUGAGGUUUGUUCAUGCUUGCUUAAAAAAGAAAAUCAAGAAAAUCAUUUGAAAACAAUGAAAAUGCAUACCAAAGGGAAAAUUGGCAGCAACAAGUUUGUUAAAAUCUGGAUCUUACUGCUUAUGGAAGGACUGAGGACGAUUCUUUAAAGUAAGAAUUAUUUGGAUGAAAACGAUUUUGAGAACACAAUUUAAAAUACAUAAAAAUACGAGGAUAACAAGAGGAUGCAAGAGGAAGAGGGUAAUGUGCACCAGAAUGGCCGUGCCAGAGUGGGGCUUGGGGGUCCAGCUAUGACUGCGUUGCUGGUGGUUGUAGGUGUUGCCGUUAUUCUCUCUAAAUUUUCCCUUUCUACUCUCUUGCACGUAUUCAAAUACCUUACAUUGCUGCAUUUCUGGGCCUUUUUUGAUUACUUGAAAUCCCAUACGUUCGGACUUACUUCCAAGAGCUUUGACAUUAAUUCCUCGUAUAAAUCUCUGAAAUAUGCUGAGAAAUUUAUUCUUUUUGGACUGCCAUUUUGAUAGUUGAAGAACUGAAGGCUGAAGAAUCAUAUCCAAUUGGAUUCAGCUUGAGAGGAUGACCAUAGGUCAUGGUCGAAAAUGAAGUCAAUUUCCUUUUCCUCGGACCUUUCUGUAUGUCCAUGUUCAUCUGUUAGCAGCAUGACUUCCUCCUCAGGCUUGUGGUGCAGGGAAUUACCUAAGUCCUUUACAUGCAAAUCAGAAUUCUCCAGUUGCAAUUUUAUAUUAGAAUUCUUUAACUUCCCUACUUUAUUCUCUGAAUCAAGUUCGGACAUCAUCAUCUGUUUCAAUUUUUGGAGACUAAUUUCAGAUCCAAAGGUAAAGCUUUCUAUCCCUCUUGUAAUUGAGAGUGCAAAUUCUACAGAUUCUGCAAUUCUCCCAGCAUCUGCUUCUGGUUUUUCUCAAGCUCCUGGACAAGGGCUUCAUAGUAGUACUCCAUCUGGUCCAUUUUUCUUACAAGGCUUUCCUGUUCAGCUUUGGACUCAUCCAACCCUCUCUUUGAAGUUUAAAGGAUUUGUCUUUUAUUGCAUUGGUAGCAUCUAGAGAAUCAGGUACAAUAGAAACCAGGCCAGAUACACUAAGUAAUGAAGAAAAUCUUUAGGUUGAUAUAAUACAGCAUCAAAUCCAGUUCCUAACACAAAUUGUUGUCUUUUUCUCGUCUCCUUUAUGUUUGCAAUUUCUGAUGGUAAAGCAUUGAACAUAGAAAUUGCUUGUCCAGUUCUUUGUUUGAGGUCCUUAGUUUGAAACUCUGUCUUGUCCUCCAUAUUUAAUAGUCCCUUUAGCCAUCUCAGCUGUGAGUCUUCAAAUCUAUGAUCCUAAUCUGUCCGGAUAAUUUCCCUCCUAGCAAAUUCGGGAAUUGACUUAGAAUUUCUAAGAUGUUCAAGGUCCUCCUUGAGUUUUGAACACUCUAAUUUCAGUACAGAACCUCUUCUGCAAGAACUUCUCCUGAAGCAAUCUCAGCAGCAAGUUGUUUAGCGAACUUUUGCGUUCAACGUCUAUUUCAUCAACAUGACUUUGUAGAGAGCUUACCUCCUGUUUAAGCUCAAUAACAGAAGACUCUGCAAUUUUCGAGCUUCUUCUAAGCCUAUUCUUCUCUUCAUAAGCAAUUGCCAAGUCAUUAUCCGCAGAAUGAUCUAGACUCCAUCCAUGGACCCAAUCAUUGCUUCCCUAUGCCAAAAACCUCUGAUCUGAUGGGUCCCCUUUCUCCGUCUGGGGGCUUUGAGUGUAGGAAAAUCCAUUUAAAUCACUAGAGAUCAUGCUCUUAAGGCUAUCGAUUUCAUGUGUACUGGAGUUAUCAUGUUGUUCAGCACAUAAACCUUCUGAUGUAUUCAAUGAGCCAUCAAAUCCAAUAGUUGGGUCUGAAUAUUCAUCAUUUAAUCCUCCAUCUUCUUCAAGUGAAGGAAGCUCCGUUGAUUCUGGUUUGGAUCUAACCCUUGUACUGAUUCUAUCCAUGUGUUCAUUAACAGUUUCUUCGGAUGAUAAUGCCUCUCCUCCAUUAGAUCCAUCACGCCUAUUUUGUCCAGUGUUCAUCUGCAACCCUCUCUCUCUCAGUUUCCUCUACUGCUCAAACUCUCUGAACCCGUUUUUAGAAGUUAACAGCUGCACAAUAACAUGUAAUACAGUUCCAGAAUUGCAUCCAUGAAGAGGCAGUGCAACAACAUAAGGCUUUAGCGUUCACAUCAGCUUUCAUACGUCAACGGAGGUAUGGCAUAAUCAAGUCACGUAGGACUAUUGCACACCUGUAAAUGGUGGAUACUUGUAAUGGAGAAGCAUUGGCAUAGCCACCAAUAGAUAUAGGAACUGUAAAUUCUGCUUCAAAAACACGCAACACUCCCAACUUCUCGGGGAAGAUAAAAUCGAACAAAGACCACAGCUCAGCUAGCUUGUUCUCAAUUGACGCACCAGUCGUUAUUAUACGAUGAACAGUCUGUAGCUAUUUAUGAAGUAUGGUAACUUCAGCAUUUGAAUUCCGAAUUCGGUGUUCUUCAUCUAAAAUUGCAUAACCCCAUUUGAUAUCAAGUAGCUUUCCAGCCUGGAUGGCCUUGCCAAGUCCCAUCUCAUCUCCAAUAAUUCCACCUACUUGUUGGCAAUGUAGUUCCCACAGCUACUGAACCUCCACCUUUUGAUGAUAAAAAGUUUGCUAAAUAUGAUUUCAGGUAUUCUCCGACCACCUUCAAUUGUUACAUAAGGGGGUUCAUUAUCAUCUAUAUCUUCAAUAUCUUUUUGGUUUACUUCUUCAUUACUGGAGGUCACUAAGUUGUCACUUGUAUCUCCAUCACGAUCUGUCUCCUCAAAUUCUAGGAUCGAAGCACCUGCAGAAUUAUUCUGAGCUAUGUCUAUGCUGGAAGAUGGACAAGACUGCCUCUUAACUUCACCUCAAAUAACUGGAAUUUCUGAACCCUUACGAUUUGGAUGGCAAGGUAGUUCGAACCGAUUUCUAACCAGACUACAUAGUCUUCGAAUCACAGUUUUUGUUUUAAGAAAUGAAACAGAUUAACCAAGAUAUGCAAGGCUUUGAUCCAGCUUUAGUACAGAAUUACUAGAACCAGCUAAUGUUGAACUACUAACUAUACAUUCUGAUUCAAAUAGAAUCCUUUCUAUCAAAUGAGUUUAUUCCAUCGCCUACCUUAAUCCUUUUUAAUUUUGAACAUGAGAGAAGAAGAGCGUUAUAACUUCUAUUUGAUUUUCCCAUUUUUAAUAGCAUUUGCCUCAGCUUUUGGAGAAGAGUUUCAUCAUCUGACCUGGCCGUUUGCAAUGCUUCCAGAAAAUUCUUGCAGCUUGCAUCAUCUUGAUCGCUUGGUUUGUUUUCCACAUCGUCAAAAAUGACCUUCAAUAAAUUUAGAAGCUGCUCCAGAUGAGCCACAUUCCUCAAAUAAAGGGGCUGUUUCAAGAGGAUCAACAGCAAAGCAAUAGACAUGUAUCCUUCAUGAUGCAGCUUUUUAUCUACAACUUCAUCCUCAAAGAAUAAAUAGCACUCAGAAAUCAUUUUUUAUGCUUCAUUGAACCGUAUUCUUCUCUCUUCGGGCGCAUUGGAAAUCUGUAUUCUGGUUGCUGGCAUAGUACAGUAAUUCACCAAAAUAUCUCAUGAGCAUGCUGGGCAAGAUUCACAAAGGCAGCCUUAUUGAGGGGGUCUUUAUGUUUCAGCUUCAGAAAAUUAUCUAUAAUAGACAUUACUUCAACACAUUGGUAAGAGUUCAAGACAAAUCUGCAUGUCCACUCUUGAAUGACUCAAAGAUGACCCUGUCCGAAACUCAAAGCCUAUAGAAUUCUCCAACAGCAUCCUCUAAUAGCUUAUCCUGCUCAUUAGCUGCUUCUCUGCCACUCCAUGCAUAGGGCUUCUUAAUAUUCCAGAGCCUAUUCAUGACUUAUCUCAAACGUAAACAAAAAAAUAGAGAAUCAGGACCUUCAAUUGAUGCCUACGUUCAGAAGCUGUAACUGGGCAUCAAAAUCAUCUAGGCAUAGAUCACAACCCUCAACAUGAACUGUGAAAUCUUCAAUGAACUGCAAAAUGUCAUCCACCCGCUUUGGAACAGCAAAUAAGAGCAAGCAAGGAGUAAGAAAAAAAAAUUGAUGCGAUCUCCUCCAGUAGCAUCAUUCCAGUAUACUGAAACGAGGUUUCAAAUUCCAUUCUAACCAACUAAGAAUUUUCCUUUACACGCCAUCUUUUGGCAAAUAGCAUGUAUGUUGGACCACCAAAGACAUUGCCUCUUCUGGAUCAAGGACCAGAAGCUCAUCUGUUACAGCAGCCCCUCUAAUAGCUGUUAUGGUUAUAAAAAACAGCAGCAUACCAAAACAAGUUGCCACCAAAUAUAUGGCCUUCUCAUUGAAUUCUCUAAAGAUUCACUUCGACAAAUUUGACCAUCUCUGAGAUGAUGCUGUGGUUGGAUGAUUAUAAAACUGUUCAGCAUGCCCCAAGGAGUGAACACCAGAACGAAUAUGACAAGAAACAGAGAAAGAAGAAGCAUCACAAUCUCAACAACCAUAAGCCUUUUCUUCAAUGUUUUAGGGUUAGAAACAAAGUCCCUUCGAGCACAAAAGUUCCUAUCAAACAUGCUCUGCAGUAUGCACCAAUUCAAGGUCUAUUCAAGGGCCUUUGUCAGUAUCAGAUGAUGCUGCACUCCAUUUGAGCCAAAUUUAACAGUCGGUCCAGCACCUGGGACUCAACGAGAUAUUGGGAAAGCAAGAACUCUCUUACGGAGCAUUCCAAUUAAGUAAUUCUCCUUCCGCAUCAAUCGCACUACCACGUCAUGAGCAGAAAGAUCCUUAACUACACAAAGUUGUGAACUUUGUGAUUGAACAACCUUUCAAAAAUUGAUGCCCAAUGAAUCGUUUGAACCUCAUUGUCAGUAACAUGGAGGCUGUUGUAAUCAAGAUCCAUGCUGGAUUAUUUUUCUCUUAAAUAAUGCAUAUGUUCUUCAAUAGGUGAUAUCUGGCUGCACAUUUCACCCUUCAUUCCCAGAAAAAUAUCACUUCAUAACCAAAAACACAUUCAAACAACUCCGUUGUCCUCUGGCUUUACUAAAUGCAAUUUCCCAUUACAGGAGCCAAAGUACCAUAGGGUUACCUUGUCCUGAAAAAUGUUUAUACAUCAAAUAUCCAUUGAAGCUAAGUUCAUUAAAUACGUCAACCAAGCAAGACAAACAGUCUCAAAUGGGAGUUACAGCUCUGCAGUGCGAAUUCUUCACAGUAAAACAGGAUUUCUUGCCAUCCAAGAGUGUAAUCAACAGAUGGCUUAUCUCUUGAUGAAAAAAAAGUGUGCUUAGAGGAAUGAGCACCCAUUUCUUCCUAUCUCUCUUGUCAAUUCAGUAGCUGCUUGAAACAAACUAAACAGAGCAAGUUCAGGCAGAAGGUCUCCUCAUAGUCACAAUCAUUAAUACAACACCCGCAAUGAAAACAGCGUGCUAUGCACAAAGUGCAAGCUCUGCACAACUGAGCAGAUUGAUGUUUCCCUUGGCAACUCUCUGAUGGGCAAUCAUAUACUAAUCUCACUUUCUGGCAUCUAGGGCAAACCUCGAUGUCAAUGGCACGAUCAGCAUUACAUGAAAGAUACAACUGCUCUCCAUGAUGAAACCGUGGUUUGAUCUCUUGUUGCAGGCAUUCAGUGGGACAGUUCCAGUGUAGAGAUGACCUGAUGCUCUUUUUUUUUUUACCCAAAAGUUAUAGAUUUUCUUUUAUCAAUCAUACAAGCAAAAUAAAUACUAGAGGAUCAUCUUCAUAGUUUAAAUCUCUACAGCCGUCUAACCCCAAGCAACCCUGUUAUACGCAGCUUUUAAGAAGUUUCUGCCUUUCUUGGAAUAUUCAUAUCAUCAUGGUCUCCGUAGCCCAGGACACCAAAGGGGAAAGGGAAGAAAUAUGGAUGCAAAAGCAAAGAAGAAAAAAAUAAUCCAAGAAAAACAAAGCAAGGGAGAUAAAGGUGGGUAAGCAGAUAAGCCACAUUUCAUUAUUUUCAAAAGGGCUUUGAAGAAUUGAACACGUUAAGACAAACUUAGUUAGAAUUAUAUCAAGAUUCCACAAACAUUAAAGUUCAAACAUAAGUCUCUGUUUCAGCUAUUUAUAAAAAAAAGAAUCAAAGAAAUCAAGAACACAAUCAUAAUAGAGCAAGCUUGUAGGAAAUUUCGAUUCAACAACACAAAUAAGUGGCCCUCAAUGUCCACUCCAAUCAGCGAGAAUAACUUCUCGAAAACAGCCAGAGAAUCUAGAGUGGAAUGUAAACGGGAAUACCAAAAUAAAAAAAAUAAAAAAAACAAGAAGCGUACCUGGCAGAACCCUGGCUGCAAUCUCCCUUUUUUCUGCUCUUGUGCACUUUUCCGCCAAGACAAUCAAAGAAUUUCCCCUCCUUUCUUUUCCCCUUUUGCUCUCCUCCUCAAAAAACCCAUCUCUUAGAGCUUUUUAUAGCAAAUAACAGUCCUCCUACGUGAGGAGUCUUCCUCUCUCCAAAUUUUAUCUUAUGCACCGAAAAAACUUUUUUUUUUUUUUAAUUUCAAACAAUACCAAUCCAUGUGCAUCACCUACAAUCCAUGCAUGUCAUCUAAAGAGUCUUACCGUUUUCAAAAACUUCUCCAAUGGUAGACUUCUUCCAUAAAAAAUUCGAAUUAUUAAAUUAAAUAAAUAAAUAAUAAAAUAAAUAAAUAAUAAGUAAAUAAAUGGGAGCUAUGACUGUAUACACAUGUUGAGUUGGGAUGAUGGAUUACCCGAGCCGAUUGUUUUGCAUGACAGCUAUGAGAUUGAUGGGGUUUCAUUGGUCCCUUAGACUCCUGCACUAUUCAGUUUGAUCCCGGACGAGGCACCAUUCCAGUUGACUCAUCCUAUACCCUUAGUUAUCGGAUGUCAGGAUAUUUUUGUCCCUUUCACCUUAUGGCCAGAGGAUGAUGAUUCAGAGGGGAGAGAGAUACAGAUUGUGACUCGUAGUGGGAGGAUAGCUCAGCCACCACCACCACCAGUCAGACCAUUUGAGGGUACAGCCUCUCAUGAGGAGGUUAGGAGAGAGGAUGAUGAGGUUUUGAGACAGCUACAGAGCACUCAGGCUCGCAUUUCCAUUUGGAGUUUAUUAGCAUCAUCCAGUACUCAUAGAGAUGCUUUGAUUCGAGCCUUGACUCAGAUUAGAGUAGAGACUACCACCACUCCAGAGGGAUUGAUUCAUAUGAUGACGGCUGGCAGAGCCACUUGCAUUGUAUUUUCAGAUGAUGACUUGCCACCUGAUGGUUUAGACCACGUGCGCCCUCUAUACAUCACAGUUGGAUGUUCAGGCCGUAGAGUCUCGUCUGUCCUACUGGACAACGGCUCAGCCCUGAAUGUUUGUCCUUUAGCCACUGCUAUAGCCCUUGGUUUCGCGCCUUCAGAUUUUGGUCCUUCUACUCAGACAGUCAGGGCGUAUGAUAGCACCAAGAGGGAGGUUAUGGGUACCUUGAUGAUUGAUUUGCAGAUUGGUCCAACCACAUUUUCCACUUUGUUCCAGGUUUUGAGGAUUCCUACAUCCUUUAACCUACUACUGGGCCGACCAUGGAUUCAUGUAGCUGGAGCUAUUCCUUCUUCCCUUCAUCAGAAGGUGAAGUUCAUUCAUGAUGGGCAGGUUAUCACAGUACAGUCCACCAGGGAUAUGUUAGCCUCUUCCGAGCCAGUACUUCAGAUUAGUCACAGUGAGGAUGACCCAUUUUUGACUGGAUUUACUUUUGAUGAGAUACAGACUCUCGAGAUUGAGGAUUUUCAUAGAGACUUUGUGGCUAUGUCAUUUGAUCAGCACAGUAGCACAGUGGUCCUUGAUAUGAUGAGGGGUAUGACCUUUCUACCUGGCAUGGGGUUAGGACGACGUCAGCAGGAACCGAGUGAGUUCAUAGCUGCCAUUGACCAUGAUACGACAUUUGGACUUGGAUUCAUCCCUACUGAGGCCGAUUACCGUCACAUGGCGCAGCUGCGCAAGGAGAGGGUGAGAGCCCGUUUAUCCCACACACCAUUUGAUUAUCCUAUUCGACCCUAUAGGAUGAGUUUGGCUGACUACUUUGUCAGAAGAUCAGAGACUCGACCUCGUCUAGAGGAGAUUGAUAGUGUGGUUCAUAUAGAUAGGGAGACCGAUCUUCAGCAUCUAUUUCAC
Molecule: long non-coding RNA, 140680 nt
Filed under: Vitis vinifera (wine grape)
Lineage: Eukaryota; Viridiplantae; Streptophyta; Magnoliopsida; Vitales; Vitaceae
Description: long non-coding RNA (VVIN_LNC004716)
Source: RNAcentral